UCUCGUCCUGUUGCAAUACAACUCCAAAAGCUUCCACAAGCUGAAUACGCAUACUGUGUAAAUCGCGCCGAUUUCACGGCAUGGAAGUCCUGCGAAAAUCAACUCGACUUCUUCCCUUCUUGGUUAAAAACUCGAUGACUAAACUCCAGGUCGCGCAGAGUAUCCAGUACCUCCGCACGUUUCACAUCUCCGUGCCAAAUGAUCUCAGAGGCCACUGAGCGUCGAUUCCUUCCUGAGGGCAAUCUAUCCGUCUGCGCUGGCUCCACACCCCCCUUGCUUCUUUCUCUCCACAUUCUCAACGCUGCGAUGCAACACUUCGCACCCACCUACGCUUUGAGCGCAGUCCCUGUUGCCCGACCAUCUCGAAAAACUAGCCUCCUAUUGAAGCUCACAACUCACUUCACAUCACAUGAGUUGUACUCUUCUCUCACAUAACCAAAACGGUGACUUGCAGCUCGGCUGCAAACCGCAACCCUUCAUUCCAUUCUCUUCGCCAUACAAUGCGGAUUCCAAAAAAAUAGAGCCACCAUCACUCCCCUCAUCAAGGAUUGCGAUGCACUGGGAUUGUUCAAGAAUUCCCUCCAUUCAUCUUCCAAAAUGAACACCAUCCUACUAAACAGAGGAACUAGAAGCCUCGCGCGUACAACGUCAGAAUCCAACAGCAUGAAUGGCAAACACAGAUCCCAGCCACUCGACCCCAAGUGACGGUCCCCACCCUAAGCUGUGAUGGGAGUCCACUGGAAAGGUGAGAAAAUAAACAGACACAACCAAAACCAAUGAAAUGAAACAUAUUCUACUCUGCAUCGCCGGCAGACGGAUCAUGUGCCGCUUGUCGCACAAACAGUCCACGUACUCGCGGUCUUUGUUCCGCAAGCUUUUUCCUGCUUUGAUAGCGCACCUGAAUACAACACAUCACCACAGCUUUAUCGUCAGUGCACCAUCCCACCGCAAUACCUCUCCUACCUACCACACAUCCUCUUUUCUCACCACAUACACUCGCUCCAUGGUGCCCGUCAGAUGCGACCGCGGCCCAAAUGCAACUCGCCUGAACCUGAACCGCCAAACAACCAAGCUGCCGAUACUCCGGUAUAUUCCAUGUGCCAACGUCCAUCCAACUCAUCACCACACGGAAUCUCAAGAAAAGGCAUGCAAAGCCGUACCUUCUUCUCAAAGCACCGCUCCUUUCUCUUCUGCCUGAACUUGUUCAAGGCAGCCUCUCGUCUGGCAAAACGUAUCUGUUCCGUGCACAACCCGUUGCCCCCGCUCACCCCAUCCAUUGCUGGAUGCGUCCCACCCACUCCAUUAUUCCCGCUGUUGGCGUUCGCCAUCGGGGUCACGACAAGUCCGUUCUGUCCAUUGUUCACGCCCGUAUUGCUUCCCGAAGCGCUUCCGUUCAUGGACCCGUUCCCGUUCCCCGUGCUUCCGUACCCGUUGCUGCUCCCGCUUUGACCAUCCACCCCGGUCGACCCACACCGUGGAGCCCCCGACAUGGGAGUGAUCACCGACUGUUGCUGCUCGUGUUGCACUCCUGCAUUUCCAGAUGGUUGCCCGCCGUCCCCGUGGUGGUGGUGCGUGUGCUGGUGGCUCGGUCCAGCUUGGGAGUGAUGCCCAGAACCGGGAUUCUGUUCUUGAAAUGCGGGUGUUUGACUGUAUACGUCCACCCUCUCUCCCAUGUGUCGGGCCGAUGCUGCCAUCCACGCGCUCGCGUGCGCAUAAUACAUCGGGUGCAUGGCCGGACCAUACGCUCCACCCAUGCCAUCGUAAGCCAGCAUCCCAGGCGGUGGGAUUGGAAUCGCCAUCGGCACUCCAGGUGCUAUCAUUGCCUCCUCCGCGCUCUGCCUUGCACUGCCGUACCCAUCCGCUCCGCCGCCGUCCUGCCCUCCAGCUGCUUCCGCGCUCUGGGGAUGCAGAGGAGGGGGCGUCGUUCCCUCCGCGCUCCCUUUCGACGACCCACAACGCUCCAUUCCCAUCCCCAGACGAAGAGAUCCUCCGGACGUGCCGCCAGACAUGCCGUACACUCCGUAUCCACCAGACAUCGGAUACCCGCCCACAGGAAGUGAAUUCCCGGGCUGGUGACAUUGUUGUAUGAUGGUUCCUCCGCUGCCAUACCUGAAACGGGUUGCCACAACACUGUGCAAUACCCGUCACUUCAAAGCGUCCAGAACAAACAAACACAAACACCUCCCGCUCAUGCAAUCCACCAAGCUCUCACCAUCGGCCAAGCUCAACAUCGCACUUCACUAACUGCACGCCCAGCAAUGCCCAAAACUACAGCUCUCAUCAGUGCAACCGUAAUUUGUCUGAACUGCACCUAGAGAAGGCCGACCCUCCCGAGUGCCGCAGGGGUUGACGCUCUUCUGUAUCUCCAUCGUUGUCCACGGCCGAUCGAGGCCGUUUCAAACUCAACUCCAGCAUGGAACCGAAGUCUGACCCGGAGUGGUCUUUCGGACUGCUCCUCCCCCGCUGAUCCAGUUCUCCGUCAUCGUUCUCACUCCCUUCAGCUUGCUCUGCACCCUGCGUCUGUGGCUGACAAGCUAUACCAUUUAUCAGGUCCACGGCCUUCAGAGAAGACUCCUCGGUAGUACCAUCUUUUCCGCUGGUUGAUGGACUCUCGACGUUGUCUUCUCCGGGUGAUGGCCCUACAUCUUGCAUCACACACGCAUCAUCGUCGUCUUGUUGCCGCCCAACAUCCGGCUGCUGAUCCAGCUUUGCGGUAUUACAAGUAGACCGACGAGUUGCCAUCUCCAAGUCAUGCCCCAUCUCUUCAUCUGCCAAACCUACCACAUGUAAGCAUCCCAAGAUCCUCACACCUCUACUCACAGCACAAGGCACAGCCACUAGAUCAUGAGAACAUUCACACAACCUCAGUUUCAAGUAAUUGACUACGACGGGAACUCUACCCACUUCAAAUUGCGCGCCCACUCUAAUUUGUGAGACAAACACUUCCAAACUACCGACAAGCUCAAGCAUGAAAAACCAGCAAUCCAUCUGCCCCAACUUCAGCGCCCAAAUCAUGCACUACAUGUUACACCAGACAAAACCAUUCUCAGAUCACCUCACACUUCCUGAAACACGCCUGGACAUCCAUUACCACCGCGCCAGGUUAUCCCAAAUAUUUCAUCCCCAUAUCCCGUCCCUCGCCAGGUAUGCAACAACUGACCCUUGACACUAAUCAUUCCAAACCCCGCAACUCACCCAGGUUGGCACCCGUCUCUUGAGAAGUCGCUUGCCCCUCCUCGUCUCCAUCUGCAGCUGCCGUUACUGCGUUGUUCAUUGGCACCAGUACGGGUAGUGUGCGAGCCUGCACCCAUUGCUCUCGAAGUCAGAUAAUCCUCUUGCACACAACCGGCUGUGGAAACUCGCUUUCCGCAAACCGACCGAGCCUAAAAGACAAUCAGUAUCCUCCGCGACGACAACGGCAUGCGUGCGUUCACAUAACGGCGUCACUUACUUGAUUACCACUGCCAUUGUCACUCCCACCCUGAGCAUUCAACCGGCUGCUCCCAUUGUCACUACCGUCGCUGCUGCCGUUCCCAUCAUUGCUUCCACUGGGAUUGUCAUCCGCCUCAACUCCACGACUCUGCGGCCUGGCUACUUCGCCAGUCUGGCUGCCACUCCCGCUUUUGCUUCCACUCGACUGUUCAAAUCCACAUGUGACAGGUCACGCACCGUCCGUACAAUCUCAGCAGCCCAUAAGGACCCUUCACUGAACCCACAUUCUUUCGAGACAUACAACCACACUAGUUGAGCAAAUGUAAGCAAUCGGAACCAUCACUUACGCUGUGGCACUUCCUCCACACGUGUUGCCAUAGAUUCCUCAACUCGUUCUUCCUCACAGGUUUUACGAGAUAGUCGCACGCUCCUUUCGAAAGGCAGCGGAACACAAUGUCCAGGCUGUCGUAGGACGACAUGACUGCAGACAACACAUAGCUCAGUUCACCUGAACGCAUGAGAACAUCUUGAGUUGAACAUGAAACCCACUCACGUGCCCGAGAUACAGCGCGCCCGGGCUGGCAUGCGAAACCAUGAGACACUUGUUGACAUGAGGUGACUUAACCUCCGCUGACGCGCUGGGCAGCAUAAUGCCGAGGUGAGAGGGGAUUGAGACUUACUGACAAUAGGCACUCUUCUGCAAGCCUCCCGUUUCAUCAUCUUCGACAGAAGCCCAACUCCGGACAGACGUGGCAUCACCACGUCAGUCAAAACCAAGUCGAAAUUGCUGUUCGCGUCUUCCAGCAGCCCCCAGGCAAUCGACCCAUUCGCAACCGCAGUGACUGGGACAGGCACAAACCUUCCAGUUCAGGUCUAGACUCCACAUCAAAAAACCAACGACGACAUGCUACCAUUAGGACAGUUUCGACCAUCCUAGUUGAGCCAGCGGAGUGCAACUCCAUGUACCUCUACACCGUUCCUCUCUUAAAAUUUCACACUCACAGGUAAUUUUCAUAAAAUUGGCAACCGUAUAAUGACUGCGACGAGUAAGAGCACCUCCCUGUGACCUUCUCCUAUAAUUGCCAUGCAUCUGUUCCAAUAUGAUUGUACAAACAAACACAGUGUCAAGUUCUAGAUCCACUAGAGUGAGGCAUAGUUGUUAUAAGACUAUUUCAAUUACACAAUUUAGUUUUUUCAUUUAUUCAUGUUUUUUUUAUUUGAUCAAUGUUUUGUGUUUUGUAUAACUAGCGCGCAUACGCAUCACACACGUCUACUGGAAUCAGGAAGAAUAACGACCUUCAUAGUCACAGUUACGAAGUAGAGCUCCCACCACGUGCCUUGUUGCGUCGUCAUACUCCACCAGUAAAAUUCUCAGACUCCGUUUCAGUAGGAAGCUUUCCCAGCCAACCCCACCCUGGGUUUUUGCAGCCACAUCACCCCCAUGCUGCUGCUGCUCUUUCGUCCGAGCUAUUCCCUGUGACCUCGCCUUGUCGCGCGCAACAGCAGCCACAGCGUCUCCUUCUUCAUAGUGAUCUUCGGCGCUACCGUCUCUGCGUCCAUCGUCGUCCGACUCCGAUGUUCGCAGCACGUCGUUCCCUGGGAACUGGUGAUCCAACUCUCUCCUUAUCUGCUCUGCAAUGUCCUUAAGAUCUUCCCGUGUCUUCAGAACAGAAACUGCUGAACGGCCGGCCACGUUGCGCCCCUUCUCCAGCCUCGCGCCGUUCUCACUGUCCUCUGCGACUUUACUACCAACCUGCUCUCUACCCCUAUCUACUUCCUUGUGCGCCUUGUACCCACCCUUAAUCCUCCAUUCUGCACCCACCGGAGCUUCCACAUUGAGCUCAGCGCAUGCGGUCCCCCCAGCCAACAGCGGCCGUAGAGGCCUCGACUCCGGCUCAGCCUUACACGAAUCCCCAGUCAUAAAGUGAACUCCACUCCUCCUACACCUGCUGUUUGGUUACACGGCCCUCCACCUGCUCCUCCACAAGCUCUACCCUUCAGAUCCCUGCCCAACGCUCAAUCUAUAUCUCGGAACUCCGGGGGGUCUCCGUCGCAGUUCGCAAGACAUUCGCUACCACUCGUGACGAAAUCGUAUGACCUCUUGGGCACUCUCAACUGUCCACACAACCAAGUCCACACGGCACCUCCAUGUUAACACUUCAUGCCACACUUGCUCUACACAUAUACCAUCGUGCAUAUACUCAUUAUCAUACAACGGCGCCUCAACACAGGUCGUACAACUCUAUAAGAUGCUCCAGACAUGUCAAAUGGUUCACGCAUGCUUCAUUUGGUCUACUGCCCCAGCGUCCACAAGUUCCAGAUACAUAAGUUACACAAGCGACGCAAUCUCGGGCCUCAACUUUGAAGAUCACAUCCCAGGAUACACAUAGAUGCACGAAAAGCUCGCCUUGAAACAUCAGAUGGUCGUUCUGACCUGUGCCCCGCCAGCAAAACACUCGCUCACCGCUCCCACUUCUUCGAAAUUACAAAGAUACCCACUCGGAAAUCGUGAAUCACACCAUCGUGCUACGGAAAUGCUAUCAUAUUUGGCUUUGGGAAUCUAAGGCCCAAAACAGCAUACCUCACAGAAGCACCGACGAAUGCAGUUCACAGUUAAUCAAACAACAUGGACAUAUGAAAAAUUAGAUAGACGUCAGCGAACACGAGCGGGCUCUCCACCACACACGCAUACACCCUACUCGCGCUGAUCACUAAAACCGCUGUCCCAAAGUGCGGCAACACCCCGAGCCGCACAGACAGCGUCGAAUUAUGCCCUGCCCAACACCACUUUCGCUGCGUCGGACAGAAUCUGAAACGGAGAACCUCGGCACAACAACGGAUGCCGCGCGGCACACUCAAAUCUCAACCGAUUCGACCCUGGUUUCGACGAUGCUAAAGUCAGCUAAGCACAAGCACUCGAGAGAGCAUCACACUGCAACGAAGGGAAAACCUAAUCACGGACGACAAACGGAAAAUUGUGCAGGAGAGCUCGGCUAUGGCGGCAACGCGGGGAGCAGGAGGGCAGAGCAGGCAGACCUCAGAAACGAGCGAGGGCGGACGGAAGUGGUUAUAGGAUGUGAUCACGUGGCACGCUGGAGUGCGCAAAUUUGAUUGUGAACCUAUAGCCGCAUCCAUAGGGAGGAGCAGAUACAGAUUUACCCCCAGUCGCCUAACUCCGCCCUUGAGGAGGCGAAAUAUCUGCCCCGGCCCUCGGCUCCUCAGAGCCCAGCAAUUGAUUUGCCCAGCUGGCCCCGCUGGGACACGCUGGGCCAAUGGAGCUGGUCCCCUUCUGGUCCGAGCUGGCAGUCGGUACUUCCCGUUCUCCCCCUUCCCCGUUUAUUUACAUCCAACGUCAGAUGCGGCCAUCGCUGAUGAUUGGGACCUGGACCGGAAGAACUAUCCGAUGAACGAACAGAGAGAAAUACAGGCGAUUUAUCAUCCCAAUCCCCGGCCCCGGGCAGCUUGUUAUUUCAGUGGACUGUUGAUGCAAAGGGCAGUGAGUUCUAAAAUUGGGUCGUUGGCUCAUCACAGGACCAUGGAGUUUGAGUUCAAUAUUGGGGGCAUGCACACCUGUCAACAUGUUGCCAUGCGGUGAAGCGCAUUUUUUUUUAAUAAUAACUCAGGGUUGUGGUUAAUAUCUUGAAAAUAGAAUUUUUCAACAAAACAUGAAGAAACUCACUGUUCACAAACACACUUACAAUUUUGCUUGUGCAGUAAAUAAGACGCUGAGUGAAUACAUCCAUCAUCAGCUUUUAAAGGAUUUUGCAGUUGUAAAGUCAUUGCAAAAUUGUGCGGAAGUACUUGAACAACUAAUUCAAUGUCCACGGUGAGCAACUUUUCAUUCGUAGUGCCCCCAUCUGUCAUCGUGGUUGCGUGUAGGGCCUUACGUUGGUGAUUAUGGAGCCACUGGUAAUUAACAAAGAACCUAUAAUUAAUAUUUAAGAAAAAUUAUAUGUAUGAGUGUUUGCAGUAAAAGGUCUAUGUUCGUGUAGACUCCACCGCGAUAUUUACUCAUCUGCUAACUCGUACCUAAGCAUUGUGAAAUUUGGGACUAUAUCGCUGCUACGAGAGUCGAACCUGAGCGACACGGUGUGUACGCGCGGAAUUUGAUGAUUUGGGUGCAUGAAAGCUACAAAGCAAGGUCUCAUGAUCAUCCCCGCACUCCGUUGAGGUUUGAGUAGUCGGAAUUCGUUUGCGCAUUGUCGUUGCGUAGGGCAAUCGAUUUUGGAGCUGGAGAAGUGGACCAAAUUGUCAAAAUUGCAUAAUUCCUUGGAGGUUGUAACACUCCUCUGACGGGACGAAUCUGUUUAUCGUACAUUCUCCUUCCUAGUAACCCUGAGCGUGUUGACAAGAUUCAGGAAGCAUCACCACCGUCACACAACACAAGCAGUAGUCAGAAAGGGAAUUGUCGGUGGUUGUCGGGGGCCAGAUUUACAUCAGCAUGUGACAAGAGGUUGUGCAUGCGUUGCAAGAAGCAGGAGCCAGAAGCUUCGUUGCAGAAAGCUUCAGGUGAUUUAGCAGGGGUUUGGUGCCUUGCGAUCGAUUCGCAAGGUCAGAACACUGUAGGAGAGUAAGUUCCUUUGGGGAAGAGGUUUCCGAUGUUUCUGGGUCUGACAGUGGCCACUAUGGGGAAUUGCACAAUUAACACAGGUGCACUGAAAUCGUAUUGCGAUCAAGUCCAAAAACCUAUGCAAGGAUAGCAACGGUAGUCUCAGGAGUGAAAGGACGCUGGAGUCAGCAGGUGGUGCUUGAAUUUGCAGGCUCAGGGACUUGGUGGAGGUGCGUUUACGAGCACCUGUGAGGGCUCUGCUCAAAAGACUUGUGAUUUGGGUGACAUCCCAAAUCAGGGCCUGAAGGGAAGUUCCAAAAUUCCAGUGAGGUCUUUAUGACUCUUUGAUCACAAGUCACUGUAACAGGGUGACUGGUUUAGCAGGUCACCAACGGCUCACGCGGCAUAGUGGUGAUGUGGCAAGGUUGACGUGGACAGAUGUGAUGGAUGAAGGAUGCGAAUGCUCAUAACCUUAUGUAUUGUAUUUUAUACACCGUAUGCUCAAUUUUGAAAUUAGGAUAGAAAGACAGUUUAGGGCUUUUAGAUUGGAAAAUUUAAAAGAGGCAAGAAAGAGUUCUUGGGGGAGGCAAAUAGGACAUACAAGGCAUACAAAGGGUGCAUAAAGGACAUUAAAAUUAGAUGUGUGGAUGUUGUAUUAUGGCAAAGAAUUGAGCGUUUUUUUUAUUUUUUUAUUUUUUUAUUCUUUAUUUUCCAAUAGGUCUCCAAAACUUAAUUUAUUGAUGCAUGUAGCAUCUAGCAAGAUCUUCUGCAGUGAAUGGGGGACCAGUGUAAGCAGGAAUUGUUUUGGCAUAGAAUCAUGAUUGAAUUUAGAUUUAAAGAGAAUUUAAAAUAAUUAAGCAAGACAUUACCUGUUUUUUUUAAUUAUAAAGUUAAAGAGAGGAUCUAACUAUGUUAUAAUGUUGAAGAGCAAGGACCAACAUUGAAAUUGUAAAAAUGAUCAAAGAAGCAAAAAAUACAAUUGUAGAUGUAUUGGUUUUGUCAAAACCUAGUAUCAACUGAUUACAAAUAACAUGCAAAGGUGCAUAGGGAAUUGACUUAAAAUAGAACAUAAUUAUAUGAAGUAAAAAUAGCAAAAUGUUCUGGACAAAUUUGAUGGUUGUGAUAAUUUCGUUAAAUAUUACACAAAAAUUUAACCAAAUAAAGAGUCCAUUGAUUGAAAUUCGCAAACAUACCAAAUUUCUUAAAUAAUAAUUUACAGUGAAUGGAACAUGAAAUGUACGUAUAUAUAUACGGUCCAUACUACAACAUAUAUAAAAAAGAUAUUACAUAUAUAUAUAUAUAUAUAUAUAUAUAAAGUUUGCAUUUUAAAAAUAUUCAUUAGAAAUACCAAAUUAAUAUUUGUAGCUUAAAUUAUACAGACUGUUUUGAUUUUAAUUUUAUCUAAUAUAAUAAUUUAUAGAAAUACAUAGAUACAUUAAAAAAACACACCCUACAAUAGAUUCGUGAUUUUUUUUGAUUUAUUAGGUUUGCAUUUACAAAGUCACAAAUUAGAUAUAAAAAAAUUGUAUUUUAUUUUAUAUUUCAAAAUCUUUAGAAACUAGAAUUUUAUUUCUUAGACGUGGUGGAUGAUUUUAGAUAGAAAAAAAAAAAAAAAAAAUAACAGAACAAUACCAAUAGUGUACAUCACUUUAUUCUUAAAAUUAAGAAUUUAGAAAAUUUUAAAAAAUUAAUUUUAUAGAUUUAAAAAUAAAUAUAUUAAAGUUUAUUAAAUUUAAAAAACUCUGUUUAAAAAAAACCAACCACAUAUUGCUAAAACACUUAUUAAAAAAGGCUUAAAAAUUGUAAUUGAAUUGUACAAUGACUAUUCUCUACUGUAAAGCGUGGCUUUAAAAUGUUCUAUUCACUUCAACUGUACCAUAGUUUGAUGGAUCUAUUUAUAGUAAGUUGUACAUUUAUUUUUUGGAUAUUUUAGACAAAAAACCAAUAUCAGAAUUUUCGAAAUGAUAUAUAAUUGCAAUUUAUUACCACAAAGUUGCAUAGAAAUUAGAAUUUUAUCAAAGAUAUACUUAAGAAUAAAAUAAUAAAUUAGUACCAAUAAAAUAAAAAUAAAAAUAACGAACCCUGAAUAGAAAUUAUGUUUUUAAGACUCCUUAGAAUAUUUUGAAAUCUCUCUAUGUAAAUGUAACACAAAAGGAAGCAUGGAGAAUGUACACUAAAACAAAACACAAGUGACUACUUCUUGUGAGAUAUUACAACUUCAAAGAAUUUAAAUACUAGGUGAUUGCAAAAAUAUUAAAAUUAUAAUACACAUUAAAAAAAUAGUUAGAAUAUUUUAUUAAUUUAUUUCGUAUUUUUCAAAAGAUUAACAAAAUAUUAUCAAAAAGUAUUAUUUUCUAUUAUAUCUUCUUACAAUUAAAAUAUAUUUUUUAACCACUCUUCAAAAUAAGCCAAAAAACAAAAACCAGAUAAUAUUAAUUUCCACUAUUUCCUCAAAAGAAAAGAUAAUAGGUACCAAUUUUUGAAUAAAAUAAUGCACCAGUAACUACCAAGAUCUUUUACAACCAUAUAUAUAUAUAUAUAUAUACACACACAUACAUACUUGAAUUACACACACACACACACACACACACAUAUAUAUAUAUAUAUAUAUAUAUGUAUAUAUUCAGUGUUUUAAAUGAAAUAAUUUGACAAAAAAUGCAAAUAAAAAUUGAAUCAAAAUGAUACAAAAAUAUGUGAAAAACUACAGAUCAAUAAAAACAUAUAUAUAAAAGAUGGAAAUUGGAUUAUUUUUAAUUAAUAUUCAUUUUUUAUAAUCAUAAUAUAGAUUUUACCAAAAUAAUAAUAAUUUUAUUAGUAGUAAAUAGAAAUAAUACUCUUUGAGGUUGAUAUUUUAAUAAUAUUUGUAUACAAAUUUACAAGUAACAAGAACUAAGAAAAAAAAAUCUUCCUAAAAGAAUUUUUAUCCUUUUUAAUAUUUUUAGUUUUUAUAGAUCUUUUGUAUCAAGAUUUAUAUUAAAUCUUGGUGACGUAUUUUACUUUUAAAAUGAUCUAAUAAUAAUUAAAAAGAAAGUUUCAUAAUUUUUAUCAAACAAUGACUGACAGAAAGUUUCAUUCUAUAUUUAAAUAAAAUACACAUCAGAUAAUUUUUAUAAAACAUUUUCAUCUAUAGGAUUGAAAACACCAUCAAUCUUAAAGAAAAACUAAAACAUAUAAAAAAUAUUUUAAAUUUUUUGUUGGUGCUAUUCUUUAAAAACCUAAUAUUAUGAUUUAAAACUUUUAGUAUGUAAAAACUAUGACCAAUAUGGGCUUUUGUAGAAAUAAUUGUAAAUCAAUAAUCUGGUUGACAAAGGUUUGUCUAAUGAAACAAAACACACUUUAUUUACACUACUGUGAUUACUUGGUAUUAUAAAUUCUUAUCUUUGUAUGUUAAAUCAACUUUUACUGUAAUAUUAACACUAAAUAUUUUCCUUCUAAUAUUAACACCUUUGAUCAAAGCACCUAAGCCUAAAUAUAUUUUAAUAUGAUUCUUCACAAAUUUAUGUUUCUUUGUAAUAUAUAUAUAUAUAUAUAUAUAUAUAUAUAUAUAUAUAUUUACAUAAAUUCACAAAUUAAUUAUUUUAUGAAUCAACUGAUUGUUAAAAAAUUAUUUAAUUUGGUAUCAUUCAAUAGAUUUAUUGAAGAUGUAUGUGUAAUUUAUGAAGGUAAAUAAAUUUCAUAUAAAUUAUAUAUAUAUAUAUCUAUAUAUAUAUAUAUAUAUAUAUAUAUAUAUAUAUAUUUAAAAAAAUAGUUUUAAAAAAUAGUAUAUAUUCUCAAAAAAUGAUAUUAAAAAAAAAAAAAAACUUAUGUGUUAAUUCCACUAUUAUAAUUAAGUUGUGAUUGAGCACUAUUUUGUUUUUAAAUUUUUUGAUAAAUAUAUUAAGUAAUACUUGUUAAAUGAUGUCUCUAGCUGAUUUUAAUAUUUACUAUCAAUGUAACUUAUUAGUAUAAAAUAGAAUUUUAAGAUUUAAAUUUAGAUACAUUAAUUAUAUAUUGCUUCUCACACUCAAAUGUAGAUAUUGUUAAAAAUGUAUAUUAAUUAUCUUCUAUAAUAAAAUAAAAAAAUUAACAUCUUUUAAAAUCUUUAGAGUGUAAAACCAGUUUUUAUAAAUUUUAAAAAAAUUAUGUAGCCUUACAAAAAAAAUUGUAGAAUUUUAAAAUUUAUGAUUUUAUUUAUUUAUUUAUUUAUUUAUUUUAAAAUUCUAAGAACUUUCUACAAUCCUUUAAAAUCUUCUAUAGUCCUUUGUAGCUUUUUCAAAUCUUAUCCAUUUUUCUAAAAUUUUCUAUUAAAUGUUUUAGUAUCCAAAAGUUUCUUAAAAUGUUUUCAGACUUCUAAGAUAUUGGAUUCAUUUCCAAAUUUUGAGACAAGAUGCGCUUAGUCUUUCCAAUAGAAGUUUAAAGCAACUCAACUAUUCUCUUUUUAUUACUCUCAUAUCUAAUAGUAAAUCUAAUUUUAUAUUUUUUAUAUUUUAGUUUGCUUUUUUAAGUUUCUCUUCUUUAAGUCUUUAUGAAACAUAAGAAAAAAAAACUUACCUUCAAAGUUAUUCUGGGCUGAUCUUGUUUGAUGUGAUUAAACUUUAAAAAGUUUGUGGCUAAAAGUAAUGUAUGCAUUAUCUUUGAGAUAAUUUUCAAAACUCUAAUUUUUUUCAUUCUACAUAAAAUUAUGAUUUUAUUAUAAUAUCUUAAAAUAUAAAAUUACUAUAUUUUAAAAAAAUAUAUAUCAUAAGAUUUUAUUGAUUAAUUUUGAUUUGUAUAUUUUAAUUUUAAAAAUAUAAAAUUAUUAUAUUUUAAAAAUAUAUAUAUCAUAAGAUUUUAUUGAUUAAUUUUGAUUUGUAUAUUUUAAUUUUAAAAAUAUAAAUUAAUUUUUUAUAUGUAGUAAAAAAAUAAAGUAAAUUUUAUGUAAUAUGAUUUUAAGCAUAAAUAGAAUUAUAUACAUAUAUUUUGUAAAGUAUCCAUCAAAUAUUUUUAAUAUAUAUAAACAUAUUAUUUUAUUUAUAUUAAAUAUUAUAUUUUAUCUUUAUAUUAUUGAAGUACAUCUAAAAAUAAUUUCGAUUCAUGAAAUUUUAAAAUUUUAUAACAUAUAUAUAUAUAUAUAUAUAUAUAUAUAUAUAUUUUUAAUGAUUUUUAUUUACUUCAUUUUUGAGCUUUUGAAGUUUAUCUUUUAAAAAAAUUCAAAGCUUAUCAAAUUAUCAUUUUUAUUGAUAUGAUUGUUGCAAAAUUAAUUUAUUAUUUUUAUUAGAAGAUUUUAUUAGCUUUACUUCUAUUAGUUUUUGUCAUAUAUAUAUAUAUAUAUAUAUAUAUAUAUAUAUAUAUACCUAGAUAAGAAGUGUUAGAUAAAAGAUACAUAUAUGUAGAUUUAAUAAUAUCUUGUUGAAAAGCUUUUUAGAAGCUUUAUAGGUACAAGUUUAUAUUUAGAUGUGUUUGUAGUUGAUUGGUAGGUUAGAAACUUAGCCAAACAAUUGGACAUGUAUUGCACAUAUUGACGACUUGUCAUACAAGUUGGCUAUGUGGUGCACAUAGAAAAAACUUAUCUUAUAAGUUAGACAUAUUUUAGAAGUUCUAUAGAAUAUCACCACAUAGUUCUUAGUUAGAUAGUACAUAUAGAGGCAAAAAUGAAGUCUUCUUUAUUCUUGUCAAUGCCUUUCUUAUUUCUAAACUUAUUUUAAAAGACUCUAGUUUUCUUGACUUUGGCAAUAACUAUUCUAGUUCAAUAUUAUAUCAUCAUUGAGUGAUUAUCUACUUUUUAUAAGUGAUAUAAGAAUGUAUUGACCUUUGAUUUUUUGAAAUUUAUGUCCUUGAGAGUUCGAUAAGAAUACUAAUUUAUUGUUCUUAUUUUGUUCUAGAAGUGAGUGGAUUACCCCCAUUUCUUUUGUUGUGUUUUAAAGAUUGCGGACUAUCCACUUUUUAAACUAAUAUUUUUUUUUAUUUUCUAAUCUUGAUUCUUUUCUUAAAAAAAAUAAAAUACUUUUUUUUGUUAAAAAAAUUAGUUUAUAUCAAAGUUUAUAAAUUAUCUUCCAUUAAUUUGACUUAUAGAUUUAUUAAAGAUGUUUAUAUAGAUAUAGAAAGAAAAAUUAUAGAUAUUAUACUUAGCAAAAGUAAGAAUAGAUUUAUAACUAUUGUAGAUCUUCAUAAGCUUUUCAAUAUUCAUAAGGUAGAAAUUUUAUGUAUUAAAAAUAUCAACUAUAAAUAUAUUAUUUUUACAUCUUUAAAAAAAUUAAUAAUAAAAUUUAAAGUCUAUGCUAAAAGAUUAUAUUAUUGAAAAAAGUAAAUAAAUUAAGUUUAUAAUUGAAUCCAAGAAGUCUUACUACCAAAAAUAUAAGAAAAGAAAUGAUAAGUAUACCAAAGAAGUUUGAUAGAACAAGAUCAAAAUUUCAAGGAUUUCCAUAAGUUAAGAUUUAUUUACAAUUAUUGUGAUAAUAUGAGUAAGUAGAAGUAGAUAAAAGUAAUGAAAUUUGAUAAUAACUUAUACAAAAACUUUUUAGAAGCUUUAUAGAUACAACUUUGACUUUUUGUAUGUCUAUAGGUAAUUGAUAGGGUAAAAACUUGACCAACAAGCUGGCUACAUGUUACAUAUGUUGGUGACUUGUGGUAUAAAGUAGACAUGUGGUAUACAUAUAGAAAACUUGGCUUAUAAGUUGGAUACAUGUUCUAUGAGUUGGACACAUAUUGGAGGUCUUAUAGAAUAUUGCCACGUAGCUUUUAGUUAGAGAAUAUAUAUAAAAAUAAUAAUGAGACCUUCUUCAUUUUUGUCAAUUCUUUUUUAUUUUUAGUCUAAUUUCAAGAAUCUUUAGUUUUUUUGACUUUUAGUAAUAGCCAUUCUAAUUUCUUUUAAAUAUAUAUCUUUAGUUAUUUUUUUUCUAUCAUCUUUUUUUGGAAAAUAUUUCACUUGUUUAUUUAUAUUCAUUGAAUAUUUUUCCUUAAUAGCUUCAUUCCUCCUAAUAUCUUGAUGGAUUUACUCAAGUUAGAUUCAUAAAAGUAUUUUUAUUUAAAAUUUCUUUCUCUUGGUUUGUAUCCUUGAUGAAAAAAGAUUUAUAAUUCUUGAAAGUAUUUUUGGCUAUAUUUAGAAAAAAUGAUCUAAAAAAGAUAAUAAUGAUCAAACUCCUAUUUUAAAAAUAAAAAUUAUGUUUAGCUACUAUAUAUAUUACUGAAUUCUAAAACAUUGUUUGUGAUGUGGAUUAAAAUGACAUAAUCUUUAUCAAUCAAUUUUGAUAUGAGUUGAAAAAUAAUGUCCAAGACUUAUUGUUAAUAAUGCAAAAAUUAUAUUCAUUCAAAUAAUUUAUUACUUAAGCCAUUGCAUGCAAUAAUUAAAUUUUUAAAAGAUGUCAAGAAGAAAGUUUUUAUUGAAGAAGUAGAAUUUAAGUUAUAGCAAAAAUUUCUAAGUUUUCAAAAACUCAUUCAUCAAAGCCAAAAUCUAUUCAAAUUGAUAGUAUAUUUUAAACCUCUCACAUAGUAAGAAAAAAUUUAAUAAUGUCAAAAAGAUUUAUUUCUAUAUUGUGAAAAAUCUAAGCACAGUACUCAAUAUAGUCCAAAAAAAUAACAAAAUCAUAAAAUGAAAAAUAUAGUUGCCAAAGAAGACUUUGUAUUAGAAAACAAGUUUCUCUAACUAUAAUAAGGAUUGUGCGGCUGAGAUCUUGUAUAACAUCUAGCAAAGAUCAUUUUUUUUUUUUUCAAAUAUUUUACUUUGCUAUACAAUAGAUGUUUUUUAGGACCAAAAAAUUGCAAAGUUCAUACCUUGUUAGAUUUAAAAGCUUCAACUUAUUUUUAUAGAUAUAAAUUUUUUAAAAAUAUAUAAAAUAUAUUUAGUGAAAAAAACUAAGCUUAUGCAUGUAAAAAUCAUAUUGGUUGUUAGUGGUCUUUUUAAGAUAUUAUCUAUGAAACUAUUCUUUUAUAUGUAAUAAUUAUUGAUUAUAAUAUCUUAGUAAUAUUUAAUAUUAUUAGAUCUUUUAUUAAUCUAAUUAUUUUAAGAUUAUUAUAGCUAAAGAAAUUAAAUUCUUAAAUUGAUUAGAUUUCUUAUAAUCUUGAUUUCUUCCAUAGCCUAAUAUAGACCUAUAUUAAAAAUUAAAAAUUUAAUACAUCUAAAUCUUUAUUUGAUAGAUUGAUAUAAGAACAUUCAUGCAUGCUACAAAAGUAGGUGUAUUUUAUGCUAUUUAUGCUACAUCCAUUUUUGAUGGUGAAAAGACUUCAAGUGAUUUUCUAAGAGAGUAUCAAGAUUAAUAAGAUUUUUUUGAAAAGAAGAAUAUAAAUAUUCUUUUAGAGUAUUAUCCUUAUGAUUGCUCAAUUAAUCUUGAAGAAGGAGCUCAACUACCAUUUAGGCUAAUCUAUAGCUUAUUUUAAAAUAAAUUGGUUGCAUUCAAAGAAUACAUUUAUAAGAACCUAUCUAAGAAUUUUACAUGCCAUUUUAAAUCUCAAAUAAAAACUCCUAUUUUGUUUGUAAAGAUAAAAGUUAAAUCACUAUGGAUAUAUGUGGAUUAUUAAGAACUAAACAAAAUUACUAUAAAAAAUAGAUAACUUUUAUUUUUGAUUUCAAGUCAUUUUAAUUAAUUGAAUUAAGUAAAGAUUUAUAUCAAAAUAGAUCUACAAAGAGCAUACUAUAUAGUAUGCAUCAAAGAAAGAAAGAAAUAAAAGACUAUUUUUUGAAUCAAGUAUGAGCAUUUCAAAUAUAAUGUCAUGCUUUUUGGACUCAUAAAUACACAAGCUAUUUUUCAACAUCUUACGAAUGAUGUAUUUAAAUGAUUUUAUUAUCUAUUAUCUAGAUGAAAUUUUAAUCUACUCCAAGUAUACAAAAAAAUAUGAAUUUCAUAUUUGUAGUAUAUUACAAAAACUUAAAAAUAUAGGACUAUAUGGCAAGAUAGAAAAGUAUGUAUUUCACACAAAUAAAGUUGAUUUCAUAAGAGAUAUCAUUUCAAAUGAUAGCUUAAUAAUGGAUCUAAAGAAAUUUCAAACUAUUAUAGAUUAGGACAUUUUAAAAAUAAUAAAAAACAUAUCAUAUUUUUUAAGAUUUAUUAUUGAAUCUUUGAGAAGAAUUUUUUUAAAAUUGUAGCUCUAUUUUUAUAUUUGACUUAUCAAGAUAAACUUAAGUAGAAUAAAAAAGCUAAAGCAGUAUUUGAAGCUUCAAAGAUAAAUAUUAUUUGUAUAUUAAUCUUGUAUUGCGUUGACUUUUUUUAAAUAUUUUUUAUAAAAAUUAACACAUUUGAAUUUUCUUUGAGUGCUAUAUUGUCACAAAUGAAAGUAGAUGACAAACUUCAUUUUAAUGAUUUUUAUUCAAGAAGAAUUUUAGUAACCAAGAUCAACUAUAAGAUUCAUAAUAUUUUUUUUUUACAAUUUUAGAUUCAUUUAUAUAUAUAUAUAUAUAAAUAUAUAUUUUUAAUUAUAUAUAUAUAUAUAAAUAUAUAUUUAAAAUUAUAUAUAUAUAUAAUAAUUAUAUUAGAAGAAUUAAUAUAUAAAUGGAAUUUUUUAUUUAUAAGGUAAAAAAACAACUAAGCUUUUUCUUGAUAAUAUUUAUUAUUAUCAUGAAUUACCAAAGGAUUUUAUUUUGAAUAAAAGGAAUUAAUUUAAAUCAAGGUUUUGGAGAACCCUCUUCAAGAUUUUAAAAGUAGAUACAAAAUUAUAUUUGGCUUUUAAUCUUCAAAUUGAUAGAUAAAUAAAAUGGAUGAAUUAAGUUUUACAAUAAUAUUUAAGAUAUACCAUUAAUUACCAUUAAGAUGAUUAGACAACUCUUUUGUUAUUUGCAAAGUUUGUUAAUAACAAUACAAUAUAUUCUUUUAUUCAAUAAAAACUUUUUUAUACUAAUUAUAGUUAUUAUCUAUGAUUUGAUACUUUUAACUUUUCAAAAGUUGAUAAUCAUUCAAUAGAGAUUUGAUAAUUUGUUUAUCAAAGCCACAUAUAACAAUGAAGGUACAAUUUAAAGAAGCUCAAAAGUGACAAAAGAUUAAUGUAGAUGCUUAUUGCUAGGAACAACUUGAAUUCCAUGAAGGCAAUAAGAUUUGAUUAUUUUAUUGUAAUAUUAAGAUUAGUUGAUUUUGUGAUAAGUUUUAUUAUUGUAGACUUGGAAUAUUUUUUAUUUAUAAAUAAAUCAAUCUAAUUGUAUAUUAAUUAUAUCUAUAAAAAUUUAUGAAGAUCCAUCUUAUAUUAUGUGUCUCUUCAUAAGCCAUAUAAGACAUUGGACAUACUAAAAGAAGAAAAAUGGUUUUUCUUUUUAAGAAGAUGAAAAAUUAACAACCAAUUGAUUUAAGUUAAAAACUAUUGUAUAUUGAGUUAUGAAAAAAAACAUUAAAAUUAUCACAACCUUUAUAAUGAUGUAAUAGAAAUGAAGAAUCUCAAGAACAAUAUGUAUUUUUUUUAAAUAGAUAGAAAGAUUCAAUGUAUUUGGUAUAUCGAUGUCAUAAGAGACUCUUGAUGUUUGGUCAUAUUAUUGGAAGUAGAAACCACUCUUAAUGGUAUUUCAAAUAUUUUAUAAGAUAGAAGUUACACAUGCCUCAAUAAUAGUCAAAUAUCAAGGUAGUCUUUACAUCCUAAUAUGAAAUACUAUUGAUAGUUGAAACAACCUAUUAAUUUCCUUCAAAAGGAACAAAGAUUAAAGUAUGUAGCAAAUAAUUUUUUUCACAUCUUAGGCUUUCUCAACAUGUAAUUAUUUUUUAUUGUAGAACUUGUUCUUAGAAAAGAGAAGAAAAUAAUGCCAGAGACAUACAUAAUUAUCAAGAUAAGAAAUCUUAAGUAGAAAAUAAAUAAAGGUAGAUUAAAUAAUAUCUUAUAGAAAAUAUUUUUAAAAGCUUCAUAAAUGUAAAUUUGACUUUAAACAAAUUUGUAGUUGAUUAUAAGGUUAGAAACUUGAUUAACAAAUUGAACACAUAUUGCACAUGUUUGUAACUUGUGAUUCAAGUUGGUCAUGUGGUACACAUGGAAGAAACUUGCCUUGCAAUUUAGAUACGUGUCUUGUAAGUUAGACAUAUAUUGAAGGAUCUAUAAAAUGUCACCAUGUAGCUUCUAAUUACAUAGUAUAUAUGGAGAUAAGAAUAAAGCCUUUUGCAGUCUUAUUAAUGCCUUUUUUAUCUUUAAUUUUUUUUUCAGAGACUUUGAUUUUUUUUAUCUUUGACAAUAGUCAUUCUAGUUUAAUAUAUACCAUCUUCAAGUGACUAUAUAUUCCUUUUGAGUGAUACAAGAGUUUAUUAACCUUUGGUUCUUUAAAACUCAUGUCUUUGAUAUUUUUUUUAAAAAAAAUAAUAAAUAUAUAUAUUUAUAUAUUUUAAGUUUUUACCUAAUGAAUGUAUAUUUUUUUCUUCUCAUAUUGGAUAAAUCUAUUUUAUUUUUCUUAACAUAAAUAUUAAUUUUCUAUCACAAUACUAAUAAGCCUAAAAAAGAAUAUAUUAAAAUCUGAAAUAUGAAUUUAAAGACAAGAAAAAUUAUGAAUUUUAUUGAUAUAUAUAUAUAUAUAUAUAUAUAUAUAUAUAUUAAAUAAAACUAAUUUUAAUAAUAUUAUAGUAAUUUUUUUAAUUUUAUUAUUUUUAGCUUAGAUGUAUUUUAUGAAUAAUACCUAAUAGUUAGCAUGUAUUGUAAAAUAAAUUUAAAAACUUCAAUCACUUAAUCAAUAAAUUUAAGAAUUAAAUAAAUUUUUGAUGUAUCAAAUAUAUCAAACAUUUAAAUUUUGUAAAAACUACUUACUAUAAGAAAAGAUAAAAUAUUUUUUUGCUAUAAAAAUAGAAUUUUAUAAUCUUGUUAAUGGAAAAACAUUUAGAAUCUUGAAUUAAUUAGUAUCUAAUGUAUUAAUUUUUAAAAAUUAAUUUUAAAUAAUUAAAUUUCUAUAUAAAAAUUAAAUUAUAUAUAUAUAUUUAAUUAUUAAUAUUGAUUUUAUAAAAAAGUUAAAUUUUAGAUUUAGAUUUUUAAAUUUUUUUAAUGCAUUAUUUUAUAAUGUAUACAUUAAAAUUUUAAAAUCAAUAUAUAUAUAUAUAUAUUGAUUUUAGAAUGUAAUAUUUAUAAGACUGUAUUACACAAGCUACCAACAUAUGUAACACUUGGCUAACUUGUUAACAAAGUUUCUAAUCUUUAAAUAUGUGUAAGGUCAAAAUCAUAUCUAUAAAGCUUUUAGAAAGCUUCUUUAAAAGGUAUUAUGAAAUUAAUCUAUUUUUACUUACUUUUAUUUAAUCAUAUAGGUAAUUAUUGGAGUAAAUAUGUAUGUUUGUGGCAAUAGUUUAAAUGCAAGAUCAAAGAAUUUUGUUAGUAGAGCAAGUUCAUAAAGAGCUUGGACAUUUUGAUAUACACAUAGAAAUUUCUAUGUUAUGCAACCAAUAUUGGUAGACUAAUUGAUAUCAAGAGAUUGGUAAAUAUAUUUCUUAUUAUAAAGUGUGUAAUCAGAUGACCUUGACAUUUAGACUCAAUAUUAAAAAAAAAAAAAAAAAAAAAAAAAAAACUUUAAGAAAAUUAUGUCCAUAGAUAUAGAGAAUAUACAUAUUAUUCAACAUCAUGUUACUUUGAAAUAUGCUUGUAUUUUGAGUAGAGAUUAUCAACUUCAAUUAAGGAGAUUUUCUAAAAAAGAUAUAUAUAUCUAUAUAUAUAUAUAUAUAUAUAUAUAUUUAUUUAUUUGGAACAUGAGAUACUUACAACACUUAUUAUUAAGCCAAAGCUCAUAAUUCUUUGUAUCAAGGAUGUAUUGUCUAGUGGUAUUUUAUUACUUGAAGAGGACAAGAGAAUUAAGAGUAUUUGAAGAAUUGUUUACCUUAUCAUCUUCAUAUUGAUGAUUUUUUACAUCAUAGAUUCAUAGUUGUACAAAAUGGCCUCUUUUAUUUUGUGUGCAGUGAAAAGAAAGGAGCUACUACUAUAUUAUUGUGUGACAAGUGCCAACAUAGGUAGCAUGUAGUAUGCUUCACUUCACCUCGUUUGAUUCUUUCUUUACAAGAUUGGAUUUGUCCUUAUUUUGAGCAGCCUUCUAACUAUGCCUCAUCUAUUGACAAGUAUUUAUAACUCUUUCUUUCAGGUUUUUAACAUGCUUUUAUGAUUUCACUACCACAACAUUGAUUUUAUUAUACAUAGAUUUUGCAACAACAUUAUUGGGGGAUUCAUCUUUGACGAUGUAUAUGUUGUUAUUCUAUUUAAUUUCUAGGGCUUCUAAAUAGAUAAAAAAAGAUACAUGAGAGUGUAUUUGUUAUUUAUUGUUAAUUGAUUUUUAUUUGUAUAUUUGGUAAUGAUUUUUGUCACUCAAUCAGUUAUAUAUGAGAAUCUUUAUUUAUACAAAAAAUAUAUAAAAAUAUUAUAUUAUCCUGCUUUGAAUUAUCUCAUUUUAUUUAUUAUAUUAAGAUAAUAUUAUUUAUACUUUCAUAUAUUUAAAUAUAUAAGUUAGAUCUCAAAAUAAUAUUUUUUAAAUUAUUUUUAAUGAUUCAUACAAAUAUUAUUUUUUUAUUUAAUUUUUGACUUUUUAUUUUAUUCUUAAAAAUAUUUAAUAUAUAUAUGAGUAAUAAUUUAAUAUAAAUAUAUAAUUAAAAGAUUAAUAUUUUAAUAAUUUAAUAAACUAAUAUACUCUAAAUUUUUAAUUUUAUUUUAAAAUCUUAGUUUUAUAAUUUGAAUAAAAAUAUUUUAGAAUAUUUAUUUUAAAAUUUAUAUUUUAUAUGCUUGAUUAUAAUUUUUAAUUAAUAUUCUCAAAUUAUAUAACAUGAGAUUUGUUUUAACAAUUAUUAAUUUAACUAUCAAAGAGCAUCAAUUGCAAACUUUAGUAUCCAUAUCACAUAUAUGUUAAUGGUCUAGUAGUUUAGAAUGUGAUCAAAUUCUAUUAAAAAUUUGGUCAAGAUUUAGUAUUUGAUUCCAAAAACUUUUGGAUGGUGUUAUUUUCUAUCAAAUUCCAACCUAUAAUACAACUUAAUUGUACUAACUUAUGACAAAUUCAAUUGGUUAAAGACUUAACUUUAUGUAUAAAGAAUCUUAUACAAAUCUUUAGUUAUAAUCCAAAUUGCAUAUAAUAUUAUUUUAAAUAAAAUAUAAAAAAAUAAAUAUGAUAAAUUAAUAUAAAGAAAUAUAUGUAAAAUGCAAAGAAUUAUACUUAUAUCAAUAAAUAAAUAAUAAUAGUUGUAGUACAAGUAUGCAACAAAGAAAAAUUACUUUUUAUGUUCUUAGUCUUAUUUCAAGAGUCUCAAAUCCUCUUGUCUUUGGCAAUAGUCAUUCUAGUUUCAAUAUUGUGUUAUUUUUGAAUGAAUAUCUAUUCUUUUUGAAUGACACAAGAAUAUAUUGAGGUUUCAUUUGACUAUGAUAUUUGUCUUUAAUACAUAGUUAUAUUAUUUUAAUUUAUAUAUUACAUACCUAAAUUAUUAUGUAUAGUAUAUUUUUUAUAAUAUAAUACAUAUUGUAAUUUUUAUUUAAAGAAUCUUAACCAUUUCUUAAAAUAAAAAAUAAAUAUAUUUUAAAUUUUAUUUUAUAGUAUAUAGAAAUAAAAAUUAUGUAUCACAUAUUUUUAUAAUUUUUUAAUUAAAAAUAUAAUACAUAUAUAUAAAUUUAUUACUUAGAUUUUUUUGUAAUAAAAUAUUUUAUUUUUUAUCAUUUAUAUUGUACUUAAUACCUAUAGUAAUAAAAUAUCUUUGUAUUAUUUUAAGAUUUGUUGUUGUAAUUAUAUUAUAUUAUUUUUUAUAAAAUAUAAUUUAUAUUUAAAUAAAAUAUACAUGAUAUAUAUUAGAUAGAAUUACAAGGAAACUUAUAAUGGCUAUUAAAGUAGAACAAAGGAUUACAAUGAGGCUAGAAAUUGCUAAUUUGUUGACUUAAGUAAAUAACCAAAAUAAAGGCCUUCUUAUGUCUUUUUUUAUUGGUUGAUUUGGCAUCUAUAAAUUGAAUCAAAUUCAAUAAAUACAUCUAUGUCUUGAAUCAAUUUUUUGACUAACAUUCUAAAAUCUAUGCAAUUAAUUAAAAUAUCUUUAGUCUUUAAAUCUAUCUACAUUAACUAAAAAUUAAGAUCCCUCUACCUAAACUACCAAAGUCAAUAAAAUCUACACAUACAUAUAAAAAAAGUGGUUCUAAUUACAGCAUUAUAUGGCUUCAAGUGAAGUACAUGAACUUGAACUUUUGUUUAACAUUUUGUGAUUGAUUAGACUUAACAAAGUAUUGGAGCAAUAGGAGGAAUCAAGUAUAUUGAACAAAAAUAUGUUAUGAUUCUUAAAAUGAUUUAAUAGCACAACAUUGGUCUCUUUUGAGGACAUAUCUAGGAUAAUCCAUACGGUAAUUAAUGGACAUCUAUGAAUCAAAUAAACAAAUAAAUAGCCAUUGGCCCAAACAACAUGUGUUUGGAUUGGAGACUCACUUGUCUAUUGUGCAUUGACUUUGCAAGUUCAAGUAAACUAGUCAAAACAAUUGAUGCUAAAAUGCAUAUUUUUCCUAACUUGCACGUGCUUGCUUAUACAAACUCUACCUUUUUCAUUUUCAAACUUGAUAGUUUGGGAGAAGUUCUACACAUCCGGGAAAUGUUAACAUGUUCAGAAGUUGUAAAUCUGCCCAAAUUGUUAAAUUGAAUAAACACCCAUUUCAAAAAGUCAUCCCCUCCAUUGUUUCUCAGUGUUUGUUAAUGGCCAAUUAUGACCUUGGCCCAAACUUUCACCUUGUCACCUCCAACUUUCAGCCUCGGAUAUGAACUCAAGGUUUUCCAGGUUCUGCUCAGCCAGCGUUGGGGUUUACAGCGAGGUUUCAGUAUCGCUCAUUCACUUGCAGUACUUGGUGCUGCAUGUGAGUAACUUGCAGCCACAGCAGCACAAUCAUGCUGUUGGAAACAAAUGUCGACGAUCCUUUAGAAUUCAUCAAUGAAUGUUAGGAUUCUACGCGGACUAAAGUUGAAUAGAUUGUGAGGGUUGUGCCCUUUAAGAGAUAUCAGUUCUACCUAUGAAAUGACAGACCGUCAUUGCUACAUUCUGUGUGGUGGAAUUGUGACCUAGAUGGUUUGCACCCUGGUUGUGAUUUUGUGUUAACCGUGGUAUUCGUCUCUUACCAAUUUCGUGGUCGGUGAUAGGUCGGAACAUCCGCAUAGCUCUGGUUCAAAGAUGAUGUUCAUGGACUAAGGACUACAAGAGAUUGCAGGCGGAUUUCGUGGUCCUGGACCCUCCCGAUGCAAUUCUGCAGUUGCGAAACAACUAGACCAUGCUCCAGGAUGAUGCGAAGCUAGAGUUGAGAAAUGCUGGGGGAAACGUGGGGUUCCAAAUCAAUUUGUGCUCACUGCUGAUGCGACGUCGAUCCCAGCUUCCGUCUGCGAAGUUGGCCGUAAGCUCCAUUAGUGACAAAACCACUGGUAGCAGAUGGAUCCCCCAAGUCACAUCCAAUGUCUCCAAUUUAUGAUAAGUCGUGUUUGCGAACCAUGCCGGAGUUCUGGUCAAAAUUAUGGAGUUGGUGGAGAUGAUAGACUGGUGUAGAGGUCUUCCUUACCAGAUGUUCCGCGUGGGUGAUACUUUCAAAGGAUUAAUGCAGAAUUCUGGAACAGUUCCCAGACUACACUGAUCUGCAACAAGCCUUGCGUUCGAACGUUCCUGUUCAUCAUCAUCAGAAGAAGACUGCUUAUCGGGUCAGCGAAGGACACACCUACAGUUGCAAAAGCAGCCCAAUCGAUGCGAUGAACCAGACUGUGACUCCGCAAAGUGGGCCUCGCAAUCAAGAAUUUAGUUUCAAGGAGCUUCAAGGAUGGAUACGGAUUCAUGGGAAAAAUUCAACCCAACUUGUGAUUCCUUACAGAUGAGGAUAAAUUAUGUGUUUGUUGUUUACAGGUGACAAUCUAUCUAUUUCUUCUUAUUUUCACAUCUUGACGUUUGUAGUGCCUAUUAAGGUACUUUUUUUAUUCAUAAUUUGUUUCUUUACAUUUCUAAAAAUAAACUGAAUAACUGAUUUUUUUUUUUUUUUAAGUUGUUUUACAAUCAAUUUCUGAAAUUUGAUUAAGAUUUAAAUCUAGGUUUAAGUUCCAAUUUAUGAUAGUGAUUUAUAUUUUAAAUUAAGAUUUUACUUUAAGACUUUGUUUUGGGAUUUGAUAUGGUACAAUUAUCUUGCCUUCCAACACCUUAUUAGCUAGAUAGAAAAUUUCUAGUUACUUAAAACCUAUAGCCAAGAGGUCAAUACUAGAAAAAAUGGACACAUGUAAUAUUUUGUAAGCCAAAAUGUGUGUUGUAUUUCUAACAAGAGUUUCUUCAUCUUGUAUUAAAGUUAAAAUAUAAGACCUAAUUACCAAACCAACAUCUAUAAGGUUAAAUGAUAAGUUUCUUAUUUGGAUAUUAAUUGAAGCAAUUAUCUUCAUUAUGAUUAAAUUUACCACAAUGAAUAUACUUCAGCUUCUUCUUUUUAGAUUACUUUCAUGUCUAGCCAUUUUUUUUUUUUUUUUUUUUUUUUUGCUUUUAUUUUUUUUACAUGAUGUGUUUUCUUUUUUUUGGAACAAUUAUGAUCAUUCUUAUUGUGACUAGAUUCACCACACAACUAAUAAUGUAUAGUCUUUUUAACUUGGGUUUUAAUUAGUUACCUUGUAGAAAUAACAACCUUCUUGAAUUUAGGAAUAUUUGUCACUUAGGCAACCAUGUAAGCACCAUCAUGUUGAUAGAGAGUCCUUUCACACUUCUUGAUUUCAAUAAAUGUUUGUGCUAGCAUUACUUUGCUAUUAUUAUUAAAAAUAAUUCUUGGUGUGGCAAAUUCUAAAAAUCACUUGUCAAUCUCAGAUAAAAAGAUCUUAACAAGUUGAUUCUUAACAAAUAUGCCUCUUAAUUCUAUUGUAAACUAUAACAAAUGGGUAUACAUAAUAAAUGUUGUGUCUUUUUUUAUACCUAUAAAGUAUCAAAUAUAUUGUAUUUGAUCAUGCAUAAAGCCUCUAAAUUCACUCUCUAAAUGUUUAAUAAACAUUCAAAGUGGCUCAAAAGUUGGUAGCUUUCAUAUUAAAAACAAAGUCAUUUUCACAGCUUGAGCCAUUUGUAAUAAGAUAAGUAGAGUGUUGCUAUCUAAAGGCAAUUCCUAUGCUAAAAUCUUCUCUUUGGUAUCUUCAAGGAAUGUUUCACUUUCUUAUUUUGAUAAAUUUCUAUCUUUCACUGUAAAAAUUAAAUUAAAAAUAGCACCAUCUUUAGCUUCUAAAUUGCACUCUAUUUCUCACAAUUGAAGUAAGUAGUUCUUAUUCUAUCUCCUAUAUGUUAAGAAGGCCUUAUGCUUCAAAUAUUGUUGCAAUAAUUCAAAUGCAUAUCACUUAUUAAAAGUAAAUAAUUGUAAGGAUUUUUUUUAGUCCAAGUUUUAAAUUUGAGCUUUUAAUUUGGUAAGAAAAUACCUCUAACUUGUCUUUAAAACAAUCACUUAGAAUACUAUAAAGAUCAUUGUCUAUCUCACAAAUUAUACCAAUAUUCUAAAUCCAAAAUCUUUUAGUAGUAUCUAGUACUGAAAUAAGCUAAAAUGCCUUGUUGAUAUUUACCACUAGCUCAAAAUCCUUGAUAUGGUUAUUUUGUAAGUAAUUUGGUAAAAAUGAAUUAUAAUAUCUAUUCUUAGUUUGUGCUUUAAAAAAAAACUACUUUAAUACUUGUAACUAUUUAAUAGCUUAAAGACGUGCCUACUAUUGUAAUAUGUAUUAUCUUGUUGAGAAAACAUUAGAUAUCUAUUUAUAAAAGGUAAAUUAUAUUUGUAAUAAAAAAUAAAAAAAUAAAAAAACUAACAAUACUAAAAUAAUUUUAAACGAAUUUUAUUAAUACUUAAUAAUUUUAGUUAAAAAUUAAUUAAAUCCUUAAAAAAUCCUAAAAGAAUCAUUAGAUAAUUCAUAAAUAUCAUAAAAAAUUUAUAAAUAAUAUUAAAAUAAAUAUUUUAAAAACAAUUAAUUUUUUAUAAAGAAAUUAUUAAAAAAUCAUAACAAAGUAAUUCUAAGAAAAUCAUAAAGAAACUUCAAAGAAAUCCUAAAAAAUAAUCUUUAGAAAAGUUAUUAAGUUAUCUUAAUGAAAUUAUAAAAUUAAAAACAAUCACAAUAAUAAUAAAGUUUGGAAGUUGUUAAAGUCACAUCUAACAUUACUAUCUUAUGAUUAAUUCUAUCCAUCUCCAUCUUCAUGCCUUAUUGUCAUGGACAUAUGCAUGUAAGCCAGUAAUUACUUAUAUAAAUAGGUAGAAGUAAGUAGAAGUAGAUAAAAAUAAGUUAAUUCUAUAAUAUCUUUUAUAGAAGCUUCCUAGAAGCUUGAAAGACAUUGCUUUGACUUUAUAGAUGACUUUAAUUGACUUUUUGGUUUAGAAACGUGGUCAACAAGUUCGUCAUAUACCACACAUGUUGUUAGCUUGAAGACCAAGCUAACUAUGUGGCAUAUACAUAGAAAAACUUACUUUGUAAGUCAAGGCAUGUGUCUUAUAAAGUCAACACAUAUUGGAAGUCCUAUAGAACAUUGCCACAUAGCCCCUAGUUAGAUAGUAUAUAUAGAGACAAGAAUGAAGCCCUCUUCACUCUUGUCAACUCUUUUCUUACUUCUAGUCUAGUUUCAAGAGUCUCAAGUUUCCUUGUCUUUUAGAAAUAAGCCAUUCUAGUUUCUUUUAAAUAUAUGUACUUCCUUAUUCUUAUUUUGUCACUCUUUCUUUGAUAGAGAUUUCAUUGGUUUAUGCAUAAUCUUUUAAUUCAUAUCCUUGAUAGAUUGAUAAGAGUACACUUACAAUAUCAUAGCUUUGUCUUGUCUUUAUUAAGAGUGGAUUAUCCCUUUCUCAUGAUAAGACAUAAGCAUAUUAGAAGUUGCCGAUUACCUUCUUCUAAACUGAUAUUGUUCUUAGUAUUUUCUUUGUCCUGAAGUUCUUUCUUCUACUUAUCUUCAGUAAAAUUACAUAUUUUUCUGAGUGUUAUUAUAGCAAAGCUGGUUAAAAUGAAGAGUGCAAUGGCACAAAUGUAAGAACAAUUGAAGGAGUUGAUGCUUGCGAUGCAUCAACUUAGCUUACCACUACAAGGAUCAACAAUAAUGGCACAAAGUAAAGAUAUAGAGAUGAUUAGAGCUGCUUCAACAUCUACACCAAAUCAUGUCCCUCCACCCAUGGUAGAGCAUCCUUCAAGUGUUAGAGAACCAAGAGUUAUCUUAUCCAAGAAGUUUGAUGGUAUAAGAUCCAAAUUUUGAGGAUUUAUCAAUCAAGUAUAAGUUAGGAUUGAACUUUAACAUCAAAGCUAUUGGACUCUAGGAUCUUAAGUUAGAUCCAUUGGUAUACUUCUUUCAAAUUCAGCAUUAUUGUGGUUUUUAUAUUUUUUUGAAUAUUGAGAUCCAAUAUUGGAUAAUUUGAAGGCAUUUUUGGUGGAAUUUUGGUCCAUGUAUAGAGAACAUGAUGUAACUCGUGUUGCAACCAACAAGAUCCGUAUUUUGUGAUAAGACAAUUAAUUUGUAACAUUAUAUGCUUCCUAGUUUUAACAACUUGCAAUUGAUAUCAAGUAAGAUGAUGCUGCAUUUAUUAGCCAAUGUCUCUAUAGAUUAUAAUAUGAAGUAAAGAAAUUGAUGCUCAACUUAUCUAAUCCUCAAACAUUGAGUCAAGCAAUUGACUUUGUUGUAAAGUAUGACAAUUGAUUUUUUGAAUUUUUAUUUCAGAAUCGUACAAGUGGGCCUCAACGUUACUACAAUUCAAUGGCAAUACCAACAUCUCUUCAACACAUACAUUCACAAGUAGACGAUGUACAAAUUGAUGCGGUACAUUUUAAACCCCUUAUCAAGCAAGAAAAGACUCAUUGCUAUCAACAAGGAUUGUGUUUAUAUUGUAGAGAACCUAAACACAUUGCUCAAAAUUAUCCAAAGAAGCGACAAAACCACAAAAUGAGGAGCACAGCUAUCAAAAAAGACAAUGUGUUAGAAAAAAAAUUUGUCUAGCUACAAUAGGAACCGUGCGGCUAGAAUCUUAUAUAAUUUCUAAUGAAGGUCCUAUCCUCUCCUCAGAACCUCCUCCUUGUUUCAUAAUAGCUAUGCAUUUAGGACCUAAUAAUUAUAAAGCCUCUAUUUUGAUAGAUUCAAGAGCAUCAAAUUAUUUCUUAGAUGUAGAAUUUGUUAAAAGUCAUAAAAUAUCGUUAGUACAAAAAACUAAAUUUGUUCAUGUAGAAGUGAAAGAUAAUUGUCCAUUAUCUUUUAGAGAUGUUAUUUAUGAAAUACUUUCUAUAGAUGUAGCAAUAAAUGGUCAUAGUAGUUGUGUAAUCUUUAAUAUAAUUAGAUCUCCUUUUAAUCUAGUCAUUUUAGAUUUAUCGUGGUUAAAAAAGUAUAAUCCUUACAUAGAUUGGAUUUUUCGUACUCUUGACUUCUCUAAAAGUAUAACUAAGAGUGAAAUUAAUCGAGUAGAAAGUCAUAAGUCUAGGACAAUAAAACCUGUGUUUGUAGGUGUAAGAACUUUCAUGCAUGCUGUAAACAAAGGAUCAACUUGUGUUAUUUACGCCACACCUAUUUCUAAUGAUGCAAAGACUUCAAGUGGCAUUCCAAGCUAAUAUCAAGAGUUUUAAGAUGUAUUUGAGAAAAAGAAUGCAGGUUCUCUUUCAAAAAAUUGUUUCUAUGAUUGCUCAAUUGACCUACAAGAAAGAGCACAACCGCCAUUUGGAUUGAUAUAUAGUUUAUCACAAAAUGAAGUACAUGAACUCAAGGAAUAUAUUGAAAAGAAUUUGGCCAAGAAUUUUAUACGCCAUUCCAAAUCGCCAGUAGGAAUUCCAAUCUUAUUUGUAAAGAAGAAAGAUAGAUCAUUACAGAUGUGUAUUGAUUAUCGAGGAUUCAACAAGAUCACCAUCAAGAAUAGGUACCAUCUACCUUCAAUAUCCGGACUUUUUGAUCAACUAAAUGAAGCUAAGAUCUAUACAAAAAUAGAUCUAUGAGGAGCAUACAAUCUAGUACAUAUUAAAAAAGGCGAUGAAUAGAAGACUGCAUUUUGAACUAGGUAUGGAUAUUUUGAAUACAAUGUCAUGCCUUUUAGACUUACAAAUGUAUUAGCAGCUUUUCAAUAUCUAAUGAAUGAUGUUUUUUGAGAGUUUUUGGACGAUUUUGUUAUUUGUUAUAUUGAUGAUAUUUUGAUCUAUUCUAAGAACAAAGAUGAACAUGAACUUCAUGUCUGUUGUGUGUUACAAAAAUUAAGUGAUGCGAGACUCUAUGCCAAGAUAAAAAAGUGUGUAUUCCAUGCUACUCGAGUCAAAUUUUUAAGAUACAUCAUUUCAAAUGAUGGACUUAUGAUGGAUCUUAAGAAAGUUCAAACUAUUAUGGAUUGAAAAAUCCCAAAAACGGUAAGAGAUGUUCAAUAGUUUUUGGGCUUUACCAACUAUUAUCAAACCUUCAUCAAAGACUUCUCUCGAAUUGUAGCCUCACUUACAUGUUUGAAUUACAAAGAUAAACUUGAGUGGAGUAAAGAAGUUGAAGCAUCUUUUAAAACUUUGUAGUCGGCCUUUAUUUUUGCACCAAUCUUGUAUCACGUCAACUUUUCAUAAGGCAUUUUUUAUGGAAACAGAUACAUUAGAUUUUGCUUUGGAUGCUGUAUUAUCAUAAAUGGAAACAAAUGAUAAACUUCACCUAGUAGCUUCUCAUUUUAGAAGAUUUUCAACAACUAAGAUUAACUAUGAAAUCUACAACAAAGAACUUCUUGCAAUCAUGGAUUCAUUUCAAGAAUGGCAUCAUUAUUUAGAAGGCACUUCCAAUCCAGUCACCGUAUAUAUGGACCACAGGAAUUUGAAGUACUUCAUGUUAGCAUGUGUUUUGAAUUGUCUAUAAGUCUAUUGGAACAUGUCUUUAUCAAGAUUUGAUUUCAAGAAUACAUAUCGACUCGAAAAACAACAAGGUUUGUUAGAUGCCCUUUCUAGACGUACUUAUCUUGCACCAAAAGAUGGAGAUGCAUCUUUUGAUCAACAAAGAACAAUUCUCUUGAAGCGAGAGCAUUUUUGUCUUCGAGUAAUGAAAUCAACAUUGACUAUUAAUUCAACCCUUGUGAAAAAAAUCUAAUCAAGUAUGUCUUCUAAUCCUCUUGUUCACAAUAUUAAGAAUCCUUCUUCUAAGCCUUAAGAUACUUCUAAGUUUGAGUUCAAAAACAACCUACUCUAUUUUGAAGGUCAAUUGUAUGUUCCAAAAUGAGAAGCAUGAUUAUGUAUUCUUCAAGCAUGUCACAAUUUUCCAGCAGCAGGACAUUUUGGUUACAAAACUUUGGAGCUUAUAUCCAAAGAUUUUUAGUGGCCACAAAUGUGGAAGGGUAUGAAAGACUUUGUUCAGUCAUGCGACAUUUGUUCAAGAUCAAAAACUCCUUGUCAUCGACCUUAUAAACUUCUUCAACCAUUAUCCAUUCCAGAACAAUCAAGGUCAUCUGUUUCUAUGGAUUUCAUCACGGAUCUUCCAAUCUCAGGUUCUUAUGACUCUAUAUUUGUGAUAGUAGAUCGUUUUACCAAGAUGGCACAUUUUAUACCAUGUAUAAAAUCUAUCACAGGUGAAGAAAUAGCUAAGUUCUUUUUUGACAAUAUCUGUUGCUAUUAUGGAUUAUCUAAGGAUAUUAUAUUAGAUAGGAGAACUCAGUUUGUAUCAAGAUUUGGACAAAUUCUUUUCAAGUUUCUAAAAGAGGAUAUAAAACUAUUUUCAGCAUUCUUUCUUCAAACUGAUGGACAAACGGAGUGUGUUAAUUAAGUUUUGUAGCAAUAUUUAAGAUGUACCAUCAACUACCAACAAGAUGAUUGGACAACUCUUUUGCCACUAGCAAAAUUUACUUAUAAUAAUACGAUACAUUCUUCUACAAAACAAACAGCUUUCUUUGCCAAUUAUGGUUAUCAUCCACGACUUGAUACUUUUGACUUUUUAAAAGUUGAUUAUCUUAUGGCAAAAGAUUUGGGAAAUCAUUUGUCAGAGCUACAUGCAAUAAUGAAGGCGUUGUUAAAAGAAGCUCAAGAACAACAAAAGAUCAAUAUGGAUGUCUAUCAAAUGGAACAACUACCAUUCCACAUAGAUGACAAGGUAUGGUUACUUUGUCGCAAUAUCAAGACCACUCGUCCUUAUAACAAGUUGGACUAUCAUAGGCUUAGACUAUUUUUUUUUUAUUUCUGUAUAAAUUAAUCCAGUUGCAUAUCAUUUACACCUACUAGAGUCAAUGAAAAUCCAUCCAAUAUUCCACUUGUCUCUUCUUAAAUUAUAUAAGAUAGUCGACAUACCAAGAAGAAGACAAAUUCCACCUCUUCCUAUAGAAGUGGACAAUAAUCAAGAAUUCGAAGUGGAAGAAGUUCUAGAUUCAAGGAGAUGCCAAAAUAAAUUAGAAUAUCUUGUCCAUUGGCACGGAUAUUAUAUUAGUGAAAGCAAAUGGGAGCUAGUAAAGAAUCUUGCAAAUCCAACAAAGGCAGUGGAGGCUUUUUAUCGACAACAUCCAUCAAAAUUAAGAUGAAAAUCUUCUUUAUAAAAGAAAGAAAAUCUAAGCAAGAUAACAUUCUACUUUCAAUCCUUAUUUGUAGCUUCUAUAUAGUUGUGAAGCUGAGGAGAUAGAAAACCAACAACUAGUGGAUUCAACUAAAGAGCCUUUCUUUGCUAACCUAUUAGAGGAGAAAUUAUGAUUGUCACAACCUUCAAGAUGAUGCAAUCAAGAUGAAGAUCCUCAAGAACGACAUAUUUUUUCUCAAAUAGAUGGCGAGAUACAACGCGUUUGGUAUCAUGACCUUCGAAGAGACUCUCAAUGUUUGGUAAUUUUAUUAGAGAUAAGAACAACUCCUGACGGUGUUCAAAAUAUUUUAUUUGAAAGAAGUUAUGAAGGCCUCAACAACGAUCAGAUAACAGGAUGGAUUUCUUACGGUGGUAUAGGACACUAUCGAUGAUUGAAAGGCCCUAUCAAUCAUCUUCGAAGGGAACAAAGAUCUGAGUAUGUAACAAAUACAAUUUAUCGCAUCAUAGAUUUUUUCAACAUAUGAUGAUCGCUCUUCAUGAAACUCGUCCAUAAAAAGGGAGGUAAUGUCACGAACAUAUGCAUGUAAGCUAGUAAUUAAUUGUAUAAAUAGCUAGAAGUAAGUAGAAGUAAGUAAAAAUAAAUUAAUUCUAUAAUAUCUUUUAUAAAAGCUUUAUAGAUAUUAUUUUGACUUUAUAUGUGUCUUUAAUUGACUUUUUGAUUUAGAAACGUGGUCAACAAGUUGGUCAUGUACCACACAUGUUGUUAGCUUGAGGACCAAGCUAACUAUGUGGCCCACACAUAGAAAAACUUGCCUUGUAAGUCAAGGCAUGUGUCCUACAAAGUCAACACAUAUUAGAGGUCCUAUAGAACACCGCCACGUAGCCACUAGUUAGAUAGUAUAUAUAGAGACAAGAGUGAAGUCCUCUUUACUCUUGUCAACUCUUUUCUUGCUUUUAGUCUAAUUUCAAGAGUCUCAAGUUUCCUUGUCUUUUGGCAAUAAGCCAUUCUAGUUUCUUUUAAAUAUACGUACUUCUUUAUUCUUAUUUUGUCACUCUUUCUUUGAUACAUAUUUCAUUGGUUUAUGCAUCAUCUUUUAGUUCAUGUCCUUGACACUUAUUUCAUGUCCCAUAUCCCAUAUUUUUUUGUCACUAGUCCUUGUCUUCCAUUCCCUAUGCCUUGUUCCAUAUUUUUUUAAAUUAAUCAUCAUAUAAUUUGGAGGAUGUGGCUUUAACAACUCCCUAAAGUUAUAAAGAAAUCUAAAUGAAUUCCUAUGUAAAUCCUAGAAAUACCCUAAUUAAAUCUUAAAUCAAUCCAAACCAAAUCCUAAACAAAUCAUAACAAAUUCUAAGUAAAUCUUAAUUAAAUCCUAAUGAAAAUCUAAGUAAAUCUUAAUAAAAUUCUUAAAAGUUUCUAACAAAUCUUAAUGAUACUCUUAAGAUAUCCUACAAAUGCUAAUCAAAAUCUAAGUAAUCCUAUCUAAUCUAAAGACAAACUUAAAACUUCAACAUCUAUUCAUUAAGCCAUAAAUGGAUAAAUAAACAUUGAUAUUUUUUUAAUUUUUAUUUUUUUCAUUCAUCAUUUUUUAUUUAACCAAAGUGAGCUUCUUUACUAAAGGUUUUCAAAAAAUAAAUUUAAAAAUGACAUUUUCUAUUCAGAACUUUUAUGUAAAAUUGUUUGCUUUGGAAGCAUACAAAAUCCAUUCACCCAAGGAAGCUAAUGAUGUUAUUGGUUUGUCAAUUGAAGGUCAUCUAGAGCACAUAAUUGGCAUUCACUUAAUGCUAUCAUUUUUUUUUACACACAACACAUCUUUACAGCAUGAUACUUGAUUGGAAAUUGUCUCAUCUCGUAUUACAUUUUAUUUGUUUCCUGAAGAGGGUAUUCCUUACUGUACCUCGAACUAUGUUCCCACCACCUAAUGUACUAAGGAAGCGUCAAAAUAAUCCUCCGAGGUUCUAUCAUAUUUCGUACAAGAAAUAAGGCGAUAUAAUAUAAUUAGUUUAAUCUGACAUUAUUCUAACGAUUCCGACUGUUUCUUGUUCAAAUCCUAUCAGUUUCUUCCCCAUUUUACUCAUCACCUCAACCAGAUUUGUCAAUCAACCAAACAUACAUAUCUGGCUGAAACCAAAAUGGGUAGUGCUGUUUGUAAUAGUUAUUUCAGGUUGUCUCGAACCGUUUUAGACUAACAAGCACUUACCAUUUGUGUGCAUAUUUUGCUAGCAUACUUAAGACAUUGGGAGACGAUUUGGAUGAGGUCCCACAAGUUAACAGGUAACAGCUGAUAAUCAUAGGCAUAUUGGUCCUCAGAGCCCAGCCCAAGUGCAAGACUCCAAACGGACCCCUAUGACCCGCUUAAGUAGGUCUCCUGAGGUGGCAUUCAUACAGAACAGUCUGAUGCUCAUCCAUCUGGUAUGGGGCCAUUACUAAGCAAAGCUUUGGCUACUCAAUACGAGCUUUUAGCACUAUUUUACACUUGUAUGCCUUAAGUGUGACCUGAUAAGGUCAAGAAGACCAGUAUUUAAUCACUUGCAGCAUUCUCUUUUCAGUCUGUUCAUCAAUUAUGCAUAAACAAGACACUUACUCUCUACAGCAGAGAGGUACAAGAUAGCGACAGCUGAUCAAUACAUCGAAACCCAAGAAUAAGGUAGGGAACCACAAAAGAGUCCAGACUGUCAGUCGAAGACAUCCUUAGUGGCAGAGUGGCACCCGUGUUGACUCCAAAGGUCUCAUUUGAGAUGAUCCUUGUGCAUUUACUGGAUUUCAGCUCGAUGCGAGUGGACACCCUGAAACCCGCUUAGUCUUAACCAAACGAAUAAGAGAGCAGCCCAGCGGCGCACCCUGACACUGCAAGACCACUGAUCUCAUGCGACAAGCAGUGUGAUCAUCUUCCGUAUAGCGUAACCAACCAACAAUGUCGGUUUACACCGCCAAGACCAGCCAGCUCAUUUCGAACCUGGAGCCGGUACCAUUCUAUUAAAGGAUCUGUACAGUAAAUGGUAUCAUGGCAGCCAUCACAGUAGUCAGGCAUGACGUCGAUUACGGACAACAUACGCACUCAGUUUGUUAAUUCCUCGUUGAGAUUCAUUUCCGCCGAAGGCAUUGCGGUCCAAACCUGACCUAAAAAUAAAUGCAAUCUUACCUUCAUAAUCCACCACCUACGUCUUCCUACUACCUGUAAUCUCCAAUGGGGGUAUCUCUUUCUCCAGCAUGAACGACCCCGUGAAAACCAUCAUGUUUAGGUCUGAGUGAAACUGCUUCACCUGAACCACCACGCAUCCCACAUUUACUACACAGACACAUAGUACCUCGCAUCAACUUAACCCCACGUCACUCGUUCCCAAAAACCAAGAACCAAAACCAUCACCGAGGUAUGAACUCGUUGACAUUUUCCUCGUGCUCGAUCUCACUGAGCCGUCAACUCGGCCAUCACGGACGCCUAACCCGCCUGCUUACAUCGCACAUCAUCCAUGUCACCGCAACAUGCAUAUCCACAACUCAAACUCGGGACAAGCUAGAUACACACCUGCCCUUCCGCCAUGCGCCUGAACCCAAAUUUGUUAAGCCAGAUACCCUCCGCACCCUCUGCUGCAGGAAGUGCCAACCGCUCCACCCGAAGCACACCUAACAAUCUCUCGAUCGACAAUAGCAGCGCUUUGCAGUGGCCCUGCACCAUCACAAACCAAGCACCGGUCAACCAACACGACGGCUGCGCCACUUGCGCCAUGCCACAACCAGCACAACUCUCCACCCUCCACCUCACACCGUCACAGACCCGCCAAAAGAUAGAGCACAUGUGAUCAGUGGGUCCUGAACUAAUACGAAGUCCACCUCCACAAACCCCGAAACGCGCGAUACCAACUACCCACCUGGCCUUGAUGUGAGGGGUUGGUUGCCAACAGUGGAAGUUCUGCAAGCUGCCUCCCAAACACGCGGAUGAGAGCCGUCGACACCACCCUAUUGCUGCAGUAUUAAAACCCCACAUAACAAUCAGCACACGUGCAUGGACUUCCAUGUCCCCAACACACUUAUAUACAGUUAAACAAACCCGACCAAGUCAAACACCGUUAUCCAAUUAGCGAUGUCGGAAAAUGAUUCAUCGCGACGCUUUCCCUUACAAUCAAACACAUUGCAAAUUAGAAAGACGACACCGGUACAACUUACUCGUACUUCAAGACGACGCAGUAAAUGCCUCCAAAAUCCUGAUCUCGUAAGCUUCGCCUGAACCACCAGUCCCAAAAAAAUGUGAGAACACUGCUUGCACCAUCGUGCAUAGCAAUAAAAACUGCCCGUCAACUACAGAUCCCAGUGCUUCGUCCAAAACCAAUUGAAUCGUCCACUCCACUCAACAUGAAAAACAAAGCAUACCUGUACACCAUAAGAGGAAUCAAAUCCCCUCCUGACACACCAUCCGCAAUGGGAUCAAAGCAUUCCUAUCACAUGAACACCACGCAUUCACUGUCCGCACCACAUGCAACCAGAGUUCACUCAUCUUUAUCCCUUCAUCCACGUUGCUUUACCUCCACUACUGGCUACACCCACAAAAAUUACUUCCCCACACGUAGCUAGUCCUGGAUGUAUGUAAUCCACUACAAUCAACUCUUAUUCCUGGUAUCGCUCUACUUUCGUUCUUGCUCCACGUCAAUAAACUUCCAGUCCUUGUGUAACUAUCCGUAACGCCGACACGAACGCCGGACAGUCCAAAGCUUACCAACAAUAGAAAGAUCGAUUCUCCGCAAGGAUGGCUAUCCCAUACCGUGCGUACAGGAAAGCCUGGGUCAGACAGGUUACGUACCGAAAAUAUUUGUACUGCUUCUGCCAGUGCUUUACCAUUCGACGGGUCUCCACCCCUACCAUGCAGCAGUUGCCAUUCGAAACCUGAGCAGCUAGACUCUGUUGCAUCCUCCGAUCUCUCUAGUCGAGCCUGGUUAGUUCUCAACACUUUGCUGAUGAUGCUAUCAGCCAACGGCUCGGGUCCAUUCGACACAAGUAAGCUUAAUAUGCUGUGAAUAUGCUUGCAGUCUUGUCCACAGAACCACUCGCCCUCUGGCAGCUCCUGAAAAAUCUCACGUAUCACCAUUCGGAUAUAAGUUCUCAUCUCCACUAUUCCUUGUGACUCACAACCUCUAUCACAGUCUCGUAGCCGAACAGUAGCCACGCAUCGAAACACAACCUCACCCCACCCGAGAAGACCCAAAAACCCCGUAACAGAGCAAGACUGCACCUCCACGGCAGGCCAAACUACAUUCCCAAUGUAACCAACAUAGACUCUCAUAAUCAUUGUAAUCGCAAAGAAACAUGUGGUCCCUGUGCUGCGAUGAAUUACCAAUUCCCCCAAUCUUCUACAAGCCCUUCAAGCACCAGUGCAGCUAACUAUAAGUACUACCCUUACUCCAUUGUCACAUGCAUCCUGCCCCGUCCUCAAUUGACACACACAAGUGAACAAUGGAUUCAGGCAGCCACAGGAACAAACACAAUCGAUAUACAUGCACCCCACGCCACCUUUUCCUAAGGCGCCGUACCAAUUUCUAAAGUUCCCGCACAUACUCUGCCACUAGUCUCCCCGCCAAUCAUUUGCUCAGCAAGACUUUUACCUUAAGAUCUUCAAGACCAUGCUUCUUCAAGCACCCGACAUGAUACUCCCGCUCGCACUGAAUAACAUCCAACAACACCGUUCUAAUGAGCAUGAAGACAGAUCAUCACGAAAUAAUCAGCACAACCUGACGCUUCGCCCUUAAUGUCGCCAGCACUCACCUGAUCACAGAGUAAAGUUGUUUUAGGUCCAAAUCCUGUUUUCGCAAAGUCCCCCGAUCUGCCACCACACAAACAGCAUCUAAAUUAGAUUAUGAUCCAUCACACUUGCACAUGACCUACAUCGUAUUCUAAGCCAUCGAAUAAAGGCUCUGGAAGAGAGAGAGAGAGAGAGAGAGAGAGAGAGAGAGAGAGAGAGAGAGAGAGAGAGAGAGAGAGAGAGAGAGAGAGAGAGAGCAAAUCCAUAAGACAGAAGACAAAAACAAAUUAUCUCCCACGACUGAAAACAAACCGCGUCAGAAGGAUGAUUUCAGUCUUCACAAUGCUAAGGUGAGAAACCAUCGCACAUAAUCACAAAAUGCAACCCCUAAACUCGCCUCCUUUGCAAAACUGAAGAGAACAACCGAGCAUGCGCCCAGUUCCUACAAAACUAAACCACAGAGUUGCAUCAAGUCAUCAUACUAACACCGCCAUACUUACUUGCAAAACACACAACCACCCAGAACAAUCGCUUCAGGAACUUGCAACAGCCGUGAGCACCGCCCAAUCAUGCGAUCCUUUGUAAGUAGAGUCUUGGCAGCUCCCUUAGAACGGCGUUUCGUCAUUGACCGCCGCCGGUCCUUUGUCCCACCGAAUCGUUGCUCUUGACAGUCGGGACAGAAAAACUCCCCGAACGAAGACGAAUCCGUUGAACCCAAACAAUCUGCCAAAAACCGUCCCCAACCCAGUCACAUAAAAUCCACCAGAAAUCCCUUAAAAACAAUAAAACAAUAAAUAAAUCCGUCUUCCACCUACAUCGUCAAACUCGUUCCCCAACAAAACAACCACGACUUCCGCCACGUGGUUCACGCCGGGUACAACCGUACCUUGAUGGUAUGCAUUUGGACACCCCGUGCACAACUGAAGAUCCCCACUGUCCCCGCACUCGACACACUGAUCCAAAUGCUCAAUCUUGGCAGGAGUGACGCCUUCCUGCUUCACGUUCUGUUCCACUACCAGAGACUGGGCAGCAUCGUGAAGAGACCGACCAUCUGCCAGAUAUAUGCUAGUGUACCUGUUCGCACCAAUCCCAACGACGAGUCAACGCUUAGUGAACGACUACCAAAGAUUAUCAACACUUCGCACCUCAUCACGGAGUGCGGUUGGCACCAAAACAUGAUAAAUUGCACGAAUGCUGGCGGAGGCCUACAUCAUCAUGUGACAAACUAUAGACAUCGAAAUAGUUCAGCAUCAAGAAAUCUUGAACUCCACAGCUAAUAAAUGAAAACGGUUCCAUUUGAACUGCCUCUAGCCUCCAGGGAUAACUUCCAAUGCUCCUAAAGAAAACGACAACGAAAGACACCCUUUAUAACCAUCGAACAUCACUGCAAGAAGCCACAUAUUUAGGUCGAACACUUGACUCCGACAAGCAAGAAGUAUGAGUAGGUCGUAUCCAUACACACUCGCAUUCAGAUACUUACGGGUUUCUUCGAGAUCCCCAUCCGGCAUGCUGCUCGAAUAAGGAGCAACUAAUCUGCAUUGCAACUCCCAACUUUGUCAAAAAAACAAAACAAAACAAAACCAAAAAGCAAACCACCCAUGAGCGACUAAGCUACGACCGGGAUACAGUAUUUUCUCAAUACAUCCGACUCCAACUCACUCGUACAUACUUCCACACACCAUGUUAUCCAUCAAUAUGAGCGAUUUUCUGUACCAUCCCUACAAGCCAGGCCGUAAAAAAACCCGCCAUAGAGGGAGAAACCGUACCACUUGUUGACAACAGCUGCACAAUAUUCCUGCACCUUUCUUCACUCCAGCUAAAGAUUUCUGCAAAACACCGCAUCAACAUGAGCGACGAUCACGACUGCCCAUGAAUCACUCCACACAUAAACUCGCUCGGUGGACAUGAACCUCCGCCGAAGAAGAAAAUAAAUAAAUUAAUUAAAAAAUAAACUCAAUUCAACACCCAAUACACACAGAACAAACUCCAAGUGGCAAUGCCUCUGAGACAUUCUUAUUUCUAACCAAAAGGACAAGUGUCAAACCUGGCCCUUCACAUAGUACCCGACUUCCGUAUCAUCUUCUAGACCUCCUGGAAGAAACAGAGCUUUGUGUAAAUUUGCUCCACUUGAUUCUCUACUCAGAACUGGAGGACUCGCCGUUUCCUUUUCCCUCGGGGUACGGUCCAAUCUGCAAUAACGGCAUCCAGUUCAAGACGAUAACUAAACUCACCGAAUUCCUUCCACAGAACGAACAGCCCUGGACGUAUACACGCUUGUAAUAUCCAAUGCAUAUCAUGCAAUACCUCAGAACCACCACCACCAUCAUGCCCACUUCUACAUCGAACACACUAGCUGCCUGACAUAAAGUAGAAUCCAAACGAUCUAUAACUGGCAUCUUAAAGUCUACUCUAACCACAUCCUGCAUCAGGUUGUAUCGCCCGCCCCGGCUCACAGAAUCCACUCAGCUCUUGCGGACAAACCUCGGCAUACUAGCUCUGGCAUCGCUUCCCCUUGCCUUCACCUCAGGAGUGAACCUUGCUUUCGUAUCCGACGGCAUUUUUGGUUUCGUAUCUCCUUGGGGCGUCCUCGGUUUCACGUCCACCGGCACCCUAGGUUUCGUGUCGAGUAACGACUUCGGCUGAGGGAGCUUCUUCAACGCAGGUUGGAUCGCUAUUAAAGGGUGCUCCAGACUACUGAUUUGCACUUUCACACCUCCAACUUCACCAAUGGCAGACUUCAGCACAUCCAUUAUGUUCAUCUUCUGCUUGUUUGCAUUCCACCCGAUCUCCAGUAUGUCCUUCAAACAUUUUCCGUUCUCAAGAAAGAUGAAGUCGCUGGGGUGCCGUGCUGAACUGCCAGCAUGCUUCUCGAAUGCAGACACGUUCACGACCUUCAACUCAACCCAACCCAACCGGCGUCAGCCCUCGUGUGACUAAAAGGAAAGCUACACGUACCACAUUACCAUCCACUCCCUAGUGCUCCGCCUGGCACAAACCCUUCAAAUAGACCCCACAUGCCUACGCCAGGAAGACAGUCGAGUGUUACCUGCACGCCUUUGCAGCUGCUGCAGUCGCAAAGUACUCCCCCUUCUUGUAUGAUACCCGUCAGCAUGAUCUGCAUCCAGCCAUAUAUCAGCGGAUCAGCAAAACCACAACACCAAAGUUGCUCCCGGACAAAUUCGCAACCCCAUCAUACUAACACACCGUCCUGUAGGUUGACUGCACCAUCAACCCUACGAUGCCCUACAGCUCCACCAUCUCAAGCUACACUAAGCCCCUUCCUCGCAACGAUGCAGUGAACCAUGAUUGUACAGAACACAAAGCAUCACACAAACCGGAUCCAACCGCCACCUCCAUAUCUUUACAUACGCAAUUAUGCAAUGAUACCAGCUGUCGGCACAUUAGGGCUGCUGCAAACAACGUACAUGCCCACCACGCCCCAUAUAUCGCACGUGAUGCCCAUCCAGCAACCCAGACUGGAGCAGAAGUUUCGCAGACGCCGGAGCCUCUUUCAACAAAACCUCCUUCACCACGAAGCCCCUCGCGCCAUUCAAUGUUGGAGAUUGUCUCAUGCUCACAUCCCCUUGCCCUUUCAAUUUCAAUCGCGACUGCACACACCCCACACAAUGCCACAACAGCAUGUCAGCUCUCCAAACGACAUCUCACAUUUCCAUCCGCACCAUAACUCACUAACCAAGCCCAACCACCCAACCACCCAACCGCCCAAAGCCAUAUCUUCAAUGGUACCACACCAACCUUCAACCCAGGUGACCGCGACUGUGCCGAUGUCGCAGCCGAUGGCGUCGCGACAUCCGAAUCUUGCCUAUCCAUGCUAUCACCCCGUUUCUCACUACCUGAAUGCUGAGGAAACUCCAGAUCCUUGCUGGAAGCCACCGCCGCCCCAGCAGAGCCACCAAGUUCCUGGUUACCCAAACUGUCUUCUCUCGCUGGGUCGCUGCUCAAAUCCUCACUGUCCACCGCACUCUCAACAAAGCCGUUGGUUCCUCCACUGUGUUCCGGCAGCAGAACCACGGGCUCAAACAGCUCCGUGCACUUAUCCUCUUCAACGGUUCCAUUCGUUAGGCCCUUCCCCCCAUUACCGUCCUGUUCGCGCCCAUCCAAGCCAUCGUCCGACAAAGGGUUCGAUGUCGCGUCAUUGCGACUCCCUGCCACUUCGAAUGCAAGGCCUUCCAUAAUAACCUCAACCAUCUUCAUUUCUAGAGCUUUCGAUGCGUCUGCUUUCUCCAUCUGCAACUCAUCCACCUCACUAAUCCCACUGUUGUUGUUCGCACCUUCAUCAUCCGCAGUCUCGCGUUGAUCUGCACCAUCGGCAACGACCGACUCCCCUAGGCCAUUGCACGUUUGAGCAAUCUGCGAACCCACUGACACGGGUGUCGUUCGUGCCUCCGAUACACACACUUCAUCCGCCACAGUCGAUGAGCAACCUACAACAUGACCUCCACCCUUGGUCUUUCCGGAUCCAUCCCCGCUCGGACUCGACUGCAGCACACCACCAUCCCCAGCCGUAUCUGGCACAAACUCCUCCGCAUCCAUUACAACAUCUAUUCCUUCUUCUGCGGCCACGUUUGAAAUCACAUGUUCCUCUAUCCCCAUGUCCACAUGCCCAUUCUGCAAAAUCACCAUGCAUUCCUCCUUCACAACGUCGUCUUCGACUUGCGUCGGCAAGUGAGAAUCAAGGAUUCCGUUCAUUGCAUCCAUGCCUUUCAACUCCAACUCCGCAGAAUUCGACGUAGCCAGCUCUCCGUCACAGUUGACCGUAUCCACACUGGAGUCCGCAGAAGCCGAGAUAACCCCCACAUUCUGCAAAUCCGAAUUCCCUUCAGCAGCUUCGCAAACCCUCGACGCAUCGCCAUCCACGAUUAUACCCGUUUCCGCAGACAGAGCGGGAACGCUAGUGCAAGCACUGAUGGAACCAGAAAUUGUCCUGGGUGAACCCGGUACUGCCUGGCCGUCCGACACUUUGCACCUUGAAAACCACCGAUUCACUUUCAGACACUCGCAAGCCUCGUGCUCGUACUACACAGUACCAACAAACUAUACCACUCCCAAAUUCAAAGAUACGUUGACAUCAAUUUCACACCAUCUCGCUCCUCUUAAACACACAGGACGACAAUUCAGUCCCACUAAAGUCACACAGAAGUAAGUGGCAAGCUCCCGAUUCCCAACGUCCACAGGUGACCCCUACUCGCCACGGCGUCACCGACCGACUAAUUCCUAACAGAACACAUCCACCUACGCAGCACAGCCAAGACACGACGCAACGCGCAAGCUACUCCGAACGAAGCUACUACCAAGGGUAUGUGAGCAACUCACCCCCCUCCCGGUUCUCCCCAAGCCGUGUCGAUCAGCAUUGCAUCUCCAACAGAAGAAUUCAAUAGUACAGAAUUCACUUCCACGUCUGAAGAUCCUCUAACGGCAAGCUUUUUCGCCGGGCUACGCAACUCCUUCAAUCCUUCAUCAAACGCCCUCUUUUUCGUGCUUACUAUCUCGCUUUCAUCCUCCAGGUGCAAGCUGUUGGGAUCCCCGAUCCUAUCACCAGCGAGAGCGCUGGUAGUUGCUGUCAUUAGCCCAUUCUCAACUUCGCAAGCACCCGACAGACCAACGUCCCCCACUCUAUCAGCCACCUCGUGGCCAUUGUUCGCCAAAAUCUCCAUUGCAGCGGACUAUCUACUUGGCAUUAAAGAGGGAAUCGAGAUCGGUUUCUUCACAGGCACUACCUCACCCACUCAUAGCUCCAGCAUACAAAACACCACCACUCCGCCAAAUAAUUGAACCGACUGUAAACACAAACAUGUCACGCGGAGGUCAGCAAACCGAAUUCUGCGACUCCAAGGAACCGUUGCGGACUGCAUGCAAAGAAAUCGAGAGUCGACUUGUUGAGAACCACUUUUCAGCACGAAGCAACCCACGGAUUGAAAUUCAAACGAGAACUCCAGACCCGGCCAGUGUGAGCGGGACUUCGAUGUAGGUCACGAACGAAGGUCCCGUUGCAGAAGCGAAAAGAGUAAGACUCGAAACGGUGCAUGCUGAACAUGAGACACAUGUUCGACCUGCUACGCAUGCCAUGUCCCAUCACCGGGCGGACCAUACGAUAGAUUCGAACUACAAACUUCGCUCAGACUAUUCCCAGUCCAUCGUAACAAGUAUCGUCAUUCUUUACACCCCAAAUUCAUUUUCAUGCGACCAUGAGACGGUCUGCAAAGAGCAGCACCUUGCCAACUCUACAUAGAGAGCUCAACUACAAACGACGGACCAGAGAACUGCGACAAAGAAACCGGUCUAGGACUGUGGAACCAGAUAUGACCAACACUGUGGAGGCAAUCUUGUAAUCAAUGAGGGAAGUUGAGCUGUAAGACCUGACAAAAUUUCUGAUAUUCGGGCGAACAGAGUCUAGUUGGAACAAACUACUACUGCAAGUGGGUCGGGCACUCAUGUGCCACGCCUGGAAAACUAAACGAAGAGCAAAAUGCUUUUGUGAUCUAAGAGAAAAUCGCAAACCAUGGCUAUCUUUCCCGCUCGGACCACACCCGAGUAACAACCUGUCGCAGGCAGAUGCCGAGCUCCUUUCUUGAAAAUGCUGCACUUUCCAAAUAUGUUCUACACCGGAAAAAAGAUGCCGGAGUAGACGUGAAAUCAUCGUGUCGAGUCCUAAAGAAACUACCUCAGCAUCUACAUUGCCAAAACAACUUCCCUUCCAGACUCCCUGCCUAGACAACAGUCCGGAAAAAAGCGCAGAACGGAUGCCAGCGACAUAGAACACGCAAAGUCUCUUGAAGUUGAUGGGAAUGAAGUUUUCAAGUUUUAGGUCGGAUGCACACAACGUUAAAACAAACCCUAAAUCCCACAAAAUGCGAGGCAUCGAACCAAGCGUCAUGUAAUUGAGCCCCGAGGCCAUAUGACUAAUAGAGAGAGAGAAAGAUGAGGCCACAGCGAUGGAGAAUAAUGUGAGAAUCCAAAAACUUCUCCAAAACCAGAACCAUACCACGACGCACCUCAAGCCUGAUACUUCCUCAACCCUCGCAAUGAACCACCACCACAUGCCCUAACCAUAGCACCACCAAAAUAAAAAUAUAUAACGGCGGCGAACAGAUCACGCCCCGACAUCAGCUCCCGCCAAGCGAAACGCAAGGGUUUUACGACGCAUAAAACUUCCCCAAAGCCUCAAAACUGCCCACGAAAACUACACUAACCCUAAAGCAACUCACUUGACCUCCCCAGGGACCCAUGGGAGCUCACCCUACCAGGCAAGGAUAGGUGAAUAAAGUCCGAAUGAGAUUUGGCGCAACUCUGCGGGACGAAGCUGUUGUUGCCCGCCAUGGACACUCUCACAUGUCACAGCAGACGACGACGAUUAUGGGCCCUCUUUCUUCCACCGCUUCCGAUCGAUAUCGGAUGAUAAACUCCGUCGGACGUACGAGCACAAAUUCGUUUCACAGCCCAGUCUUGUGCAAAGGUGAACAAAAGCUUCAUUCGAAAGGAGGCGAGCUUUUUAUGGUGGACGGAAAAGCAGAGAAUUGGAUGGAUGAAACUUGAAGUAGACGAAGAUUCCUGCGGUUCAUCCAAUUUAGAUUUGGACUGGGUACGUUGCUACAUUUGUGGAGAAGCCUCCAGUCAUUUGCCUAAUUAUGGAUGUAAUACUCCUAUUUUUAUUCCAUGCUUGCUUGAAUAUUUUCCAAAUUCAACUUCUAAACAAUGCAUUCCCAUUCCUAUUUGCUAAAGCUAUAUGAACAAUCCAAUGUUAAAGCUUGAUUGUUUCUAACAUAAAUAAUGAUAUAAUGUGAAAUAUUCAUCAUCAUGCGAAUCCUUUUGUAUUGUUUAUACUCUGAUUUCUUCAAAUAAAGUAAACCAUACGAAAAAGUACACAUAUAGAGUACUGCAAUGAAAUGUUAAUAAUCAGCAUUCUGUGGAAUUACAAUCAGUUCCAAGUAAAUUUAAUAAAAUCAUGUUAUCUUUUGUACUGUUCUAUUUUACACACAGGAUACUUCUUGAGCUGAAAUGUAUUGCUUUAAGUGUAUGCAUAUUGCAAAGAAAACAAUAAUUAUUUACGUCUUUUAACUAAACAUUAAAUAAAGUUUUUGACAUUUCAUGAAGGGAAAAAAGGGGGGGGGGCAACGUACUGGUUUGUGAAUGUUGUAUUUAAAUUUUUAGUUUCUGAUCAUAAUUUUACAUUCUCGUAUCAGUGACAGUUUCAAACGUAGAAUACUAAAUAAAUUAAAUGUUUGCAUCAAUAGGUCAGAGCAUGCUGUAUAUAUAAUUACUGCACUUUUCGAAAAGAAACAAAAUUGCGACUUAAAAGUUGCAUUAAAAAAAUAAUAAAAAAUCAUAUUCCAUAAAACAGAUAAAAUUUCAAUCAUAAAACAGAAACAAAACAUAUGUGUGGUUGAUAUUAGAUAAAUUUAUUUUAAAAAAGUAUUUUUGUGUAGUUUAAAAGAUAUAAGAAAAAUUCUUUAAUGCAGUACAUUUUAUUUUCUAAAAACAUUUAAUAAAAUAUUAUUGUAAUCCAUCCUUUUUGCAAUUUUGAUUGCAACUUAUCAAAUUCCAUUAUGUGUUUUUUUUAAUGAAUUUUCUUGGAUGCAAAAGCAAAGCAAUAAAUGAUGAAAAAAUACAAGAGAAACAAAAUACCAAAUAAAAAACUAUUCUAAAUAUAAAACAAUAAACUUGUAAAACACUAGGAUUGCUGCAAAACUUAUGUAGUAAGAAAAAAAGUAUUUUAUUAUUUUUUAUUUACUUUUAGUAUGUUAAUAGCACUCCUUGUUGAUACUUGUAAUUCAUGUUUUAAAAUUAAUAGAUUAUUUUGAAAAAUAAAAUAAAAAACAAAAUUUCAAAAAACUUUUAAUAGAAUUUAGAAGAUAUAGAUAGCAAAUAAUAAUUUUAAAAGAUAUAUAUAUAUAUAUAUAUAUAUAUAUAUAUAUAUCCAUUCAGUUAACAAUGUAUUUUGAAACAAUCUAAGGAAUUUUUAAGAUCUACAUAAAGUAGUACAAAAUGUCUACAAAGUUAUACAAAAUUACAAAUGUUUUAAAUACUCUUUAAUACCAAUAUUUGUAGCAUGUUUGUUAUUAAAGAACAAUAGUUUUUUGUGGAAUUUAACAAAACAUUACACAAACAUUGAAAAAUCUUAAAAGUAUGUAUCAUGUUUUAAUCUCAAUACUAUUGAUGAAUAAAAUUAAUUAACUAAAAAUUAAUUAAAUCUUAGGUUUUAAAUUAUAUAAAGAUUCUAAAGGAUUUGUUUUCAACUUUCAAAUCCAUAAAUAAACCUCAUUAUAAAAUUUUAACUAAGAAAAUACCAAAAUUUAUGAUAUCAAUUAAAUUUUAGAAUAAAAUAAUUAAUACAUCUCAAACUAUUAACAAAAUAUAGAUAUAUUUUAAAUUAUCAAUAUUUUUUGUGAACUCAUGAUUUUGAAAUUAGUUUUGUUAGAAAUCUAAAAACAAAGCUUUGGACAACCAUCUUGAUGUAAUCUAAAGUACCAUCUACUUAAUUUGUAUGAUAGUCAAAGCUAUUAUAGAAGUUAUGUGCAUCAUAAGUAUAAACCUCAAGUAGAGUUAAAGAAAACAUAUUUUCAAACAUUAAAAAUAUAUAUAAUAAAAUGACCAUUACAAAAGUUAUAUUAAUAAAAAUUAUAUCUAUUUAUAAUUAUCUACAAAAACAAUUUGGUCAACUUUAGUCUUAAGUUUCUAUUGAGUAUGUAAUUUAUCUAAUCUUUAUGCUUUGUUCUUUAAAAGCCUGUAAUAAAUCACAUUCAAAAUAAAUAUAUUCUUACCACAACUUUAAACUUUAAUUUACAUAAAUUUAAUUAAAAAAGUUAAUAAAUUUAUUAUGAUUAUAAAAAACAUAUUUGACAAAUUAAGAAGAUUGAAGUUACUGACUUAAUUGAGGUAGAAAAAAAAUUCAUCUAUAUAGAAAGGGAUGAUAUUUCAAUACAAUACGUGUUAUCUUCUAAGACUAUGAUUUAUUUAAGAUCAUAGUAAUCAAGAAUUGGAGUUAAGCUACAAGAGAGAGUUUUAUUUUUAUUUUUUAUAAGAGUAUUAGGAAUUAAGUAGUAUUAUGAGUAAUUAAUUGCUUACAAGUUGAAAAAACAUUUGUUUAAGAAUAUUUUUUUUAUUUGAUUAAUAUGUAUGAUCCAUGGAAAAAUAUAUAGAAAAAUAUUUAAUGUAGUUGGAUUGAUAAUAAAUUAUUUUUAUGUAAUAUUAGGAUAAGCCAAGUCAAAUAUAAUAAGAAAAAACUAUCUCUAUGAGAUAAAAAAAUAUUUUAUACAAAAUGAAUAUUAUUUAGAUAAAGGUAUACAUUCAAAUUACAUUAAUGUUUUGAAGAAUAAUGUUUGGGAAGAAAAGUCAGAAAAAUAUUGACUUAUUUGAACAAAUCAUGAUUAGAUAAAUCCAUAAAAUAUAUGGAAUAUAAGACAUAAAUUAAUUAUAGAUGAUAAAGCAAAACUUAAAAUUGUCAAAACUUAAAAUCGUCAAAUUUAACGAUUUUAUAUAAAUAAGACAAAAUAUAACGAUUUUAUAAAUAAGACAAUAUAUUUAUAAAUUUUGUCUUGUUUAUAAAAUCGUUAUAUUUAUUAUGAUUAAAUUGAUUUCAUAUUAUUACAAUAAUAAAAAUAGAAUUUUAUAGUUUUUAUAGUCAUUAUUAUUAUUAUUAUUAUUAUUAUUAUUAUUAUUUAAUUAUCAAUUUUAAUAUUUUUAAAAUCUAUUGAAAUUUCAUCAAUUUAUUGUGAUGAAGCAAUAACAAAUUUGGUAUUGCAUAGCUGUUUUUUAUUUUUUAUACUUUUUUAUAACAUAUAUCUAUAAGAGAGUAUUUUCUAUGAUAUGUUAAGUAUGAUUUAUUAUAAAUGCAAAACUUAGUUAAGAAUUUUCUCCUAAAAUAUUUCAAUUAAAUAUUUUUAAAUAUUUUAUAUUAUUUUAAAAAUUAUAUUUAAUUUUCUUUUUAAGAAGUCUUUAAAACAAUCUUCUUAGAGUAAGUGAUUUGCAACCUCUUAGAUUAGAUAUUAAGUUUGCAGUAACAAUAUUUUACUAUUUUAGAAAUAUUUAAAUUUAAGACAAAAUAUUAGCUCAGUAGCACUUUGUUUAUAAUCUACAAGAUCAAAUUUUAAAUUUUAAAAGAAGAAUAAUCUAUUUUCUUCACUAAUUAUUAAUAUAAGAUAUUCUUUUUGUAAAAUGUGAAUGAUUUGCAAUCUAACAUUACAAAAAUAUUUUUCAUAAAACUUAGUAAUUUAUUCACUUUAAAAAAAAACUUAUUUUUUUUAAUAAAAUUUCAAUAUUACAAAAAAAUUAAGAAUAAAAAGAUGGUGGACUAUGAAAAUUAAAAUAUAUACAUAAAAAUCAAGAAAUAAGAUAAUAAAACAAAAAAUAGUGCAAUACUAGAAAAAUUUAAAGCUUUUAGUUGUUCCAAAACUUGUAUUAGCAAAAUUAAGGUUUUUCAUGUCUUGUCUCUUUAUUUAUAUUAUCAACAUCAAGAUUGUGUAGAAGCCUUUAAUAUAAUAUCUAACAACCAUAGAAUAUUGCAAACUACAUUUUUUGUAGAAAGAGAAGAAUAUGAAUCAUCUAUAAUAAUUAUGGCAAACUAUGGAAGGUAAGAAUAUUAUGGGCUGUUCUAAAGAAUUCCAAGAAACCUCUAGAAUUAUUAAUAAUUUUUUUUUAUAUAUAUAUAUAUAUUAAAAGGUGGUUAAAGCCACGUUUAUUUUCAUGUGUAAGACACUUAGUAUGAUUUAUCACUACCAAAAAAAAUCUUAAAUUUAAAUAUUCUAUAACAUGUUCUAAAACUAAGUUGUAGGGAUUUUGAUUAAUUAAUACUAACAUCUUAAUUUUUUUAGUUAUUAUAUUUUGUAUCAAAAUACUUUAAAAAUUUAUAUUUUUGAUUGGUACUAGUAUAUGUUAAAAGAAAUAAAUAAAUAACAAGUAUUAUCCAAGCUAUUUAAGAAAUAAUUUUAAUUUGUAAAUUACAAAUAUAUGAUGAUUCAAUAUGUUUUGAAAAAGAAAAGAAAAGAAAAGAAAAGAAAACUAAGAACCAAUUGAACUUAAUAAAAUGUGGUGCAACACUAUAUGAUUUAUCUCAAACCUUGUUGCUUAAGUAAGAACAAGCUAAUUUUACUACACAAUAAAAUUAUGAUUAAACUUCAACCACUCAAAAUUAGUGCCAAAUUCAAAUAGAUGAAUAAAACAACACACAAUCUGAAUUUUAAUAGUUCGACCGUCCGUAGAAACUAAAUUAUGUUUGUGUAAACCACAUUCUUGUAUUUGUAGAACUUGGAGUUGAUCGAAAUUUGAAUGGGAUGUUCAGUUGUGCGUCACACGUACGUUACAUUUGAUACAUACGAUAUACAUACUUACAGGUACAUACAUACCCCAUUGAAUACAUAUAUACGCCACCCGCUUUGGCUGAAUCACCCCGAGGUGGGAGGAGGUGGACCGAAUGAAGGUGGCCACAGCCCCCAGCACCUUCCGCAUUUGAUUUUGACAUGCUCGGAUGGCGUUUGGGAGCCAUGGAUUUUCCGUUCUCGCAAUCACAGUACCAAUGAUUCUUUGAGGUGGAUGGAUGAUCAGAUUCCAUUCCCAAGGUUUAAGAGAUGGGAUUUUUCGGUCGUUUUUUUAGGUUUUUUCAUGUCAAGUUUUUGAGCCGUCGAUUCUGGAUGCAAUGUUGGAAUUGGGAGGUGAAUGUUAUGUGUUGCGGAUAGCUGGGGGAGUGAAGCAGUAAAUGAAGAACCAAUGUCAUUGUUUAGGCAAGUGCGGGAUCCUUGUAUGGCUUUUUUUCCCCCCUCUCGUUUACUUAUUCUGAGCCCAGUCGUAUUCAGGAUCGCGCUGACACAGUGAGCUGCUUCUGGAGAGGAUUUGGUAGGUCUGGUUCUGGCGUGAUGUGAGUCCGAAGUACUCAACUUGAGAGUGAGGGCUGAGCAUAGAUAUCUUUUUUGCAAACCUGCCGUUGAUACAACCAAGUCUCUCUCUAACGUUAGAGUUGUUUGAACACGUUUUGCGGUUUCCGCCACAAUUCUCCAUUGCGACAGUCACCUCAUGAAACAGUCGGCAACAUCUUAUCAUUUCAUGAUGUAUUCAAGUGUUGAAUUACGAACCUUUGACUGAGGCUUUGUCUAACGAUCUCGUGACUUUUGGUCCGAUACAGGGUUGUUUGAUGAAGUUGCUUCAGUUAUUGAGAGUCGACAGUGUUCAGGUAUUUCCGUUGUGCAAGCAUUAAGGGAUACUUUGGCAAGCUGCCCGACUGGUAGAAGGGUUUAUAUUUUUAAUCGAAUUUGAGCCGUAUAUGAGAAAACAAGUAUUGUUCAUAGUCUCUUCAAUCCAUCGUCAUACGCUCUGGAAUGUGGGUUCGAUUUGUGGAGGAGCUGUACAAUGUGACCUCAAUUCUCUUUUAUGUAUCAUAUUAAAAUUCUGCAAAAGCAGGUUCAUUAUGUAAUUAGGUUAAGAAUUAGUUAUUUUUUUUCAUAUUAUAAAUUUCAGUUUUAAUUGCCGUUUUUUCCUUUGUUGUUAAGCCCUGACUAAAUAGUGUAACAUGGUAACUAAUCUGAAUGCGUGAAUUAUUUAGGAUGAUGGAGUUACCAAUCCUUUGCGCCGGCUCUAAUGCAUUCAGCUCAAUUUCAAACAGAGAGUGCGGUGGCUAUGGACGCGCCAUCUGCUGUGGCAUCGGACGCUCCCGGGUUCGUCUUCGACUCCACUUCCGGGCUCUACUACGAUGCCAGGUGCUGUAUCAAGUUUUGCUCGAAUAUUGUUGACUUUUUGAAGUGUUAACGAUGGAUUAUGGAUAGGUGUGGUGCUGAAUAACUUCAAGUAGCACUGGGUCACAACAGUCGUGGUCACUCUUCGUUAGUUACGUUAAAAGUGUCCUCUUAACAGGACAUCGAGAUGAUUUCUUUCUUAUAGUUGUACCUUUACUUGAGCAUGCUUACUGGUAAAGUAUUGGGCGGCCGCUCCCCCCACUGCUAUUUAGUGUCAUGUACCGUACAGGUAUUUUAUGCGGCCUCUUUCUCGUCGCACGCCUAUUUUAAUCGAUGGAUUUCCAUGUGGAUCCCAGAGAGUUUUUGGGCUCUAGUCGAAAAGAUGCCAAUGUUUGCAUUUUUCAGCUUGGUUUGGAGGGUUUUGUCGACUUCAAUCGUGUGCGAUUUGUAGUGUACUCUGAACAUGUGGAACAGAGUGAGAACACUUGGCUCAAUGAAAUAACUGAAGACUAGAAAGCAAUAUAACAUAAAAGAGCGAGGCGAUGUAUAGAUUUGUUUUACUGUUGACUUAGUCAUUAUGAAUGGAUUGAAUUUCGAGAAGUGGUUGUCAAAGAAGGGUUGUAGUUAGUUAUUAUGGAAGAGCGAUAGUUACUAUUAUGAUUCAGAUUCAUUUAGUUACCACUUUUUAGUUGGUAUUUCAAUUUUGGUAUUUGCUUCAAUGCAUUUGUAAUCAUAAUGAGGGAAAUAAAAAAGAAAAUGCAUCUGUGCAGCUCUGGUUUCUACUAUGAUGCGCAAGCUGGUUGGUACUACAAUACUCAUGAUGGACAGUAUUAUAUAUAUGAGAACGAGGCUUACGUGCCUUUAUCAGCGACGGUCCGUGAAGAAACUGUUCUUCGAGGUAGCUACCCUGUAAUUGUAUAGCUUAGGUGCCCAAUCUGAUUUAUGUUAUCGUUCACACUGCAAUAUAUGUUGGGAAGUAUUAUUGAUGUCCUAUUAAUUUAUAAAUCAGAAUCGCAUAUUACGAGUGAAUGCAACAGCUCUAUUUAACAAGCCGCUGUAUCGUCUAAUCUACAACCUUGGUCUUAGCUAUAAGCAAUUCUAGUUGUACCUGACCUGUGGAAUUUAAACAGCUGUUGAUGAUGAAUCAAAUCAGGCAUCGGUUCAAGGUGCUGGGCGUUUGUCAAAUCCUGAACAUCAUCUGAGUGAAGAAGCCAUUCCUAUACAGGGAACGACUUCUACAAGUAGAAAUUCAACAAUGUCUACACAUAUCGCUGGCUUCACAGCAGAUCAAGAAGCUACCAUUGAUGAAACGUCAUCCCACCUAGAUAAAGAUAGCACUAUGAAGGAUGCCGCAGCUGUAGCAUCGGACUCUGAAUGGCAAGUUCAAUCUUUUAGAUAUGCGCAGAAUGUGACUGAAGUCACAAGCGACUCUUCAAGCGGAUUGAUCCCUGGAACCGAAAUGUCUUCGCUAUCUAUGGGAACUGUACCAACUAAAAGCUUGGAUACUACUGAACAAGGAGAUGCUGGUAAUGAGCCAGUAGAAUCAAGACCAGCUUCCGUAUGGUAGGUCUCAUUGCGUGCUUUCAUUUCACGAAAAAUGGUUAAAGACUUCAUAUUACCAUAUGGACGUCGACUUUUCCUCUAUAAAAUUUGAGAACAUUAAACUUACAUUAUAGUUUGAUUCACUUUCAGGAUUGCAGAAACCCUCAACGAGUUGUACUCACAGAAUACGUUUGAGACACCUACCAACGGAGGAAAAUCUGGAGUAAGUGUUGAUCCUUCUUCACAGCAUUUGUACUACCUUCCAAAUUCUGGUGGAGAAGACCCAUAUGAAUACACCUACAUGAGUGGAGAUUAUAAUGAAGAUACCUGGCGAGAGCCACAACACCAACGUCGGCAACAUUGGGGCUACAGUGUUGCCGGGGAAUAUCCCGCAACAAUGGACAACGAGUUGUAUGAGGUGAGGGUUGGUGGUACACAGCGUGAAGAUAUGUGUUGUAUUUCGUUUUGUGUAACGUGAGGUUAUUAGUACUAUCUUUAUUUAUAAUUUUUUGUUUGCAGUCAGAUGAUCAGAGUGAAGAGCUAGAAGAAGGUGAAUGGAGACCUGAAGAAGAGGAAAAAGAAAAGUAUGUCUUCGCUGAUAUUGAUGAAGUAGAAGAAGGUGAAAUUCGCGAGAGUCCUAGUGAGGAACCAGGUAUACCCUCUUCUUUUCUCUAGUCUUUCCUCCUUUAUGGGUAGAUGGUUUUGUGUGGAGAUUGGACUUUGAUGUAGUGGCAAAUUUGAUGAGUAACAGAUUUUCGAUUCUCUUUGCUUACAGAAAGUUUAGGAAUGGAUGGAGAAGAUCGUGGCACUUUCGGUGGAGGAGAAGAUCCUGCAUACAGAGGGUCAUCUCCCAUACACACAGAAAACUAUCUGUAUGAGGAUGGUAAAAUUGCAGGAGCUGACUAUACUUACGUCACCCAUCUCUCUGAGAAUUUGCCUGGAAGUGAUGCAGAUUUAAUUACAACUGCAUCAGUCGUAACAGCAGAAGAACAGUGGCAAGCUCAGUAUCUUCCAGCAGCUAAGUUAAAGCCACGAACUUAUAGUGGUUCAAUGGAACUUUGGGACUGGAGUAUUGUAGAGCAGGAAAAAAAGGUUUCAAAAAAGAAAGUGAAGAAAAUCAUUCGUUUGGUGGGCCGGUUAGCACCAAAUGCUACUCAAGUUCAUCCAUCUCUACGUGGUUCAGGAGGUCUUAUUCGUACUACUCCAAUACUUGAAGCCGACCAUGAGUUUGUGAAGGUCUCAUCAGGUUCGUUAGACACUCAUUUCAGAUGACAUUUUUUCAGUUCAUUUGUUCUCUUAUUCUUGUAUUGUAUAAUCGUGUCCAUAAUUUGUCAAAAAUGUUUAUUGGAUGACAUAUUAUUUAGUAUAUUCUUACGAGUUGCCGUGGAAUAUUUUUGCUAAGAAUUUGUUCCGAGGGCUUCAGUUUCUAUUGGCAGCAGAGAUAAGCUGAGGAAACUAUUGUCAGACUUUUGUUAUAAGGUUUCGUAUGUUCUAAAUUCUUUUGAAUGGAACCUGUAUCAGUGUUUGUCUGGUAUUUAACUAGUUGCAAAGUUAUAUUUGUGCAGGGCGGAUUUACAAACUUCGACGGCCAAGCUCGAAACAUCUUGCAGUAUAUCCUGGCUGUGUUUCCUCCAAUCCAAGUCAAGAUUGGGGCCUCCCACUCAUAAAUACGAAUCCAGCAGAAAACUACAUCAGCCAUAGUUCCGGCACGCAUGAUGCUAUUUUAAGCACUGAUUCUGGACUUGGGAACGAUCAGUCUGCUGCACCUAAGAAGGUUAGAAUUGUUCUUCAUUUUGUACUGAAUAGUCUUCUCCUUGGUAAAUUUAUUUCAAAAAGAUUUUAAAGAUGUUCUCUACAGUAGAGCGCAGUUUCUAACUUCUUGAAUAUAGACAUCGACAUUCUCUGUCAUUAUGCCCUAGAGCUUCUGAAAUGUGUUUGUACUAUGGACAGAAGAACUCAAAGCUGAAAUUUAAAGGAGUCGAUGGGGAACCGCAACCUAAAUAUAGGGACAGGGCUGCAGAGAGAAGAACUUUACACAGGGGUUUCGGAAUAGGACCUGGUCAGAAGCUAGUAUCUGUACACGAGCUUGAGAAAGAGGAAGCAGAAGCUGCCACAGAGAUGCCAGCAGCCUUGGAAAAGGCCGCUUCAGCAAGGCGCAUAGGGAGGGAUAACAUCGGGAAACGGAUGUUGGAGGGUAUGGGGUGGAAAGAGGUUAGUUGUUUUUGUUCCACAGAUCAAUUAGUGCAAUUAUAUAGGCCGUUGAAAUCCGGAGAAGUUUUUGUAAUUAGGAAAUACAUCUAUUUUUAUCAUGCUCCUCUAUUCACGCAUAUCUUCUUUCCUCCCAGCUCUUUUUUAGGAGUUUUACAUAUACUGGAUGCUGCUCUUUUACAGGGACAAUCAUUGGGCUCUGGAGAAGGAGGUCUAGUAGAUCCCAUCUUAGCUUUGGGCAACACUGGUCGUACUGGCUUGGGUUGGAACUAGUGGCUUUUUCGCAUCUAUGAUUCUUGUUCGAAAUAUACCGAUGGCCUCAAGCUCAAAGAAGUCUUUGUUCCUCGUAUGUAGAAAAGAGGUCAGUGUCUCACCUGUACUGGAUGGGUAAAUUAGAAAGAUGUCAUCAACCCUUGUAGGCUUACCUGUAAUAGAUCCAACAAGCGUUUUAUGGUUCUAUUCGUGGAAUUGCAGGAAGUGACGCAAAAGAUGGUCAACAUGGGCACAUCGGCAUACAUUAAAACAUCCAAUAUGCAGCUCAUGUGCUUUCAAGUCUCUUUCGACUAUCUAUUCGAGCGUUUAGCUGUGUCAUUACAUUCUGGAAUCAAGUACACCGGCUUCAAAUCUUUUCAGCUCUUACUAUAAAUUGCAGAGAUGUCAAGAAUUGUUCUGAGUCUUCGUAAUAAUAUCAGCUCACAACGGUGAAGAGAUCCAUUUGGCAUGAUGUCUACGCAGAGAUAUCGCUGUCGGCAGCAUGGGGAGGUGAAACUGUGAAGCCUUUUACGUGUGUAUUGAUACAGGAUAUCCCUGUCCAUUCCAUUACGCUCCAGGAUAUCAAAUCGAUUGGUUGCGAUUGAGCCAGAGCUGUAAGUUUGUUGCUUUCCUUGCCUUGAGCAUUUUAAAACAUCUUAGUUUGCGGGUGGAUCAAGAAGUUCACUUUUGAUACAAAUUAACUGUGUGGUGAUCUGGGGAAUUGGAUAUUUCAAGCUUUAGUAACAGAACUGAAAAAUCUGCCCUAGGCAUAAGGUCUUUUCAGCUGCAGUGAGAUACCUUCUGCUGCAGCCUUCAUUGUUCAGUUAUGUCAUGGAAUUUUACCUGUCAAAAUGUUCCUAGCAUACUGAACGAAGUCUUGUUUUAGACUCUUACAUGGGAUUUCUUGACACACCUAAGGUAUGUGAUAAUGCCUUUUGUUUUCAACUCAAACAUUUACUCCUACACUAAGAGUUACUUCUCCACUUUCGAUUUGUUUAAUUCUUGCAAGCUUGAUAUUGCAACACGUGGUGGCUGAUUCAUCAAAUUGUGCACAUUGAGUAUGAUGGCAUCCAUUGCCAACAAAUCACCCAAUUAUUUACUGUUUGUCUCAGUUCUUAAAUUUUGCAUGAAAUCUGGUUGCCAUACAAUGGUUCCUACAAAUUAGUCAUGUCUUCACCUAUGAAGCAAUGGCAUUGACUAUGAUGAGUGUCACAUGUUCUGUUAUGUUUUGUUGGAAUCUUACAAGCAAUGUUUUCAUUUGUUAUCUUCUUAUGAAGUAAUGAUGGUGAAUUGGAAAAUUUUAUGAUUGAUUUACAUACACUAGCUAGUAAAUGUGUAUAAUUAUGAGUAUAUAAUUAUUUACAGUUCAUAUAGGUAUUAUAGCAUUUUAGGAAGAAUAUCAUGGCUUUGAAUUGAGUAUAAAUUCAUUGAUUUAAUUUUCAAUUUAUGAAUUUUUGUAAAUCCUAACUAAAAUUUAGACUUGACUUGUCCUUCAUGAAUUAUUCUAAUUAUUUGUAUAAAAUUUGGCCAAUUAAUUCAACACGAGAUUGUGCAUUGAAAGCAUUCAUUAAUUUAAAUAUUAUCUUUGCAAUUAAAACCAAGAUUUAGAGAUAAGUAAAGACUUAAUUUGUAUUUUUUGUAAAUAUUACUUUUGACACAAAUCUAAAUAGAAUACAAAGAAAAAAGCGUAAUUAUUAAAGUGUAUUAAGGUAAUCAAAGUUAUUUAUUGAUGGAACUUACAAAAAAUAGUGAAUAUUUAGGAGUUUAUAAAAGUAACAAUUAAUAUCUCAAUUUAUAUAUUCUAAUAUAUAAAAAUAUAAAAAUAAUUUAAGAAUUUUCUGAUCAUGUUUUUGUUAUUUGAACUUCCAAUGACUAAAAAAAUAUCUUGGCUAUAAGAUGAUUGCAUUGUUUAAAAACUAUAUUCAUUAUAUUACAUAUAGUGUAUGAAUUUAAACAAGGUUUUAAAGACAAACAAUGAUAGAUGUUCAUUUUAUCACAAAUAAUACUAUGACAACAUAAUUGGUACACAUAUAGUGUGUAUUUAAAGUGAUGGAGUAAUUAUUAGUAUUUGUAGAUAUAGAACAUCUUUGACAAAACAACUAAGACAUUUAGUUGUAGAUGGUGAAUUUAUUAAAAUUAAAGAAUGUCAAGAUCUAAAAAAGAUUGGGUCAUAUAGUAUUACACGUAAGAUAGAUGAUAAUUGAAAGUAGAGUGCAUGUACUUACUAUUGUUUUAUGUUAAAGUGUAAAAUUAACAAAUAGUCAUCAUUGUCUUUUUUUUUUUUUUUUUUUUUUUUUUUUUCAAAUAUCAAAUAUUUAUCUCCUUGCUUUAGGCUCUAUAUUAUUAACCUCUAUCUAUUUUAUAAAUUAAUGGCUAUAUUAAAAAAUCAAAUAAUGCUUAAUAGACAUAAUACUAGUAAAAGACAACAACAAGAAUAACUAUAUAUUAAUUUAGUAGAAUAACAAGGAUAAUUAUAUAUUAGUUUAGUAGUAGUAUAAUAAGUUAUAUACAAGUUGGUGGGAUAACAUCUUAUUAAUAUAAAACUAUUAAGUAGGAAAUUAAUUUAGUAAUGCAAAAAUAUUAAAAUUAAUUUGAUAGAUAAAUAUUUUACAUUAAUAGAAUAUUAAAAGUUUUUGGCCAAUCCAAGAGUCAAAAAAUUUAAUUAAUUGGUCAAAUUUUAUUUCAAUUAUUAAAUGAAUUUUUUAUUAAAAAAAUAUAUAAAAAUUAUAUAUAUACACAUGCACAUACACACACACACACACACACACACACACACACAUAUAAUAAUAAUAAUAAUAAUAAUAAUAAUAAUAAUUGUAUGGAUAAAAAUAUUUAAUAUAAGAUUACGAGUUGUUCAAAGUUUAGAAUUAGUUUAGAAUUAGUUUAGAAUUAGUUUAGAAUUAGUAUUUAAAUUUUGGAAUUUUAAGACAAUACCAAUCAAUAAUAAUUGUAAAAAAGAUGACAAUUAUCAAAAUAGCUAUCAAAUAAUAGUAGAUUUUUUCAAAGAAAAAUCAAUGAUAUAGAAAAAAAUAAAUUUAUCUAACAAUUAAAUCAAAUGACAAGAGCCAAACUUAAAUACAUGGCAAGAAGCCUAAAGGGCUCAUUGUAGUAAUUUAAAAUUCUAAAAUAACUAUUUUAAUUUAACUAUAGAAAGUUAAGAAUGAGUUGAUUGUUCCUUGAGUUAAAAUAGACUUCUAAUACCUUUAUGUGCUUUAAACACAUGUGUCAUGCUAUUAGUUACAAAAAACACAUGUUAAUUGGGUAUGUGAACACAACAAUAUAAUAUUUCAUAGCAUAUGAGUGGAAGUAAAAGAUGAGACAUAAUCCUCUUUCAACUCGAAUUGAGAUCAAUCUAUAAAGAGUUAUUGAAGAAUUGAGUUGUGUGCAAAAAACAAUGAAAGGAUAAGUUUGAUAUUUUCUUUAGAUAUUGUAAUGAAGAAGUUUAAUUUUACAAAAAUCAUAGAAAAAAAUUGCAAAAGAAGUACAUUGAAUUAUUUUGAUGCUUCAACAUCUCACAAUAGCAAGACUUGAAGUAAUGAUAUCAUUACUAAAGAUGAAAAUGUAACUAGUUGAAGGUGAUGGCAGUGAUUGCUCAUAUGAGAGAGUUGAAAGGAAAGAGCAAGAUGUAGUAUUUCAAAAUAGAUGCUUUAUAAGAAUAUAUUUUUGUAGUAAAGACAAAGAAGGGACACUUAGGAUUUUAUAAAUUUUAUAAAAUUUUAGCUUGAAUGAUGGUUCUGUAAAAAUAUUCUUAAAUCUAAAUAUAUAAUAGAAUAUUUCUUUUGAAAGAAGUAUUUUACAAAAAAAUUCAACAUUGAUUUUAAUGUAUUUGGUGCAUGUAUGAAAUAUAGAAGUAUGAGGAAGUUUAAUGGCUUUAAUAUUAUUACAAGAUAAAUAGAAAUCUUGUGAUAUAGAAAUAGAUAUUAUUUUAAAAUUAGAAUGGAUCAUUGAGUUAGUAAAAAAAAUCAAAAUUGAAGAGAUGGACGAAACUUGAAGUUCUUUGAAAAGAUAAGAAAGAUGGAAAACUUCUUGAACACCAUCAAAGAGAGCUUUGUAUUUAGAUUUGGUAGAUGAAUGCAAAAUGCUGUCUUGACAUUUAAUACUCUAAGAGAUGGGAGCAUCAAGAAGUUGAAUUAUGUAGACACCAAAAGGGUUCUAUAGACCUUUCAUUCAAUUAGGUCAACAAAACAUACAUAACCAAAGAUGAAUGCCUUAAUGAUGUUGGUAUAGAAUUGUAAUUAUCCAAGUCAAUGUUGUAGGAGUUAAACCACCAAAAUGUGUGAUAAAUAUGAAAGAAAGAACCUUCAAUCUUUAUCAAUAAAUAAGUCAUAGUUGAAUGAUUUCCUAUAAUGAGGACAAAUCUAAUUUCUUCAUUAAAGAGUUGAAAGAGGUAGUAUUAAGCAUGCCAUAUACUACCCACAUUACUAUUGAUCACAAAAAAACUUGAUAGCUUUUCCUUUCUUUUCUUCACAUACAAAACAAAGAAGACUACUUAAUACAAUUGCUAAUUGAGGAUGUACAAAAUCAUCAAUAAGAAGAUGACAAAUAACAAAAUUCUUUAAAUACUCAUGACAAUCUUAUCCAUCAUUGCCUUCAAGCAACAAAAUAUCAUUGAAUAAUACAUUGUUUAUAUGUAGAAUUAUAUGCCUUGUCUUAAUAUCAAAUAUUGUAGAUAAGUAAUGUUAUAUAUACUUAUAAUCUUUUUUAGAGAAUCUUUGUAAUUGCAAUCACUAAGCUCUAUUACACAUAUAAGUAUAUCACAAUAUUGAAAUAUAAAUAAGUUCAUUAUAGUCAUAGAUAAGUACUUUAUAAUCAUAGAUAAAUAUGAUAAUUUAAAGAAUUCUACUCAAACUUGUAGACACAGUGCCUAAGUACUAAUAUUAUCCACAUUUUCAGUUGGAACUAGCUAUUUAAGCAUUAAACUUGAUAAGAUUGGUUCCUAUCCAUACAACAAUUGAUAAAGACUAUAUGAUACCAAACAUAACUACUUAUUAAAGAAAUAUUCUAUUGCAAUAUAAAAUUACAAUCACAAUGAUUGUUAUGAAUUAAUCUAUCUUUUUAUAAACCAUCCUUGAUAGUCUAAUUUAUUAAAAUAAAAAAUAAGAUUAAAAAUAGAGUAAGUUAUCUUAUAAAAGAUAUUACUUUAGAUAAAUUUCUACUAGUCAAAGGAUUGUCUCUUAGUAUGUAGAAAGGCCAUCUUAUAAAUAAAAGAUAAGAUUAAGGAUUAAGAGACAAAAUCAAGAACAUAAAGAAUCAAUUAAAAAAUAUUCAAAGAUUAAAUAAGAAUAUAAAAUAUAUGCAAUAAAAUAUUUUUAUAAUACGUGAGAUGCCAAAAGAUCACAAGAACAUAAAAUAUAUGUUAAGACAUAUUUUAAUAAAAGAUAAGAUGCUAAAAGAUAUACUUGAUAUAUUCUUGAAUGGAUGUAUAAGUUAAAAGAUGGGAGUUAUUGAUAAUGGCAGCAACUACUAUCUAUAAGUAAUAGGUAUUGGAAGUAAGAAUUAUCUUAUUCCAAACUUCUCUUUGUAUGCAACUUUAUUGAUGCUACAUGUUGAGACUUUUAACUUGUAUUUUUUUAAAUAAGAAUAACUUGUUUAGCUAAACUAUUUGCCUCAGGAUGGUUUUUAGAGGUGGUGCAAUGAUCUAUUAAAGUUUUAGUAUAUAACGCUUUAAAAGUCUUAAGAAACUUCCUUCUUUGUUUUUUUAAAAUUUCAGCAAGUGCUCCAAAACAUGCCAACAAAUAAUAAUAUAAGCUAUAGCUGUUAAUUUUAAAGAAUUUUGAUAUUAAACUAUAAGUUUAAUUUAUUUGCUAAAUUACUUUAUUAUUACUAAUAUGUAUUUAGUUCUAUGUGAGGUGAUAAUAAGUAAUCUAAAAAAGUCCAAAGACCAAGAAUAGCCCAAAUCUAUGAUAUAUAAAGGCUCCAAGUAAGGUUGAUAAGGUAUUAAAGAUUAAUCUAACUUAAUAUUACACAAUUAAUAUUAAUAAACAUAGGUGACUAUUUGUUGAUAUAUAUAAAGUUUGACAUUAAAGUCAAGUAUGUAGCUAUAUGCUAUCUACAAAUUGCUUUAUAUUGCAAUUUCUAUGCAAUGGAGUUCUAAUUAAGUCCUUUUCUAAAGAACUUAGAUUAUGAGAAAACAUAUAUGCAUCCAAAUUAGUAAUGCUUAUCCAAUGCACAAUCUCAAAAUCAUAUUCUUGAAGUAACAAAGUCUAUCUAAUAAAUUUUCAAGUAAGCUUAUUUGAUUUUUUAAGCCACUUUAAAGAUUGGUGGUUGGUCACUAAUUUAAUUUAUUGUCCAUACAAGUAAAACCAAAAGCAAAUAAUGGGCCAAAAUGUUACAGAAGAUUCUCUCUUAUAAGAUAAUUAAUUGAAGAUUCUACAUUAUUAUUGCUUCUAGAAGUAAAUACAAUAACAUAUUCUUGUUCUAUAUCAUCUUUUUAUAUUAAAGUUUUUUUAGUCCUAUUCUCCAAUUUUUAUAUAAUCACUAAGGUCUAAUAGUAUCUAAACAUUGAAGCAUUAGAGUUGAGUCCAACUAUUUCUUCAAAGUAUCAAAUGCAUGUUAUUCAUGACUCCAAGUCUACGGAUCAUCUUUACUCAUGAAAAUAGUUAAAGGAUUAACAAUCAAGCUAAAGUUAUUAAUAAAUAUUUGAUAUUAAUUUUCUAUAUAUAUAUAUAUAUAUAUAUAUAUAUAUAUAUAUAUCAUAGAAAAGUAUUACUUAGUGCUAUUUUUUUUUACAAGGCAUCUAUUUUGGCUUGUUGCAUGUCAAGAUCUCCAAAAUUAAUCAUGUAGUCUAAAUAUGAUAAUCAUCUGUAGAAGAUUUAUACUCACUACAAUGCAAGUAUAAUCUCCAUUAUUAUCAUCACUCAAAUAUUACUUGUAAAUGCUUCAUAUGAUCUUAUGGGCUAAUAUUAAAAAUAAUAACAUCAUUAACAUAAUAUCUAAUAAAUGACAAGUUAAAUAACACUCAAAUUUUUACUCUCUAAAAUUAAGUUGUGGCAUUUUUGAGGCCAUACAAAAGAAACUUUCUAUGAAAGAUUUGAUCUUUGUCAUCUUUAUUAACUAUUUAAAUCAUACUAGUAUCAAAUGGCCAAUCAUCAAACAAUAUAGUCUUAUUUUUCACCAAUAGAAUACCACUUUAUAUCAAUACAACCUUUAACUACUAAUUUGUAGAAGAAAUAAUUCCUAUGUUUCUAACAUCUUCAUUUUUGGAUAAAUAAGGAACUUCAUUACCAUUAUAUAUAUAUAUAUAUAUAUAUAUAUAUAUAUAUAUAUAUAAGUAUAAUAAUAUUAUUAAAAUAUAGAGUAUCUUGUAAAAACAAAUCUUGUGAAUAAAUUUGCUGAAUAUUUUUUUUUUCCAAGUCUUUGGCCAAAGCAACAAAGACAAGUUGAGUUUGUAGUUCAUUAGUUGCAUGCUACUUUAAGCAAAAAAUGACUCUUAUUUCUCAAUCUUUAUAAGUUUAAAAAAAUAAUUUUAUUUAAUUAUAUUCCCUUUAACCUCAAAAGAAGAAAACGGUUAUGAAAAUAAUUUUAAAUAGGCAUGGGCUAAAAAUCCACACCAAAAUCUUGAGCUUCAUAGCUUGGCCUAAAAAGAAAUAAUAUUGAUUCUCUAUAAUAUCAUAAACAAUUGUAGUGUUAAUUAAAAAGUCCAAAGCAUACUUUCACUCAUUUGCAUUAGGUUCAUGAGUUGGAGAAUCAACAUUCCAAACUAUAUCAUGUCUUCUCUUUUAAAAUAAAAAUAAACUUAAAUUUUUUAGAAAUAUAAGAAAUACACUAUCAUGAUAUAACACGACUAAUGAAUGAAAGAAAGAAGAAAAUAUUAUAUUAUAGAAGAUUUCACUUAAAAAUAUUAUAGCACAUUAUCUUAGAAUAAAGUUAAUAGUUGAAAGAUAAUGAAACUAAAGAAUACUAUUGCUAUAUUUUUAAAAAAUAGGCUUCUACUUACUUUGUAGGAGCAUAAAUAAAAUAAAACAAAAUAGAUUGGAAAAUAAAAUGCUAUAGGCAUGUAGAAGAGUGAGUUAAGAAUAGAUUUUAAUAAAUUUACCUCAAAAAGUCAAAAAAUGAUAUCUAGAGAGGACCGGCUACUAACCUAGGUUGAAAUCAGACUCCAAGAUACAAAAUUGUGCACCUACAGUGACUUUGGAGUUCUUUAGUAAAUUGAAGAACAGAAUUUGAAAACAAACAUAAUAAGAUUUCUAUAUGCAUUGGUAUUUUGUGAUUUAAAUUUGUAAUGAUGUUGUAAGAGCUUUAUAAAGUCAAGGUUGUUUCGAAUGACUUGGAUUUUUGUAAAAUAAAAUAGAAUUAAUAUUUUAGACAAUAUCAAGAGUUUUUAGUAGAUCUGUGGAUGUAAUUUCAUGGAUUGGUGGAUAUAGUUGCUUGAUGUGUGUUGUGAAUUUAAAAUCACUCAAAUAGUUAGGUCAAAGUAUGUAAAUUUUUUUGUAGGUUGAGCUCUCAAAAAUUGAAAUAUGAAGAUCGAUGAAUAUUUUAAAGAUCUUUUGUAAUCUAUUGGUUGAAUUGAAGUGAUAUUUUUAUUUAUUUAUUUAUUUAUUUAUUUAUUUAUAUUUUUAUAGAGAAUAGAUUUGAUUUCUAAUAAUUUAAGUGAAAUUUGGAAGUAAAUCAAUAGUUCAAAUGAAAGAUAUUUGUACUAAAAAUUCAAUAUUUAAAUUGGAAUAGGAGGUCGGCCAUUUUUCAAUGGGAUUUUAGGGUUUUUCUUCCAUUUGAUUAGUGCAAUUAUCUUCAAAUUUUUUGUACUUAUUUUUAAUUAAGAGGUUGAAAGGCGUGUAAAUUUAUAAGUAAGAUCAAUAGUUUAAUCAAUAAAUAUUGGAGUUCUAAUCUGCUUUAGAAUUAAAUUCAGUUUAUUUAGGAUUUAGGAUUUAGGAUUUAAUUGUGAUUUGAUUUAGGAUUCAAUUAAGAUCUAUUAAAGUUUUAAUUAUGAUUAAAAUAAAAUUUUAUUAGGAUUUAUUUAAGAUUUCUUCAUAUAUCUUUUAUAAUUUUUUAAAAAUUUCUUUUAGAUUUGAUUAAAUCUUGAUUAGUAUUUUUAAUGUUUAAUUAAAAUUUAUUAAGAUUCUAUUAGAGUUUUAAAAAUCUUAUUGUUGCAAUUUUCCUUCUAUCUUCUACAACCAGAUAUCUAAUGCAGUUUCAAGCAAGACUUCACGUAAUAUGAUAAUACUACAAGGUGCCUUUAUUUUUUUGAUUUAUAUAAAAAGAGACUCAUUAGUCUUUGUGUCAAUGAAUGAAAAUUAAUUAUUAUUAAAGAUAUCAUCAACCUUGAAUCUAAGAGGUUGUUUGACUUUAUAAAGUACCAUUGUGAGUAUCUGAGGUAAGACCAAAUUUGUCAAAAUUCAACAAGGUCAUUGGAUAUAAAAGUUAUAAGCUUCAAAAUUUUGUAUAUAUUGGAGGACUAAGAAAUUAGUGAAUAUAUUGACUAAACUCCAAAAUAUGUAUUUGAGUGUCUUUCAAUGGAAGUACAAUCUCAAAAAUAUACCUAAAUAAUAUGAUUUGAUGUAUAAAUUGCUAUAAUAUAAGUUGCAUUGAAUCAAUAAAUAAACUAAAUUAGAGGUCAUUCAAACCUCAACUUGCACCAACAUAUUAUCAUGAUGCACUUAAUUUUAGUGCAUCAAAGUUAUUUGGAGGAUAAUUAAUUUCAUUGGUAGGAGAAGAAGAACAUAAAGCUCAUAUUUGUAAAUUUAAAUGAAAUUUAGAAUAAAAGAUUGUUGGCUUGAAUGGAUUAUUCAAGCUUGAGGAUAUUGUCUUUUAAGAUAGAUACCUAACUAUAUAGUAUUUCAAGGCAGAUAUUGAGAGAAGAUUAGGAUGAGGGUUUUGGAAUCAAGUAGUCUUUUUUUUUUUUUUUUUUUUUUUUUUUUUUUUUGCUAAAGUUUUUGAGAAGAGAGAUUAAAAAUUGAUUUGGAUUUUUUUAUGCCACUUCUUGCAUUUUUGUCUUUUUGAAUUGAUAUUUAGAAGAAAUCUAAAUCUAAUUUUGAGCUUUUCAAUAAGCCAUGGCAUACAAAAAAUGGAGCUAUUAAGAGGGAGAUCCAAUCAAAUUUGUAGGAAGAGGGUUGCUAGAGUUUUCAAGAAGGAAGAUUCAACAUUGAUUUGGAUUUUUCUAUGCCACUUUUUGAUUUUUUUUUUUUUGAUUUUUUUUGAUUUUUAUAUUGGUAUUUAAAGAACAUCUAGAUCUAAUUGUAAGCUUUUUAACAAGCUAUAGCAUGCAAAAAAUAGAGCCGUGAGGAAAGAGAUUCAAGCAAAUUUCUAAGAAGGAAAUCACUAGAAUUCUUGAGAAGGGAGAUUCAAUACUAAUUCGGAUUUUUCUAUGACACUUCUUGCAUUUUUAUCUUUUUGUAUUGAUAUUUGAAGGAAAGCUAGAUCUAGUUGUAAUAUUUCUAAUAAGCUAUAGUAUAUAAGAAAUUAAGUUGUGAAAAGGAUGAUCUAAGUAAAUUCGUGGGAGAGAGUUGCUAGAGUUUUUGGGCAGCAAAUUUCAAGAUUGAUUUGGGAUUUUCUAUGCCAUUUAUUAGAUUUAUUUAUUUGUUUAAAUUAUUUUCAAUGAGCUAAACUAUACCUAAAUUGAAUUAGUAAUAAGUGAGUUAUAAAUAUUUUAGUAAAAAGAGGUUUGGAUUUGAAAUUAGAGUUAAUAGUUUUGUGCAUCCUAGUACAAGAAAGAAAUUUAUCUAUAAAUUGUAUCUAGCCUUUAAGCUGCCUUUUAUAUUUGAUUUUAUUUGGGACAAAAUUGUGCAUUCUUGUAACCUACUUGUGAUCAAAGAUUCCAUAUUUUCAUGAAAAGGCUUGCCUUGAUAAAAAUUUGGUACUUCUACUAAAAGCAUCCUCAAAGCAAUUGGGAGUACAAAUAGAAUACAAUAGAAUUAUGGAACUAAGGUGCAAGCUUGGAGGAUGAGGAAGAGUUGAAGAAUCAAAAAGGGAGAAAUAAGAGAUUUUUGAUAUUCAAAGAUGAUAAGUGAUUUUGAAGAGGCUAGUGCAAGUGACACUAUGGAAGUAAGUGCUAAUAGUUUUUUCUUCAUUUUGAGCAUGUUCAUAGAGAGACAAAAAAAGGUACAAUCAAGUAGAAAGGAGGUGAUCAAGUAGAAAGGAGGUGAUCAAGAUAUUGUAAGGCAUAGUUAAUAAGUAUAGGAGAUGUGAUGGAAGGAGCAUCAUUAAGUUUUUUCAAGCAUAUGUUGAAGAAAUGGGAAUAUAUUAAGUCUCUAAGUUUCAAUAUAUCCUUAGUUUUGAAUUGGUAUGCAUUCUUGAAAUUAGAAAGAUGGUGAAGGAUUCAUAUAGAGAUAAUUUAGAAGCUUAGAGUAAUUUUGAGGGGAUGUUAAGAGAUGAAUUUUUUGAUAAAGUUUUGAAUAGGAUCAGAAAGAGUUCAUUUUUGGAAUUAAUUGAGUAACAAUCGGGGAGGUCUAUAGCCUUCAACAAGUUACUUAGGAAUUUUGAGAGAAAAUUCUCUCAAUUAUCAUCUUCAAAAAGACUUUUAUUGGAUGCAAGGAAGAUCAAGCUGUUCUUGCAAGUAAUAGAUGAAGUAUUUGGAGAUAUGUUUUUUGUCCUCUUUUUUGAUAAGUCUAUCAAGGGAGGUUUAACUCAUGAUUGGAAGAGAGUGGAGGAUGCAGUGCUAUUGGUGACCAAGCAAUAAUGUAUGAAGGUAAGAAAAGGAAAUUUUAAGCAUGAAGUUCUAUGACCUAUGAUAUCAAUUAUUCCAUUAAGUUCAAUGACAUCUACUCUAAUCCAAGAGAUAUAUAAGAUCCUUCUCAAAGACAUCCUUAAGGAAUUGAUUAAAGACAUGAGAGAUUUGAGAGUGGAGAUGAAUGAAUUGAAGAAGAGCUUAAGGUUUACUUCUUUGCAUAUAUUAGAGAAAUCAAAGGAAUUUAUUAAGAGGUGCAUGUAUUAUAAUAAUUUCAAAGAUAAAAGAAAAGAUUGUAUUAAUUAUGAUGAGGAUUUGAAAAAGAGAGUUAUCUUCUUCAAAGAAGGUAAAGUUUGUUGGAAGGAGAGGUAUAAAGAAGCUUCUCAAAGACUUUGUUGGAAGAGUAAGUGAAUUUCAUAUAAAGAAGGCCUAGUCUUAUUUCAUUAAAGUAGAGAUUGGAGGCACAAUAACUAUUUCUAGGCCAUCAAAGAGGGCUCUAAUUAGAAAUGUAAAAGUUAUUAAGAAGAAAAUAGAUUGAAAUGACCCAAUUGAUGCUAUUAAUAUUAAACUCUUUUUAAGUAGUAAUAAAGAUUUAGAGGACCAACAUGCCAUUGUAAAAGAGAAGAGGACUAGAUCCUCUCAAGAAGAUGUGGUAGGGCUUUCCAACAAGAAGAUGCCACCAAAGAUUAGGGACUCUACUCAAGCUGAAAAAGGACCUUUCUAUCCAAAAGUUCAAGUAGUGCCUUCAUAUCAACUAAGGAGUGGAACUGGAGCUCAAGAAAGUGGAGUAAAAGACAAGAAAAAGAAAGGCAUAAACAAGCCUAAACAUAAAGGUCCUUCAUAUAAGCUUCAAUUGAAUAUUGAAAGUUCUAUUGAUAUGAAGGAAAUUUUAAAAGAAAAGAUUUUUGAUCCAAAAAUUGAAUUCACCUUGAUGGAAGUACUUGGCGUUGUAAAGAAGGACUUCUAUGAAUUUAUCAUUAAUGUCAUAAACAAAAAAGAGAUAAAGGAUGGUAGACGUAGUUAUGGUAAAGACAUUGGAUUCCUAUUUGAUGAAAAAAGAAGAUCAAGUCUUUUUCCAACUUUGUACACCUAUGUUUCAAGAGAUGCUACUUAAAAAAAAGAAUGUAAUUAUUCAAGGCCAUGGUAGAGGCAAAAAUAAAGGAAAAAAAAGAAGCUGUAAAGAGAUGGAAUAUAAUAUAGACAUAAAUGAGGUAAAUAUGCUUAGUUGUACUUUUUAUAGAAGGUUUGAGAGUGAGAGGAUGAGUGCUCAAUUUACACAUCUUAUUUAGGCUAGGACUACCAUGAAGGCUCAAAUAAGACUAGGAGACCUCAAGGAACAGACCUUGGCACUUAUUAAUUAUAGGUUGGAGAUUAAUAUCAUAUCAAAGAGAAUUUAUGAAAUGAGCAAGUGGUCUAUUGAUAUUAAUCAUACAUGGGUGUUGAAGACUGCCAACAAUGAAUGAGGUGAUUUAUAUGAAGCAUGUCUGAAAAUUAAGAUAAAGAUUGGAGAUGUAGAAAUAGAAUAUAUAUAUAUAUAUAUAUAUAUAUAUAUAUAUAUAUAUUUUUUUAUAAUAAAAUUCAAUUGUUUAUCUUAUCAUUUUAGAAAAAUUUCAUAUCAUGGCUACAAGGAUAGAAAUCAAGGUUUUAAAUGAUGGCUUUUAUUAUACAAGGAUUAAGGACUAUGAUAGAAAAAAUUAGUAUAAUUCUUCACAAUAAGAUUGGAUCUUGAACAAAAUAGAGACUAAUUGAAAGAAGCUCUUUUAAGGACCAAUGAGAAGUUUUUGGAUUUUUAAAGAGCACCCUUGUAGCAUAGAGGUACAAGGCUGCAAGUAAGUCUUUUAUCCAUACACCUUUCAAUAUAGAUAGCUUUGAGUGUGGAUUUUUGGAUUUGACAACUUUGGAAAUUUUGAGAUUUCAAAAGGUUAAAAAUUUAGGUCAUAUGUAUAAAGGUUGGAUAAAAAAAAUAUGAAAAAAUUUAAAAGAAUUGGAUGUGAUUUCAAGUGGUGAGUGCAUUUUGGAUGUUAUUGAAAAAAAAGAACUUAAAGACGAUUAUAUAAAGAUUUCAGAGGGAUUGGCUUUUCAUAUGGAUAGAGGUAGAGCUAAUGUUGUUAUAGAGCUUUAUUCAAGGUAAAUAUAUGAAGAGAUUUUAGAGUUUUUUAAGAGACUUGGAGUAGUUGAUAGUCAUGUGAUAUUGCAAGAAGCUAUAGUACAAAUUAAGUAUAAAACCAUGGAUAAGAAGGUAAAGCCUAUGGCAACUCAAUUGCCUCAAGAUACCAAAGAAUAUAUCAAACAAGCUACUAAGAGGCUGAGAUUGAAGGAGUCAAAAAAGAUUAGUGAUAAAUUUAGUAAAUUAUCUUUGAAUAAAUUGAAGAUUGAAAGAGAUGAUUUUUUGACCAAAGUAGAGAAGGAGAAGUUUCUAGAGAUGUUUUUCUAAUAUAAUAAGGCUUUUAUCUUUGCAUCUAAAGAAAUUAAUUAUGUAGAUCCUAAUAUAGUAGUAUCAAUGGUUAUUUUUACUAUUCUACAUGUACCUUAGAACUUGAAGCCUAUUUUGGUGUCGAAGGCUUUGCUUCUCAAAUUAGUAGAUUUAUUGAUGAAAAAGAUCAAGAUGGGCAUCCUUCAACGAUCUAUUGCAUCUUAUUCCAAUGAAUGGUUCACCAUGCCAAAGAAUUCUAGGGCACUUAGAUUCAUUCAAGAUAUGCAACCGGCCAAUAAGAUGACUAUUAAAAAUAUGGAAUCUAGACGAAUAGUAGAUGAAGUAGCAAAAGCUUUUGAGAGGCAUGUCAUUUACUCUAAUAUAGAUUUAUACUUGGAUUAUGAUAAAUUUCAAUUAGCAAAGGAGAUUAGAAAUCUAACUACUAUGAAAAUUCUUUUGAAUUUAGUAUGCAUAUGUACCUUGUCGUAACAUGCAACUAAUUCUAUAGCUCAUAUGUAAAAUGAAAUGAACCAAAUUUUAAGAGAGUUUGUGUUAAAGAAGAUUAUAUUCUUUUUGGAUGGUAUUUCAAUAAAAAGUUACAAGGAUGAAGCUAAGGAUUUGACUUUGGGAGAAGAUGGAUAUUGUACAUUGUAAAAGAACAUAUUGAAGAUAUGGAGCACAUUUUGAAAAGACUUGAGGAAGUAAAUCUUACUUCAUUCCUUCAAAAUUUCACAUUUGGAUUUUAAAAAAUUAUAAUUAUUGGAUAUUUAUGCAGAAGCUAUAAAAGAAAAUCAAAUCUAGAUAAGGUAGAUGCCAUAACAAAGAUGAAGGCAAAUAAGAACACCACCAAGAUAAGAAGUUUUUUGAGUGCUUCUAUAUUUUAUCAUAUAUGGAUUCUUCAUUAUGCUUAUAUUACGGAGCCUUUGUAUUAGUUAUUAAAAAAAAAAAAGAAGUUAGCAUGGAGUGAAGAGUAAGAGUUGGCUAUGGAUAGAUUAAAGGUGGUUUUGAAAUCACCACUAGUAUUAAGAUAAGUAGACUAUAAUUGUAGAAGAUCAAUAAUAAUAACAGUUGAUACAAGUUUUAUAAUUAUUGGAUAAGCUAUUUAAUAAGAUGAUAAGGAAGAUAAUUGGUUUGCAAUCAGGUUUAAAGCAAGAAUUUUUACUAAGAAGCAAAGAAUUUAUUUAUAAGUGAAAAAAAAGCUUUGGGGUGCACUUAUCAUAUUGAAGAUUGACAAAAAUUACUUGAUAGGUGCUCAUGUGGUGUUGGAGACCAAUUGCUCUUCUUUGCUUCGAAUGGUUUUUAAUUGUACUAUAUUGUAUAUUACUAUGCUUAGAUGAAUUAUUUUCAUUAAGUCUCUAAAUCCUAUUUUGGUGUACAUCAUAGAAAAAAAAACUUGAUAGUAGAUAUGUUAUCUAAGACUAAGUACUUAAGAUAGAAAAAAAAUACUUACACAAGAAGAAGAUGGAAACUUGGCCCAAUGCUUUGUCUUUGCUAAAAGUAGAGGAGAUGAAGGUGAUGAAGUUCUACCCUUCAAAGUUGAUUUGUAUGAAAGGAGAUUGAGAGAAAUUGGCUUAUAUUUGAAUACAAUGGAGAGAUAAGAGGGUUGGUUGGAUAAGAUAUUUAAGGAUAUUAGGCACCAAUCCUACAACUAUCUUUUAUGUAAUGGGUUCUUAUCAAAGACGCUAAAGGGGAGAGAUGGUAUACCAUUAAGAGUGGUGGAUGAUUUGGAGAUCAAACACAAGGUAAUAGGUGAGUUUUAUGAUAUAUUGUAGAUUGGACAUAGAGGAUUUUGGACUACCUACAUCAAGAUUAAAGAGUGCUAUUGGUGGAAGGACUUACACAAUAAUAUGGAAGAAUUUAUGAGCUAUUAUAAAGAGUGCCAAUUGCAAUCCAAGGUGAAGUAUAAAGAUGGUUUAUGCCCUACCUAUCUACUUGCCAUUUAUUUUCAAUAGAUGAUUGAUUUGAUUUCCAUUCCAUUGAGGCUUUGGAAUAUGAAUUAUUUAGUUUUGGCAAAAAAAAAAAAACUCUCCAAUUAUGCAAAACAAAAGGCAUUGAGGUCAAAGUCUACGGAAAUAGUGUGCCAUUUUAUUUUGAAAGAUGUUAUAUAUUGCUAUAGAAGAAUUGGAAGAAUGAGAGUAAAUCAAGAUGAGCUUGAUGUGGCAGAGGCACAUGAUUUCUUAACAAGAUAUAGAUUACAAUUGAAAUUGACCACCUCAUAUAACUCCAAAGCUAAUAGUAAGAAUAAAAUGAGGCACCCUUUAAUCAUUCAAGCUUUAAUCAAGGCAUGUAGAGAUCAAGUAAGGUUGUUGUCCAAACUUUUACUAUUUGCUUUAUAGGUAGUUAGGAUUAUUUAUAAGACAUUUAUUGACUAUAUGCCAAUGGAGUUGAUAUUGAAACAAAAGCUCUUAAUACUUAUAGAAGAGUCUAUUCCUUCUUGGUUAUUUUUGUCUUGGAAAGAUAGCAUUGAUAGGGAGAGAUUAUUAGAACUUUGAAUUUAGUGAUUAGAAAGAUUGCUUAACUAUCACUAAGUUGCUAUAAAAAAGCUUAAAGCAAUAAGAUUAAACAACAAAGAGAUUUGAUAAAACUCAUCAAUUUAGGCCUAAGCUAAUUAAAGUGGAUGAUUGGAUUUUAAAUUUUGAUAGUGGUUUGAUGCACCAACAUUCUACUCUUUGUAAGUUUGUACGGUGUUAGUUUGUAUCUUAUAUGGUAGUUGAAGUACAUAAUAAUGCAACUUAUUUUCUUUGAAAAUCAGAUGGGAUACCAUUGAAGAUUAAGAUUGCAAGAAAGUGAAUUAAAGACUUGGAGCAGCAAGAUGAGAUGAAUUAUAUGGAGAAUUUAGAAGAUUUAGAGCAUCAAUAUUUUAAUCAAUGGUUCUAAAUUGAUACAAUUCAUAAUAAUUCUAAAUUUGAUGAUAAUGGUAUUGUAGUCUAAUUCUUUGGCAAAUAUAAGAAAAUGUAUAAGUUUGAAGAGGGUGAGUGUUAUGAUGUACUUAAUUUAAAUGCAUCAAAGUUAUUUGGAAGAUAGAUGAAGAAAAUAAUGCUAAUAUAUUUAUAAAUUUAAAUAGAAUUUAGAAUAAGAAGUUAUUGGCUUAAAUGAAUUAUUUGAGCUUAAGGAUAUUGUCUUUUAAAAUAGAUACUUGACUAUAUAGUGGUUCAAGGAAAAUAUUGAAAGAAGGUUAAGGUGGAGGUUUUAAAAUCAAAUAGGUUUAUUUUUUGUUGGAGUUUUUGAAAGAAGAGAUUCAACAUUCAUUUGGAUUAUUCUAUGCUAUUUUUUAUAUUUUUAACUUUUAUAUUGAUAUUAAAAUAAAAGCUAGAUUUAAUUAUGAAAUUUCUAAUAAGCUAUAGUGAGCAAGAAAUGGAGCUAUGAAGAGGGAGAUUCAAACAAAUUUGUAGAAAAGAGGUGGCUGGAGUUUUUGAGAGAAGAGAUUCAAUAAUGGUUUGUAUUUUUCUAUACCACUUCUUGUGUUUUUAUUUUUUUAUUAAUAUUUAAAAAAAUCUAGAUUUAAUUGUGAGCUUUUCAACAAGCCAUAAUAUAUAAGAAAUAGAGCUAUGACGAGGGAGAUAUAAGCAAAUUUGUAGGAAGAAGAUUGCUGGAGUUUUUAAAAGGGGAGAUUCAAUACUAAUUUGGAUUUUUUAUGCCACUUCUUGUAUUUUUUAUCUUUUUAUGAUAAUAUUUAAAAGAAAGCUAGAUCUAAUUGUGAGAUUUUUAAUAAGUUCUAGCACAUAAAAAAUAGGGCUAUGAAGAGCAAGAUCUAAGAAAAUUUAUGAAAUGGAGAUUGUUGGAGUUUUUAAGAGAGGAAAUUCAAUACUAACUUGAAAUUUUCUAUGCCACUUCUUGCAUUUUUAUCUUUUUAUGCUGAUAUUAAGAAAAAAAACUAGACUUGAGUGUGAGCUUUCCAACAAGCCAUGGUACAUAAGAAAUGGAGUUAUAAAGAGAGAGAUUUAAGAAAAUUGAAGGGAAGGGAAUUUCUAGAGUUUUUGAGAGAAGAGAUUCAACACUGGUUCGGAUUUUUUUAUGCCACUUCUUGUGUUUUUAUCUUUUUGUGUUGAUAUUUAGAAAAAAUCUAGAUGUGGUUUUGAGAUUUCUAACAAGCUAUAGCAUGUAAGAAAUAGAGUUGUGACAAGGGAGAUCCAAGCAAAUUUAUAGGAAAGGGUUGCUUGAAUUUUUGGACAGCAAAUUUCAAGACUAGUUUGGAGUUUUCUAUGCUAUUUAUUGGAUUUUUUAUUUUAUUAUUAUUAUUUUUAAUGACCUAAAUUUUACUUAAAUUGAAUUAAUAAUAAGUGAAUUAUAGAUAUUUUAGUAAAAAGAGGUUUGGAUUUGAAAUUAGAGUUGGAAUUGAAUAUAUCUUUGUAUAAAAAUGAAAUUAAUCUAUAAAUUGUACCUAGCCUUUGAAUUGUCCUUUAUAUUUGAUUUUAUUUGGAAUAAUAUUGUGCCAUUUGAAAAUCUACUUGUAAUAAAGGAUCCUAUGUUCUUCUGAGGAAGCUUGCCUUGUUAUCAACAUGAAUGACCUUAAUAAAGCCAUAUAAUAAUUAAUAAAUCAAUAUAAUCUAUUCUUUUCAAAUCUUCAUUAUUGAUAAAGGUGAUAUUUCAAGGAUGUUAAUUAAAUUAACAAAUAAUAGAAAUAAUUUAUAAUUUUUUAUGAUACAAUAUUAACAACCUUUAGAUAUGAUGUUAGGUUGCUCAAAUAGAUGUAAUUUUGGUAUCUACAUGAAUAUAUUAUCCAAUAAUAAAUUCAAACUCCAACACUUCUACCAAAUCUCUAUAAAUACUUAUAAAGAGCUUUAUAAGGACAAUAUCCUCAUCUAAUGGAUGAUAAUAAAUAAGUUGAAAAAAAUUAUAUAAUAAAAAAUGAUUUGAUAUCUUCAAAAUAUUCUAUAAAAAUAAAAUGUUAUAGUAUUGGUAGAAAUUUUUUGCAUGUAUUUUUUUUGGAAGAGAUUCAUCUUUUUAAUGCCUUUUAUAUAUUUUUAAAGAUAGUUGAUUAUAUGGUUCUAUAAAAUUGAAUAUAAAUAUUGAUAAAUCUAUUAAUAGAAUUAAUCUAAAAGGUAAGUCUAAAACCAAUGUUUAGCAAUUAAAUAUGAUUUUUGCCAACAUAAUGAUGGUGGUUGCUACAAAUGUGAUAAGAAUCACUUCCUUUCUUCUAUCACCAAUAGACUAUUCUAAUCUUAUCCAUGCUUCUUCAAUUCAAUUAUUUAGAAUAAAAUUAAAUAAAAAAAAUAUUUAUUAAAUAUAAUAUUAUAAUUAAUUAUACUAAUUAUUACAUACUUUAAAGAUAAGUAUAAAUAAAGUGAUCUAAUUCAAUGCAAAAAAUCAAUUGUAAUAGUUGCCUAAUAUAGCUAAUAGCUUGCUUUGUAUUUGCUAUUGAAAUAAUAAUGAUGAAAGAUAAGGAUUCAAGUCUAUAGUAGUAAGAUCUAAUUCUUGAGAAGUUACUUACUAAUCAUGAUUGAUUAAAUAUCAUAAUCCAUCACAACUUAUAAAGAUGUAGCAUAAGUCAUAUUGCCACAAAUAUGGCUAAUAACAACCAUAUUGUUGUUAUUAAAUAGUCUUGUAAUUCUUAGGUACAAAACUUGACAUUCUCAAGUAUGCUCAGUCUAAAUAUUAUACAGAAAUACUAUUUAUAUAGUCAAUGGCACCUCACAUAAAAGAUUCAUGUUUGUUUCCUUCAAGUGACUUUCAUCAAAUAUGGCAAUAGUUGUAUGUCAAAUACUAUUUAUAUAGUCAUAUGGCAAUAGCUUUGCUUACAACUUAGCCAAAUCUUCUUUUAUUGAAAGCUUUGUGUCUGCUUCAUCAACAUAUAUUAAUGGCAUUGACACCUUACCUUUUAACAUUUUACUAGCUAAUUAGAAAAUAACCAUUGGUUUAAAUUUUUCAACAUUAAAAAAUAUUCAUUUGUUCAAUACUUUAUAAGUCAAAGUGUAUGUUGUGUCUUUAAUAUUAGUGUCUUUAUUUUGUGUUGAAUUUGAAAUAGAAGGCCAUAUUGUGGAAUUAAUAUUUAUAAAGCUAAAUAAUAAUAACAAUCAAAUAUUAAUAUUAGAACUUCCACAAUUAUUUUGAUAGCCCUAUAAGGAUUUUGAUACUUCACUUGGAAUAAGUGCCAUAUUUUUUACUAUUAUCUAGAUAUAAUAUUUUAUUAUAUGAAGUCUUGCUUGAAAAUACAUUAGAAACUUGAUUAUAGAAGAUAAAUUAGAAAUUGCAAUAAUAAGAUCCUAACAAUUCUAAUAGAAUUUUAAAUAAAUUCCAAUUAAAGCUUAACAAUCAUAAUCAAAUCUUAAUCAAAUUCUAAAGAAGACUAAAACAAAAAUAAAAGAAACAUAAAGAAAUCCUAAAGAAUUUUUAAAGAAGUCAGAAAAAUAAUUUAAAAAUCUUAAAAAAAAAAACUUUAAAAAAAUAUAAAAAUAUAAAACCUAAAAAAUAUUUAAAAUUUAAAUCCUAAGUAAAUUCAAAAUAAAUCUUAAUUGAAUCUUAAUCAAAUUUUAGUUAAAUUCUAAAAAUUUCUAAAAAAUCCUUAAUAUAAUUCUAUAUAAAUCAUAAUAAAAUCUGAAGUAAAUCUUAAUUAAAUCCUAUUAAAAUUCUAAUUAAUAGAUUGAAAUAUUAAUAAUUAAUAAUUUAAUAAUAGAUUUUGAUUCAAAAUUUAUACUUCUUAAUAAUUUAAUUAAAAAAAACACAAAGUUUUCUAAAGAAUAUCAAAUAAACAAAUAAAAUAUAAUUUCUAUAAUUCACUUGGCUAUUGGCUAGCCUCCUUCUCUAAUAUUGAUGUCAAACUCUUAGCACUAAUAUCUCUUGAUUUCAUUGUUUAAUUAUUUUAAAAAUUUGAAUAGUUGUUUAAAAUCAAGUUUACUACAAGUUUGUAAAAAUUUAUAUCAAUUCAAUUAGCGUAUUGCUACAUAUCUUAAAAAUCCUUAUUAAUCUACUUAACUCUAAUUUGUAAGACUUUAAUAUCAUUGAAUAUCAUUAAUCUUCAAAUGAACCGUUCAAUUGAGCUAAAAUUUAUAAUAUACACAUAAAAUAAUAACAAUCAUUCAAUAAAAAAAUCAUUUUAGAUCAUCUAUUAAUUUCAAAAAAUUAUCUAAAAUAUAAAUUCUUUAUAUUUUAAAAAAAUUCAAAGUAAUUCUAAAAUAACCUUGACUUUGUAAAACUUUUAUAAAGUCAAAUCAUUCAAAAAUAACAUCAAAAGAACCUAUUUCUACUUUCUUCUAAAAUCCUACACUUUGAUCAAUUAAAUAAUCUCUUAUUUAUUGUAGGUUAUGCAAUUUGGUGCCUUUAAAACUAAUUUUAAUCUUAAUUCAUAAUUAUUCUUUAAAAAUCAAUUUUUGAUUUAUUAAGUUAAUUUUUUUUAAAAAUUAUUUUUAAUUCUUUCUUAAAGAUGCUCAUAUUAAUUAUUUUCCUUAUCUAUUUUAAUUUGCCUCAUUUAUGGCUAUAAAAAGUAAGUAAAAAUUUAUUUUAUAAACAUGCAAUAUUAAUACUUACUAAUUUUUAAUACUUCUUUUACUAUUAUUUAUAUUUUUAAAAUAAUUUGCUACUAUAUUUUAAAUUAAACAUUCUAUAGAAGGAGUAGAAAUUUGAUUUUGUAAGAUAUUAAUAAAGUAGAUUAAUCAUUCCUAGGAUAGUCAAUUCAAUAGGAUGGAUGAUUGAAUUAAUUGUGAAAAACAGUUAAGUAGAGAAUGAUGGUUAGAAUCUAGAAUUUCAGAAGUAAAGCAUUAGUAAGUUGAAGAAGAUAUUAUAAGGGACAAAAUCUGAUAGUCAUGAGUUGGGAUAAGCUUGGUACUACCUCUUUGUUUCUUUGUUGUUCAAGAGUAAUGGAUAGUUUUUGAAUACUCAAAAGUGAAUCUGUGGAAUAAAUCAAAUAUUGAUUUAUGAGUUAUUAAUUAUGUAAUUGGAGUAUUGUGUGAUUGAAUUAUAUGAAAAGUUAUUAGAAGAUUGAUUAUGGAUAGAAGAUUAUGAUUGUUGUUUAUUGAGAGUUGUGUGUGUUUCGAUAGAGGAAGUCUGUGAUUAUAGAAAUUGUGUGAAUCCCAAUUGGUUGGAGUGAAGUCUGUUAUUUCUAGUAUUGGAUGGAAUUUAUGUAUUUUGAACGGUCUUUUGAGAGUGUAGGGUUUUUUAUUAUUGUUAUCAGUUGAUGAAGGAGUAUUAUUACUAGGAGAAAGCAUUGUAGUGUUUCUUGGUAUUUAAGUGGUUCGAAUUAUGGUUAAUUGUAUAAUCCUAAUAUAUAAACUCAUGCAAUAGUCUUUCCCUCUGUUUGAAUCCCCCUCUGCAAAUUUAUUUUCAAAAGAAUUUGUAGAAUAAGUAAAACAAUAACCACAUUUUUGUGCCGCUGCUGAGAAACGACAAUAAUAUUGAAUGUUAGGAACUAAUAUCUGAACAAGUAGUUUUGGAUGUUGUGCGAAGAGGUUAUAAAAUUGAAAUUGGUUUGAAAGUGAAGAGAAUUAUAUAGUUAGAUGGGAGAUAGGAAGAAAAUUCAAGAAUAUAUAAUAAAAGAUUAUGGUUAUGAAGAAUGAAAAUCUUGCAAUAAAGAAAACAUGUCAAUCAAAAAAAAGACAUAAGAAAGCGUAAGCAAGAGAAUUAUUGCAAAACGAGUAAGAACGCAAGUUAAAAAAGAAGUGUUGACAAGGUUGGAUUAAGCCAUGCUUGCAUGCCUAUCAGCAUAUCCAAAAGCUGACUGACCUUUAAUAUUUCAAACAUAUAUACCAUUAAAAAAUUUGCCAAGAGCACUCUUUAGAAAUUUUAUCAAUAGCCUAGCAUAUCUCUUAAGCUCGUUAACUCCAAGUAGAAGAAACACAAAAAAAUUGGGUACUCCAUUAGAUAUCUUUUCAAUAGAAGAAACUACCAAUUUUGUCAUAACUGUUGACUAUGGCAGAGUUACUAAUUGUAUCAGCUCUAAAGGAUUCUAAUGAAACCUUGUUGUUAAAUUUGAAGAAAAUAGAAGAAAUGGCAAUCAAUAUAGCAAAGGAUAAAGAAAAGAGGCAAAAACCUACCAAUACUAGACUCAAUGUAUGGUGUAGUAAUUGUAAGGGCCAAGGUCAUUUGGUGACAGAAUGCCCAUCUCCUCCACAAAUGAUGGUGCAAUGUACAUUCUGUGAAAGAAAUUAUUUGGUAGCUAAUUGUUGGAUUUAGAAAAAGCAACAAUAGUUUGAUAAUCAGACCAUGAUUCAACCCACUCAGUAGGAUGUCAAUCAAAUUCAAACGAAAAAUACAUUUGGCUGAAACAAGACUCGUUCAAAUAGGCAAAAUUGAGCCUUUAAUAACUUUCAAGGUCCAAAUUAUAAUUUGAAUUCUGCAUCAAACUCCCAUAAUUAUGUAAAAGAACAGUCAGUAUAUCAAUAAUAUUUUCCAUCAUCGCAAUUGAUUCUAAUUUCCUUCAUACUAACAAGACAACUAGGAUAAUUUAUCAAUUCAACUUGUAGGCCCAACUGAUAUAUACUAGUCGAGACACCCAAUAUGUAUGAUGGAGGUAGAAGAAGACCACUUUGAUGUUACCAUUGCAAGCAGAUUACUUAUUACGCUAGUGAAUGUCCUAAUCCAAGAGCCAAUGAUGACUAUACUCCAGUUUGUGAAAAUUGUAAGUAGUCAGGACAUACAUAUCAAUAAUGUAAUGCUCUAUUCAAUUUCAACAACCGAGAUCAAGAGAUCCAGCUACAAAAUAAGAUAAAGGAUAAUAAUCGAGAUUUGAAGAUUUUUUGAUAAAUUGGAUAAAAUGUAUCUAAGCAAUACUUAGUAGGAGCUAGCAAAAAGACAAAGAAUCAAUUCAACACUUGGAUGAAACAAUUGCAAAGGACCAAUUCAACCUAAUUAUGAGAACGUCAAAUCCAAUUCUUGUAAUGGGCAUCUUAUCGAUGAUGAAACCUGUUUUAUCUAUGCAAACCAAUGAGGUUCCAAUCACCAAUGUCUUGACUCAGUCUAAACCAAUUCCAUCCUCUGUGCAAUUCAAAGAGAUGUCUUACUCAUUAAAAGAUCUUCUUGUGGACGGAUAUUCUACAAAAGAUCUUUUAGUUGUUUCAAUUCCGAGUCUAAAAAAAAAAACUAUAUUACUUCAAGGAGUAAAGCUGAAACAAAUAAAAAGAAUGUGGACAUUAAAAAUUUCUUUAAACAUGGAGCCUUAUGACAUUUUGAAAGAUCUAGAUGCUAUUCAACCUUCUAUUUCAAUGAAGCAACUUCUAACAAUAGCACCAAAGUGUCAUUCUAUAUUGAAUUCAUCGUUAACAUGGCUUAACCAAUGCAAUAAAGAAGUUUAUGAGGUCAGUUUGAACCUUGACCCAGGCGCACUAAUUAUCAACGUAUUAAUAGACGGCGUUAUGAUUUCUAGAGUCUAAGUGGAUGGUGGCUCCAGCGACAAUUUAAUGAAUGUAGAUAUAAUAGAUGCUUUGGACUUAGCACAUUUAGUCCCCACGACAUUGGUAUUACAGAUAGUAGAUCAUAGUCGAGUUAAACCCAUAUGUAUCUUACAAAAUAUUCAAACCAUAAUUAUUGAUAUUGAAUACAAAAUAGAUUAUAUUAUUUUUUGGUUACAAUAUUCAACUUUAUCAUAUUCGAUUUUAUUGGGACAAUCUUGGCUUUAUCAAGCGAAAGCCAAGAAUGAUUGGAGUCAUGGUACUUUGAUGAUCGGAAAAGACAGCGACAAGAUGGUGUUACAAAUGUACCCAGUAUACUAUCAUGGAGAAUCUCAAAUGUCAGCAUCUGAUUUGACAUGUGACGAUGAGCUCAAUUGUGAUGAAGAUGCCAUCGUACCAAAGGAGGGAGCAUCCUUGGAGACGACUCAGCACCAUAGGGUGGUAUAUUAAUGUAGAGGAUCGGGAGAAUAUUUGAUAUAUCUACCAGAUAUGGAAAAUUUUGAUCAUAUUUUUACAAAUUAUAUGACCAAAUAUAAUGUGCAUCGGGUCAGUACAAUGGAAUCAAAAUUGAGCACUUUUACUGUGUCAGACUUGACAAAUGGAUCAGAACCAACGAGAGAAUUGAAAUAAAAAAGGCAUCUGAACCUUUAUGUCAAAUUAUUAACUUGGCAACAAAUAAAAGGCCUCAAAAAAUUAAAAUUUAUAAAAGUAUUCAAGAUCAGGAGUUGACAUAUUAGAAAGAAUUUUUCAUUCACCAUAAAUCAACUUUUGCUUAGACUUAUGCUGAUCUUAAAGGUACCCUUGUGGAAUUCUGCAAGCAUCGGAUCAUUUUGGAAGAGAAUGCUAAACUUGUCCAUCAGCGACAAUACCGACUUAAUCCAAAAUAUUUCCUAAUAGUGAAGGAAGAAUUAGCCAAGUUUAUUGAGGUUGGUUUUAUUUAUCUAGUAUCAAACAGUGAGUGGAUUUUUUUUUAACGUGAUAGUGCCAAAGAAGAAUGGAAAAAUCAAAAUUUUCCAAGACUUUUAGAAAUUAAAUACAACUACCAAGAAAGAUUACUUUUCAUUACCUUUUACAGAUAGUAUAUUAGACGUCGUAGUAGGGCAUGAAUGUUAUUCUUUCCUAGACGAAUUUUCUUAUUAUAAUUAAGUUAGAAUUGCAUAAGAAGAUCAGCUAAAGACUAUUUUCACUACGGAGUGGGGAACAUUUGCUUAUCAUGUUAUGCCGUUUGAGUUAUGUAAUGCUAUAGCCACGUUUCAGUGGGUGAUGACUCAAGCAUUUCAAGAUUAUUUACGAAUGUUUAUGGAAAUAUUUUUAGAUGACUUUUGUACUUUCGGUACAAAACAUGAUCAUUUGAAAUCCCUAGGCAAAUGUUUGGAUUAAUGUACUACAUAUAGGAUAUCAUUGAACUCUAAUAAAUGCCAAUUUGGUGUUCUGUGUGGAAAACUCUUGGGACACAUAGUCUCUAGCCACAAUAUUGCCACUGAUCCAUAUAAAGUUCAACACAUAAUGAACUUGCCAAGAUCAGAGAUAAUGUCUAGUGUUCGCAGUUUUGUUCACCAUGUCAAUUAUUAUCCAUAAUUUGUUCAUUUGUUUGCAGUCAUUUGUCAACCUCUGACUAAUCUUUUAAAAAAACCUCUGUCGGAUAGAACCAGUCUAGUUUCGACUAAAGAGUGUAUAAUGGCGUUUGAAGAAUUGAAGCAAAAAUUGAUAUCUAUACCAGUAUUAGUGGCCCGUUGUUAGACAAAGCUAUUUCAUGUAUAUGUUGAUGCAUCCAAUGUUGCUAUUGGAUUUGUGUUAAGUCAAAAGGAUGAAAAAAAGAAUGGAUCAUCCAAUAUAUUAUGCUAGUUGAUAAUUAGUGGCUGCCGAAUAAAAUUACACUACUACUGAAUGGGAAGCUUUGGGCAUGAUAUAUUCAAUUCAAAAAUUUUGGCAUUAUUUGCUCCGUUAUCCAUCCAUGUUUUAUAUAGAUCAUGAUGCCGUAAAAUAUAUGAUUAAUAAGCCUGAAUUGAAUGGAUGUAUUGCCAGAUGGGUAUUACUACUAUAAGAUUUAAUUUUACUAUUAUCGUAAGACUUGAAAAGAACCAUGCAAAUGUUGACCAUUUAUCUCGGUUGUCUAAUAUCUUAGGCAAUGAACCUAUCCCUAAUAUACUUCUCGACAUUGAUUUAUAUGUUGUAGAUGUGAUUUCACCACAGUAUAGUGAAAUAAUUCAAUUUUUGACAUUCCAAAUAUUUCUACCUACAUUUAGCGAGAAGCUUAAGAAAUGCUUAAUUUUGAAAAGUGCACCAUAUACAAUGAUUGGUGAUGCUUUGUAUAAGCAAGGAAAGGAUGGCAUUUUACGGUGUUAUAUCUUUCAAAGUGAAGUAUAGUCGAUAUUAAAUGGUUACCACUUAGAUAGUUGUCAUAAGCAUUUUGCCGAUAGUAGUACUACUUGAAAAGCUUUAAUGGCUAAAUAUUGGUGGCUAACUAUGUUUUCAGAUGCACACCAAUAUAUUCACCACUGUGAUCCAUGUUAAAGAAUUGAUCAAUCAAUUGGCACUUCUGCCAUACCAUUAGUAUUAAUUUUGGCCUAAGCACCAUUUGAAAAAUGGAGAAUUGAUUUUGUUAGACCAAUUGUAUUGGCAUCGAGACAUAGAUAAAAGCAAUAUAUUUUAGUCGCCACGGAUUAUGUGAUCAAAUGGUCAAAGGCUGUUACAACAUGACAUGAUAAUGUAAACACUGUCGCCACUUUUCUAUACAAGAAUAUUAUCACUCAGUUUUGAUAUCCUAAAGAAUUGAUUAGUGAUCGAGGAACCCAUUUCAUUAAUUCUACAAUUGUAGCUUUGAUGGAUAUGUAUGAGAUCAAGCAUAGGAAAAUAACUCCAUAUCAUCCUAGUGUCAAUGGGCAAAUGGAAAAGACUAACGAUAUUUUAUGCAAGAUAUUAACUAAGACUAUUUUGGGGGCAGGCAUGGAUUGGGAUACCAAAUUAUUUGCAGCCUUAUGGACAUAUCGUAUAACAUAUAAAGUAACAACCAAUUCAACCUCAUUCAAAUUGGUUUAUGAGCAAGAAGUGCUCUUACCUAUUGAACUAGAAGUCUAGAGUUUAUAGAUCAUAGUGGAUGAACAACUGAGUUUUAAAGAGUCCGUACACCACCGGUUGGCAAAAUUAGAAGAAUUGGAUGAAAUUCGAGUUACUGCUCUUUUCAUAAUGGAAGCUAUCCAGAAACAACGGAAGAGUUACUACGAUAGUAAACUGCGACCUAAGAGUUUUAUAUCCUAUGAUUUAGUCUUAUUUUAUGAUAGUCAUUUUAAUGAUUUUUGAAGAAAAUUUCAAGUCCAAUGGCAUAGUCCGUAUCAGAUAGUUGAAGGAUUUUCCAAUGGGUCCAUCCAAUUGAAAGAUUUUAUAGGCUAUCAAUUCAGUAUACGUAUUAACAAGAAUCAAAUAUAGCGGUAUUAUACUUAAAACCCAAGACAAGUUUUAAUUUUUUCUUGGGACUAUAUUUAUUGCUAUAGGUGGACUAGAGACCACUCAAAGGAUAGUUAAAAAUAUAAUUAGUCGUAGGUCAAAUAGGACGACGAAAGAAACGGACAAAAUAGAUAAUAUAUUGUUCUUAUCACCACUAGGUAAAAGAAUAGGAGUAUAGCACCCAUUCAAGGUCAUUCUAUAGUGUCGCAUUCUAUAAAAUUGGAGAUCUACUGGAUGCUAAAAAAAAUAUGAGAUUUUCAAAAUGUGCAAAUGUUUCAAUUUUUGCGAAGGUGAGAUAACUUGCCAUCAAUUAAUGUGGCAUUAAUGGAAGAAUACAUCGCAAACUAUGAUUCAGAGGAUGGAUCGAGUAUAGUACAAGGACACAUUAUUGAUAUUCAUGAGAAGAUCUUAGAAAAAGUGAUGUAUCUUCCAAUUAAAGAGCUUAUGAUGGGAGCGAUGGACUCAAGUGAUUUUAGCUUAGGAGCAUUUUUUAAAGGUGAAUUGUCAUCGUUUGAGAAGAACCAAGGUUGGCGGACAGCUAAGGCAAUAACACUAGAGCUCAUAGAAUGAAUAUGCUUUGUAGUAUGGUGUUUAGGAUUGUAUCAACACAAUACGUAUAUGUCAAGAUGAUUAAUAUUUACAGCAGUAGGGACGCUUGACGGAAUGGUGUUCAAUUGGAUAACUUAUAUAGCAACCUGCAUUCAUGCAAAAAUGGGAGCCAAACAAAAAAUAGGAAAUUUUAUAGUGUUGUUCUAUUUCAAUUAUGUGUAUACCAUGAUUGCAUUUACAUUGAGUCAAGCAAUGUCAGUAGCAGAGAAAAAUGUAUCCUUGUCAGUGCCUCAACAAGAUAAUGAAAUUUAUUGGCACCGACUGCCAAUUCAAGGAAUAUAGUACACGAAAUUGGGGAAUCCAGUUGUACAUUGGUACAAGAGACAGUUCCAGAAGUUACACUUGAAUUGGCUCUUAUUUGUUUGGCAAUGGAGCAGGAGAAUGAAGUCUUGAUUUCAUUAGAUAUCAAUAAAUUGGCAUUUCCACAAGGCCAACUACCGGAAGGCAUAUAUCUUAAGAAUGUUUUAUUAAAGUAUAUUUCGUAAAUACAUUGCAUGGUACGAGGAUUAGAUACAAGGAGCAAUGUCAAACAAGAAUUGGAAGGAAGCAAAAAGAUAAUAUUAGAGUAGAACUGAAGAAUUGCAGAGAAAGAAUGCAUCAUCUAAGAGAAUGCAAAGUCUGAAUUGAUAUUGGAAUGGAGGUUCUUACAAAGACAUGAAGCUUGGACAAAAGAAAAAGAACACAUCUUUAAGAUUGUGGAAGGUCAACGGAACGAAUUGGUCUAAAACUGCCAAACAUAGAACUUGAAAUGGAAGAAAGUCAAGUACUAGUUACAAGUGGAAUGGAAAAAGGUAAAGUUCUUAGCACAAGAAAAAGCGGUAUUGAGUAACCAAUAUAGAUGUGAAACAAAAUGGUUGAGGGCUGAAAUUGAAGUAUUGAACAUUGAGGUGACAAAAUUGGUAGAUGAUUUAAUCAAUAUUGGUGAGUCACAAGUAGUGAUGAUGCCAAUUUUUAAAGUUCCAAAAUAGAUGAUUCAGCAUCAAUACCAAUUGGAAUUGAAGGAUGCCUAGAUCUUGAAAUUGGAGGCUCAAGUUCAUGAAUUGGGCAAGUAUAAUGAAGACUUUUCAGCCCAGUUGAAGAAAGAGCCGAUAGAAGGAUUGAAAGACAAUGAAAAUUUAUAUUUGGAACCAAAAUUGGUGGAACUAAGAACAUAUAAUGUAGUAGUGAUCAACUAAGUAGGUCAGAGGGAUAGCAAUUUGAUAGAGUUUUGUUUAGUUUUUUUUAAAUAUGUAUCAAUUCUGUAUUUGCGAGGAUGUUGCACAGUUAGGAAUAGGGCUAUAUAAAAAGAAUAGAAUUUUUUUUUGUAAGAUAUUGGUAAAGUAGAUUAAUCAUUCUUAAGAUAGUCAAUUUAAUAGAAAUUGUGUGAAUCUAGAUUGGUUGGAGUGAAAUCUAUUAUUUCUAGUAUUGGAUGGAAUUUAUAUGUUUUGAAUGGUCUUUUGAAAGUGCAUGGUUGUACAUUGUUGUUAUUAGUUGAUGAAGGAGUAUUAUUACUGUGAGAAAGCAUUGUAGUAUUUCUUAGUAUUUUAGUGGUUCAGAUUACGGUUAAUUGUGUGACCCUAAUGUGUAAGCUCAUAUGAUAGUCUUUCCCUGUAUUUGAAUCUCCUUCUAUGGAUUUAUAUAUAUAUAUAUAUAUAUAUAUAUAUAUAUUCUUUUAUGUGAUAUCCAUAAUAUAAUAUAACAAUAGAUAGCAACUACAAUAAAUAUUUGUCAUAGUUUAUCAAGCAUAUAAUCAUCAAGAGUAGAAGAACUUACUUCAGCUUUAGAAUUCAUAUGAGAUUGAUUGACUUAGCCUAAUAAAGCCAAAUUAUUCAAUUUUUUUUUAAAUUCAUCAAUUUUAGAUUUUAAGGCUCUUUUUUUAUUUAAAGAAAUUUUUUUAUUUGGAUAUAAGAUAAAAUGAUUAUACUUUAUAUGAUUUAAUAUACUACAAUUUUUGUUUUUAGAUUUAGCUAUAAUUUUAGUUUUUUUUUUUUUUUUUUUNNNNNNNNNNNNNNNNNNNNNNNNNNNNNNNNNNNNNNNNNNNNNNNNNNNNNNNNNNNNNNNNNNNNNNNNNNNNNNNNNNNNNNNNNNNNNNNNNNNNAUUCUAUUUAUAAAGAAAAAAGAUGGAUUAUUGCAGAUAUGUAUUGAUUAUCAAAGACUCAACAAGAUCACUAUCAAGAAUAAGUACCUAUUAUUUUUAAUAUUUGGACCUAUUGAUUAGUUGAAACAAGCUAAGAUCUCUAUAAAAAUAAAUCUAUGAGGAGCAUACAAUCUAGUAUGCAUCAAAGAAGGAGAUAAAUAGAAGACUGUAUUUGAAAUUAUGUAGAAAUAUUUUGAAUAUGAUGUCAUGCCUUUUGGACUUAUAAAUGCAGUAGUAUGAUUUUUGAGAGUUUUUGGAUGAUUUUGUUAUUUUUUUAUCUAGACAACAUCUUGAUCUAUUCAUGAAUCUCAAAGAAUGAAAUCCUCAAUAUACUCUUAUGUCACUCCAAAGACCAAAAAAUCAAUCAAAGAUGAUAUAAUAUUAAACUAGAAUAGUUAUUACUUCAAGACAAGAAAACCAAAAAGUCUUGAAAUAAGAUUAAUAACUAGAAAGAUAUUGACAAGAGUAAAGAAGGCUUUAUUUUUGCUUCUAUAUAUAUACUAUCUAAUUAAAAGCUACAGGAUAAGGUUCUAUAGGACCUCCAAAAUAUGUUGACUUUGUAAGACAUGUAUCUUAACUUGCAAGGCAAGUUUUCAAUAUGUACACUAUAUAAUUAGCUUAUUUCAAAAGCUACCAAUAUGUAAAGUAUGUGGUUAGCUUAUUGACCAGGUUUCUAAUCUACCAAUAAAUUACAAGUCAAAUUAGCUUCUAGGAAUUUUUUUUAAAAGAUAUUAUGAAAUAAAUCUACUUUAUCUAUUUCUACUUAAUCAUAUAGAUAAAUAUUAGAAUAAAUAUGUAUAUCUAUGAUAUAACUUCCUUCUUUUAGAGACGAGUUCUAUGAGAAGUGUUUAUUAUCUUUUAUAGAUCUUGUAAUUCUUUUUCUUGGUUUUUAUAGAUGUUAUUGAUGAAAAGUUUCAAUUUUCUUUGUUGCAUUUGUAAGAUGUUUUUUUGGCUCUCAUGUAUGUUCAUUAAUAUUAUAUCUAUAUCAAUAAAUGAGUUCUUUCAAUCUAUUUUGGCACCACCUUGAAUUUAAGAUUUCUUUUAUUUAAAACUUUUGAUUAUUAUCUACUUUUGUAGAAUAAGGUGGCAUUUUUCUUCUUUUCAAGAUAUUCACUAUCUUAUAUGGUUUAAGAAAAAAUAGGUGGUACCAUUCUUUAUGGAAACAAAUUAGUACCAUUUUUUAUAGAAACAAUUUGGUGCCAUUUUUUAUAAAAUUAAAUUAGUAUCAUUCUUUAUAAAAACAAACUGGUACCAUUUUUUAUAGAAACAAAUUGGUACCAUUCUUUAUAGAAACAAAUUGAUAUCAUUCUUUAUAAAAAUAAAUUAGUACCAUUUUUUAUAAAAAAAUAUAUCACAAGAUAUUCACUAUCUUAUAGACUUUGAUAGAUGUAAUUGAUAAGCAAUAAAAUUGAUUUGUUCAAAAAUAAGAAAAAUAUCCAAGCUUAUAAUAGUCCAACUUCUCAUAAAGUUAAGUAGUUUUGAUAUUGUGAUGAAGUAAGCAUAUUUUAUCACCCAUGUUGAAUUGUGGUUGUUCUUUGUAACAGGCAUCCACAUUAUUCUAUUGUCAUUCUUGAAUUCUUUUGUUAUCAUACCUUCAUUAUUCUAUAUAACUUUGACAAACGAUAUGUCAAAUCUUCUACAAUAAGAUUAUUAACUUUUGAAAAGUCAAAAGUAUCAAGUUGAGGAUAAUAAUCAUAAUUGGUAAAAAAAUAUAUAUUUUUUGAAUUAAAAAAUAUAAUAAACUAUUGUACGUAAAUUUUACCAAUGGUAAAAGAAUUGCCCAAUUAUUUUGAUGAUAGUUGAUGGUACACUUCAAAUAUUGCUUUAAAACUUGAUUCACUCAUUUUGCUUGUCUAUUACUUUAAAGAUGAAAAGCAAAAGAGAGCUUUAGAUCCACUUUUAGAAUCUUAAAAAAGAUUCUUUAAAAUCUUAAUACAAAUUAAAUUUUCUUAUUUGAUAUAAUAUCCUUGGAUAAUCCAUCAUAGUAAAAGAUAUUGUUAAAAAAAAGCUUAGUUUUUUCUUUACUUGUAAUAGAUUUUGUAUAUGGUAAAAACUAUUCAAUCUUAAUAAAUUAAUCUACUAUCAUAAAUAUAAAAUUAUAGAAACCUAAGAUUAAAAGAUUCGUGAUAAAUUCUAUAGAAAUAAAAGACCAUAAUUAUUUCAAAAUAGGCAAUAGCUAAAGAAGUCCAUAAGGUCAAUGAAAAAAAGUUUUUGAUUUUAAAUAAAUAUCACAUAAUUAUAUAAAGUCUUUAACUACCUUUCAUAUUUGAAAAAACCAAAAAUCUCUUAAUAUUAGUUCUAAAGUCUUAUUAUAUUUAAAAUAUUUGGCUAUUGAAAAGUCAUGAAAAGCUUGAAGAACAUGUAAUUAUACUUUAUCUUUUGGAAUAUAUAAUCAUCUUUCAAAAUAUAAUAGAUAAUUUUUAAAUUUAAACUUAAAAGUAUUAUGAGACUUAGAAAAAUUAUUCUUGAUGUUAUGAAUAAGAAGAUUAGAGGUCAUAAUUUGCUUGACAAAGAGUAAAUCAACAAACAAUGUUGAUUUUAUUAUUCAAAGAUGACAUUGCUCUAGCAUCAAGAAAAUUAUCCUUUUUUGAUCAAAAAUUGCAUCUUCUUUUGAUAUAAGAUAAGAAUAUUUAAAAAAGAUGUUUGAUAAAUCUUAUUGUUUUUUGGAUCAAUAAUUGAACUUGAAAUUAAAGCUUAAUAAAGACAUGCUUCAAUAGGCUUAGCAAUAAUUCAAAACAUGUGCCAAUAUAAAAUACUCAAGAUUCUUGUCAUCUAUAUAAAUGAUGAUUGAACUUGAGGUGUCUUUUAAAUAAUGAUGUCAUUCUUAAAAAGAAUCUAUGAUUGCAAGAAGCUCUUUAUCAUGGAUUUCAUAAUUAAUCUCAAUUAUUGAAAAUUUCUUAGAAUAAACAGCUACUAGGUAGAAUUUGAUAUUUGCUUCUAUUUGUGAUAAAAUGAUGCCUAUAGUAAAGUCUAAUGCAUUUGUUUCCAUAAAAAAUGCCUUAAAAAAAUUGAUACAAUACAAAAUUAGUACAAAAAUAAAUGUUAUCUUUAAAACUGUAAAAGAUGCUUUUACUUCUUUAUUCCACUUAAGUUUUUUUUUACAUAUUAAACAUAUAAGAGGAGCUAGAACUUGAAAAAAGUUCUCAAUAAAGAUUCUAUAAUAAUUGGCAAAUCCCAAAAAAUAUAAUAUAUCUUUAAGGAUUUUUGAAAUCUUCCAAUCCAUUAUAGUCUAGACUUUCUUUCGAUCCAUAUGUUUUUUUGUAUUCUUAGAAUAGAUUAAAAUGUUGUUUAAAUAAUAAAUAAUAAAAUCAUCGAAAAAUUCAUAAAAAAAUUCAUUUAUGAAAUGUUGAAAAGUAGCAUUUGUAUUUGUGAGUCCAAAAAAGAUGAUAUUGUAUUUGAAAUGUCCAUACCAAAUUUGAAAGGUAGUCUUUUAUUCAUUUUUUUUUUUAAUGUGUGUUAGGUUGUAUGCUCCUCAUAGAUUUUUUUUUUUUUUUUUUUUUUUUUUUUUGUAGAUCUUUGCUUAAUUGAGUUGAUUAAGAAGUUCUAAAAUCAAAGGUAGGAUAUACAUAUUUUUGAUGGUCUUGUUAAAUCAUUGAUAGUUUAUGCAUAUCUGUAAAGAUUUAUCUUUUUUUUUAAAAAAUAAAGUAGGAGCUCAUGCUAGGGAUUUUGAAUAGCAUAUGAAGUUCUUAGCCUAAUUUUCAUCCAUAUACUCUUUUAAUGUAGCCAAUUUAUUUUGCAAUAAGCUAUAGAUUGAUUUGAAUGGUGGUUCAAUUCUUUCUUAUAAAUUAAUUGAUCAUAGAAUUGAUGCUUUGAAAGAAUAUUUACAUUCAUCUUUUCAAAAAAAUCUUAAAAACAUGAUAUCAGCUAAAAUAUCACAUGACGUUGUCGGAGUAGAGAGAGUUUGCCUCAAAAAAAUUCUGGGCUUUUGGCUGUCACUAAUUAUUCAAUCAAGCUUGAAAAUAAGGGAAGCCCUAAGUUUAUAUAUAAUUUUUCAUUUUUUGAGUAAUUACACCAAAUACACAAUCCUCAAGUAACCCACAACUUCCAAAAUAUGAUAAAAUCUUCUAAAACCUUGUUUAUUCUUAUGUGGAGAUUUUUCCAAAUUUCAACACCUCAUAUCUCCUAAUCCGACCGUCCAAACAAACUCAAAUUUUACAUGAGAUACUGAUGUAUUCCUAUUAACUUUUCCAACAAUUUUCAACUGAAAAUUCGUUGUAGAUCUUGAGAUAUCUUGAAAACCCUAACAGCCGCUUCAAACCCUUGUCUUCAUAUCUCACAAAAUAUAAGCUCAAAUUCCACGAAAUUUAUAUUUUUAGCUUCUUCACACAAAAAUUUAUAUUCUCCAAAAAUUUUGAGCCAAAAAUUCAUCCGAAAACUCAAGUUAUGGCUCCAACCAUUAAUACAAACAAAACCGCUUACUUAUUGCCUUUGAUUUGAAAGCGCCGCCUUCAAUUCCUUAUAACUCUUUUAUAUGAAUUCCAAAAACAAUAAUUCUUUCAUAAAAAAUGUAGGCCUUGAAAUCGCUAUUCUAGUCGCAUCUUCCGAUCUUCAAAAUCUGCUGUAAAACUCCUCAUAUCUUAAAAAGAGUAACAGCAUGUCUUAAAUUAAUACCUUAACUUCAAACGGCUAUAACUUCUUCACCCUAACUCCAAAUUCCCUAAUUUUUGCACACAAAUUGUACUCCAAAUCCUAAACUUUACAACCCUAGCUUGUAAUCUCCAAAUGCUCUCUUUGAAGUCGCCGAAAUCCUUCUUAAGGUCGCGGGCAGCCUCCUCAAAUCCCAUUGGGCAUGGUAUUCGACCAAUAGGGAUGAAGUUCCCCAUUCCUUGUCUUCAUCCGACUAUGACUUGCUUUCAUCCCUCCCAAUUAGCCUCCUACUAGUUUAGAUUUUCAUCCUUAGGUUUCCACCUUCUCCCAAGGCUUCAUACUAAACAUUUAGGUCCUAUAUAUAUAUAUAUAUAUAUAUGUAUAUAUUUUAAUGUCAAAAUCAAAAGAAGUAAAGAAACAAAGUAAAGUUUCUUAUAUCAACUCCUUUUAAUUUAAUCUAAUAGCCACUCUAACAUACAUCUAGAUUUAUCAACAUAUAAUAUGUUUUAACUAAUUUUUACAUACUGUAAGCAUUUACAGUACGACAACGUUGUCAUACUGUAAAAGCUUACAGUUUGUAAAAAUUAGUUAAAAUAUAUUAUAUGUUAAUAAAUCUAGAUGUAUGUUAGAAUGGUUAAUAGAUUAAUUUAAAGAGAGUGGUUUUAAGAAACUUUAUUUUGAGUUUAUCUUUUUAGUUAUAGCAUUUCAAAAAAAAUUAUAGAACCUAAUUGUUUAGUAUGGAGCCUUGAGAGGAGAUUAGAGCCUAAAGAAGAAAAUCUUAAGUUAUAAGAGGCUUAUUAGGAGGGAUGAAAGCAAGGCAUGGUUGGAUGAAGGCAAUGAAUGGAAAACUUCAUUCCUAUUGGUCGAAGGCCAUGCCCAAUGGGCUUCAAGAAGGCUGCCGAAGGCCUUAUUAGGGAUUAGGGUUUCCCUUUCGAAGUCAUUCGAACUUUAGAGGCUAGGAUCAGCAAGUUCAGGGUUUUGAGUAUAAUUUGGGUGAAGAAUUUGUGUGAUUUCGAGUUUUUGUGAAGGAGAUAUAGGUGUUCAAAAUUAAAGUUUCAAAUUUGUACCUAUUGUCAUUCUUUGAAGCAUAACUUAUGCAUACAAAAAUCAAUGAAAGAUCGGCGACUGGAAUUGGAGAGGAUACUUUUUUGGCUACACUUUACAUAUACUUUUUAAUGAAUUUCAAGUUGGAAUGAAGGAGUUAUAGAUAUUUGAAGGCAGCACAUGUAAUUCAAAGGUAGUAAGUGAGUCAUUUUGUUGAUAGUAAUAUUUAGAGCCAUAUCUUGAGUUCAUGGGCGAAUUUUUGACUCAAAAUUUUCAUAAAUGUGUUUUAUUAAGUUAAAAAGCUAUAGAUCAAAGUUUCAUGGUAUUUAAAUAUUUAUUUUGUGAGAUAUGAAGAAAUUAGCACAUGGGUGUAUGUAAGCUAGGAUUUAAAGCUAUUGUUAGGAUUUUGGUGAUAUCUCAAGAUCCGUAAUGAAUUUGUAAUUGAAUUUUUUUGAAAAAGUUUUUGAAAGUAUAUCAGUACUUCAUGUAAAAUAUAGGGUUUUUUGAACGGUCCGAUCGUGAGAUAUAAGCUGUUGAAAUUCGGAAAACAUCUCUCACAAGGAUAUAUAAGGUUUUAAGAACUUUAUCAUACAUUUGGAUGUUUUCUUGGUACUUGGGCUUGUAUUUUGAUGUAAUUGCCUAGAAAGGGAAAAUAUUAUAUAUAUAAACUUGGUAUUUUAUAUCUUAGACUUGAUUGAGUAUUUAGUGGCAGCCAGAAGCCUAGCGCUUUCUUGAGGCAAACUCUCUCUACCUUGACAACAUCUUUCCAUCAUCAAAAAUAGACGUGGCAUAUAUAACAAAAGAUGAUCAUUUUUUGCUAAAGUAAUGAAUGCUUUUGUACCUACCAAUAAGGAUUUGAAUGUAUUAAGCUUAUCUAUUUCUACUUGAUUAAUAAAUUUUUGGAUCGAACUAUAAGAAAAAUUAAGAUUACAAGAAAUUCAAUCUAUUUUAGGAUUAUAUUUUUCUAAUCAAGAUAAAUUUAAAAUAACUAGAUUGAACAAAGAUCUUAUCACAUUAAAUAUUAUUGCAAUAUUAUGAUCUUUAAUUGCUACAUCUAAAAGAAUAGUCUCAUAGAUAAUAUCUUUAGAAGAAAAAAAAUGAUCAUCUAUGACUUUUAUAUGUAUGGAUUUAGUUUUUUUGAUUAAAAAUAUCUCUUAUUUUUUUGACAAAGUCUUUGUCUAUAAAACAUGCUAAGGCUCUUGAAUCUAAAAAGGCUAAGACUUUAUAAUUUUGUAGUCCUAAAUAAACUUUUAUUGUGAAAGGUCGAAAUCUAAAGAAAGAAUAAGAUCUUUAAUAGGAAUUAUAUAAGAUUUUAGCUACAUAAUUUCUAUUGUAAUUGGAAAAACUCUUUUUUUUAUAUAUUGUCUUCUUUGGCAAUUAUGCUCCUUAUUUUGUGAUUGCAUUGUUUCUUUAGAUAAUAUUGAAUAGUGUGCUUGGAUUCUCUACAACAUAGGCAUUAACCUUUUUGACAAUGAUGAGUCUUUUCUUGAUCAAUAAGAAGUUUAAAACAUAUUGUAUCAAUUUGUACAAGCUAUGGUUUCAACAAAUAAGCUUCUAAAAACUUAAAAGGUACUGCUAUAGCUUGAUUUGUAUUUUUUCAACUAAAUCUUUGUUCCUAACAUCUUUCAAAGAGUCAAUUAUUACAUGCAAUGGCUUCAUUAAUAAAUUACUUUAGUAAAUCUGUUCUUGGUAUUGUCAAUAAUAAAUCUUUGAUAUUAUCUUUUAAUCCAUAUUAAAAGUGAUUGAUAAGGACUUUGUCAUUUUAGUCCAUAUUACAAGCAAGAUUUUGGAAUUCUGCAACAUAUGUAGUGGCUGAAUGUGAUUCUUUUUGUAGUGAUAUAAGCUUAGUCUCUAUUAUCCUUUCAUGAUCACUUUCUCCAAAUGUGGCUAUAAAUAAUUUCAAGAAUGAAUUCAAAUCAUAGAUUAAUUAUUAAUCUUUUUUUUAUCAAAGAAACAAACCAAGAGAGAACACUUUUUAAUAGAAACACAUCUACAAAUCUUACUUGAAUAAAUCUAUUAAAGUAUUAAAAAAGAUACAACUUUAAAUAAAACUUAACUUAUUGUAAAAAUCCUCAAAAUUUUGAACUUAUUCUAUUUAACUUCUUGAGCAUAUUAAUCCUUGCCUUUCUUAUGCUUUUAGAAGUAAGACUUUUUUAAUUUGGUUGUCAGGCUGAUUAACUUUUUGCUCUCAACUGAACAACUUCUUCAUGUAGAACCUAUAUGAUUCAUAUUAAAAAUAUGUGAGAUUUAUAUUCUUAGAAUAUUGACAAGUUCGUGAAGAUUUGUAUUAGUUACAAAUCUAUUCUCAUCUUUGUUGAGAGUAGCAUCUAUAAUCUUUUUUUUUAUAAACAACUCAAACAAAUCCAAAAAAUUAAAUUAGAAGAUGAUAAUCUGCAAUCUCUAAUAUCAAAUAAAAAUUUCUACAAAAAAAGAUAAUCUGGUCUUUUUAAGAAAAAAAUAAAUUUUAAAAAAUUAAAUUAUUUGUUUAAAAGUGUAUAGUCUUCAAUCUUCAAAAUAUAAUAAUUUAAGUGAGAUAAUCCACUCAUUUCUAAAACAAGAUAAGAACUAAAAAAUUAGCAUUCUUAUCAAAUUAUCAAAGACCUAAAUCUUAAAAAAAAAAAAUCUUCAAUACACUCUUGAGUCACUCAAAAAAAUUAAAAAAUCAUUUAAAGAUGAAAUAGUAUUAAAAUAGAAUAGCUAUUGCCAAAGAAAAGAAGACUAAAAAUUCUUGAAACAAGACUAAUGACUAGAAAGGUAUUGAUAAAAAAAAAAAAAAAAAAAAAAAAAAAAUACUUUAUUCUAACUUCUGUAUAUACUAUCUAAGUAAGAACUAUGUGGUGAUAUUUUAUAGAACCUCCAAAAUGUAUUGACUUUGCAAGACAUAUAUCUUAACUUAUAAGGCAAGUUUUCAAUAUAUGUGCCACGUAGUUAACUUGUUCUGAAAGCUACCAAUACAUGUGGUAUGUGAUUAACUUGUUGAUCAAGUUUCUAACCUAUCAAUCAAUUAUAAAUACAUAUAAAAUCAAAAUAGCUUCUAAAAAGAUUUUUUAAAAGAUAUUAUGAAAUUAAUCUCAUUUUUACCUACUUCUAUUUUAUCAUAUAAAUAAAUAUUAGAGAAAAUAUAUAUAUCUAUGAGAGUAGGUAGAGUGUUGUCUAAAGAAAUUUUUAUUCUUUUUUCUUUAGCUUCUUUUAAAGAUAUCUCAAUUUUUUCUUUAAAUAUAUUUUUUUUAUUAUAAAUAUUUUUCUUGAAAAAGUAUCCUCUUUAAGAAUUGAAAUAAGCUUUAUUCUUUUCUCUUAAUAACAAUCUACUUCUCUUAAUUCAAGUGAGUAUUCUUCAUUCCAUCUUCAAUAAGUUUGAAAUACCUCAUAUUCUAAAUAAUAUAGUAAUAGCUCAAAAAUAUACCUUAUUGAAAAUGAAAGUCUUUUAAUAUAUAUAUAUAUAUAUAUAUAUAUAUAUAUAUAUUUUUUUUUCAUCCUUAUCUAAAACAUGAGCUUCCAAUUAAGAAAAAAAUGCUCUUAAUUUGUCUUGAAAAGUGAUCUUAUACCAUAUUGCAAAGAUUGUCUUUUAUCUUCUAAAAUAUGUCUAAACUUAAGUUUUAAAACCUCAUAGUUGUAUCUAACAUUGAAAUAAGUUAAAAGACUUUGAUAAUAUCUACUAUUAGCUCAAAGUCUUGAAUGUGAUUACUAUCCAAGUAAUUUAGUGAAAAAUAUCAAUAACAUCAGCUUUUAAUAUACAUCAUAAAACAUACUAGUUAAGUCUCUACAAUUAUCUAAAUAUUCAAAAGCAACUUGUAUCUAUAAUACUAUCAAGCUUUGUAAUUUAUUAAUAAUUAUCUUUGAAUCACUAUAGAUCAAAUAAACCAACAAACAAAAAGAUCUUGUUGGCCAUUAAUCCAAUCUCAUCUCUAUAAUAUGCUUAUUAAUAUUGACUAGAAUAAUGCAAAAUGAGGUAACAUUAAAAAUCUCUAAGAAUAUUAUCUACAAUUAGGAAAAUAAAUUCAUACUGAAUCCUCAUUUCUAACAACAUAGAAGCAAAAAUCACAAGCAAAUCAAACAAUUUGCAACUGCUUGUAGUUAAAGAUUACAAAUUAAAAUAUAAACCAAAGCAGCCACUAAUCUUGUGUGAUUAAUGGUCAAAAUCAAAAAACCUAUGACAAUAAAAAUAAAUAAAAUAAAAUAAAAAUAAAAAUAAAAAAUACGAUAAUAUGAAAUGUGAAGAAAUUAAAAAAAUCAAGAAUUCACUUAAAAAGGAAAUAGUAUUGAAUAAAUACUACUUUAGUGCUUUAAAUAAUUUAUACUUUAUAAAUUUAUAAUAUUAUUAGUUUUUUUAGAUAUCAUCCUCAUAAAAAAAUAAUUUAAAAAAUAUUUAGAUUCCAUAUGUUCUUAAUAAUUAAGAGUUGAAGGCAAUUUUAUUUUUUUAUUUUUUUAAUAUUAAGUCCUAUAAUUGUGCUACUACCUAUGAUCUCAUUGAUUCCAUAACUAUUCAAUUUUAGUUGCUUUGUGGUCCUAUGACUAUAUUAAAUUCGUUUAUUCAUAGAUCCUAUUGCAACACAAAACUUAUUAUUAUGUUCGCCAUAUUAACAUAUCACAUAAGAUGUCUCCACUUACUGCCAUGAACCAUCAACUUUCAUUGCUUAUUACUACAAGGUACUUUUCUUGUGUUUGAAUAGCUUGUCAAGUGAAUAUUAUCUCCUAAAUGCAAAAUAUAAAUACAUUUUGGAGGCAAAGUUAGCAUCAAGUUGCAAAAACUAUGCCUUAUAUCAAAUGAGUACUAUGUCCUACAACUUUAUAUCUUGUCUUGUAUGAAAUGACAAUUAAAAAAAAAAACAAAAAACAAAAAAUAUAAAACAAAAAAUAAUCAAAAAUAAGUUAAAAUAUGACAUUUCUAAAAAAAUUGGUAUUGCAAACAAUCUUCUUGCAUUGCACAACAAUACCUUUGUUUCUACAAAACUUUGAGUUGUAGUUUGCAUCAAAAUACACCAAUAAGUUGAACUGCACUUAAUAUUGCAAUCUAUGUCUCUUUAGUAUAAAAUACUCCUGCAACUAUAAUUUUGGUCCAACACUUGGCCAUUUUUGCUCCAACUCUUUGCAUUGCAGCUUGCCUUGAUGAUAAGAUCUAGCACCUAAUUCGAAAUAGUACCUCAAUUUCACAUAUUUUGUAAAAAUAUAGUGCCUUGCAACGUAUUUUGAUCCAUAUUCAAGAAAAGAGUAUUGCGACACAUUAGAAUUGAGCAAUAAAAUAAUACUCAAUAAUAUAAAAAUCCAAAAAAAUUAAAAUAGUAUUUUAUUUUUAUUUUUAUUUUUUAAUCUAGUCUAUUUCAAUCUCCCUUAUCACAAGUUGAAGAAAAUGAGUCAUUCUUGUCAAGUAUAAAGAUGAUGAAUUUAUACACAAAUAAGUGAGAUUAUCUUUCAUAUUACAAAAGAAGUAUCCAAAAGUGCAAGUGUGAGUAAAGAAAUUCUCUAUAACUUUAUUAAAUGGCUAAAUCUCCAUAGCCAAACAAAUCCUUACAAUACAAGAUUUUUCUCUCUCAAAAUCACUCAUAAGAUUUGACUUGAUAAGAAUAUUAAAUCAAAGAAAUUUUCCAAUCUAAUUAUUGAAAUUUUAAUUAAAAUUAUCAAAAUUAAUUAAUCAAAAAAACCAAAUAGGUAGAAAAACCACUAAAUCAAACUAAAUCACAUACAUCCAAGGAGAUUUGGUAUCCAUUGCCACCACAUAAAAUAAAAAUAGGUAUAGAUUGUUAUAAUUUUGUCUCAAAUAUAAUUUGUAAUAAUUGUCAAAAAAAUAAUAGAUAAUUGUUAAUCCUUCAUUUAUAAUCUAUAGAUUGGGCAGUUAGUGUCAUUGGGAGGUGGCAUGUAAUGGAACUCCAGCAAUACAAAAACACAAGGUAGAAGCAAUGCAUUUGCAAAUUGAAAAGGAACAAAAGAAUGAAGGGAUUCAAUAACAUGUUUGAUUGAAAGGAAGGGGCACCACCCUCAAGCCAAGCCAACUUCAUGAAAGAAGGGAGUGAAGGGAAGGAAUUGCCUCUUCAAAUUAAGUGCUAUUCUAUUGAUUGUCAAUGGUGUAAAGGCGGCAUGGCGAUAUAGGGUCUUUGGUCUAAUAGCAUGAUUCUUGAUCAAAAUACUUGAGGUGGAGAAUUUGAUUCUCUCAAUAUUCCAUCAUUUAUUUUUCUUUUUCUUGUCCAAAUUUCAUCAACUUCUCAAUCAUUAUAUUGUUGAUUAAAGGCUAAUUGUUCAGGAAACAGCUUUGAAAGCAAGCACAACAUAUGAACUACACAUCCCAAUUGUUGGUGUGUUGUUCACAAAUGAAGGACUUGAUCAUUCACAUAUACAGAAAGGCUCUUUGGCUCUUCACAUCAAUUAAGAUGGGAGAGGUCUAACUAACUUUUUGAUGAUUUACUGGCAGAAAGUUCCAAAUAAGUGGUGUGUCUCUACAUGUGAGAACAUGUAGAAAUUCCAUGUGCAAGCAGUGUAUGUAUAAUUUUAGAUUGGUGUUUGUUACAUAGUGUCAUAGCAACUUAUUACACUAAAGAUGGUGAUAGGUACAAGGUUUUGACUUCAUUACAAUCUAACAAGUCCUAUGAUAUAGAGGUUGCUACUUUUUUUUAGUUAGUUUUCAAAUGGUGGUACCAUAAACCUUAAUGUUAUUAAAAGGUAUCAUAUUAAACUAUGCAAAAAAAUCACUUCAAAAUUAAACUUUUAAGAAUCUUUUGAGAAAUAACUUAUUUUUACCUCAUAUUAGAUAUGUUCAAUUUCAAUAUAAUUGUGUAGUAUGUUUCCUCAUAAGAAGAGUUUUGUAGCAAACAAUUUGAGACACAAAAUAUAAUUGAGUGUAAAUAUUCCUAUGUUUCUUUCUUCUCUUACCAAAUGGCUAGAACUAGCUUGUAGCAUUGAGAAAAUCUACUAUCAAUUGUUGUGGCAACAGCAACGCUCGAAAUUGACCGUAUUGUCAUGUUUCAACCUAAAGUAUUGCAUAUUGAAUGUUUUGAGAUUAAUAAAUUAUUUUGCUAAUAGAGAGUUAGAUUAGAUUGAUUAUUUUAUAUGUAUUUUAUCAACUAAAAGCUUAAUUUUUUUUUCUAACAAUUACAUGCUUCAUUUAGAGAUGAUUUUGAAUUGACUAUGUUUUAUUUUGUUAUCAAGCUUACAUUAUCUUUACCAUUCCUAUAAUGAAUGAAUAUAUUAGUUAAGUAAGUAAAAAUAUAUAGGAAGAAGCAUACAUAUACUAAAUAAAUAAUAUUAUUCUCAAAAACAUUAAUGAAGUUUUUUAGAUGUAGAUUAGAUCUUCAGAUUUUUCUAGAUGUGCUACAUGGUUAAAGAGAUUAUCUUAUAAGUUUUUUGCUUUUAGGAAUGAAGAUCGGAAGCAAUUUAUAACUUUGACACUCUAGGCCACAUGCCUUGUGGUCUUUAAGAACCUUUCACAAGUUCUUUUUGAUAAAUAGUAUAUACAUAGGUAAAAUUAAUACCAUUCUUAAUCUUAUCAACACUUUCUUCAUAUUCAAAUCUUGACUUAAGACUCUUUUGUUUAUUUGCAUUUGACAGAGGUCAUUCUAAUUUUCUUAUUUAUCUCUUCAAUUAUUUCCACCUAACUUAGAAACAUCCAAGUAUACUAUUUUUUUAGACUUUUGUCAUGAUUCAUGUCUCUCACAAUUACAAACAAUCAAAAAGUGUCACAAAUAUGACUAAGAUUAUAGAUGUUCAAGUCUAUCACAUUUCAAUAAAAACGAUUAUGUAAACAAAAAUACUACAUAUUAUCUACUCUGAACAAUCAUUAAGUACCUUCCAAAAGAACAUUUUAAAGUUAAAUUCUUCUUCCAUCCUAUCCGUCUGAGUCAAUAAUUUGAAUUAUGUGAUUUUAAAAUUUCAAUCAGGAAUUUACAUAGUCUUGUGCUUCCUAGGGCGAAUAUAAUGCCCAUUGUGUAGAGAUCUUAUGACAAGGUUUGCCAUAGAUCCUCGAUAAUCAGCUUACCGAUGGUAAUUACUGCAAAUAAUAAUUUUUACAACUUCGACGCAUUCGCAUUCCUAAGCCCUGUCACACGUUUGGCUGUCGGUGUUCAUUAUCUCUUACCUUCAUCCAACUCCACUGGAUUCCAGUAUACGCAAUAUAAAGUACAAAAACUUCGACCCGCAAAUUCACUCCUACUCUGCUCCGUCAAUUACGCCCAACAUGUGCACACCUCAAGGCUACAUACAUAACUCGAAUGGCUCAUUUGCUAAGCUCUCUCACCCGAGAUGAAGGUGCUGCAACUGCACUCUCGUCCUGUUGCAAUACAACUCCAAAAGCUUCCACAAGCUGAAUACGCAUACUGUGUAAAUCGCGCCGAUUUCACGGCAUGGAAGUCCUGCGAAAAUCAACUCGACUUCUUCCCUUCUUGGUUAAAAACUCGAUGACUGAACUCCAGGUCGCGCAGAGUAUCCAGUACCUCCGCACGUUUCACAUCUCCGUGCCAAAUGAUCUCAGAGGCCACUGAGCGUCGAUUCCUUCCUGAGGGCAAUCUAUCCGUCUGCGCUGGCUCCACACCCCCCUUGCUUCUUUCUCUCCACAUUCUCAACGCUGCGAUGCAACACUUCGCACCCACCUACGCUUUGAGCGCAGUCCCUGUUGCCCGACCAUCUCGAAAAACUAGCCUCC
RNAcentral lists this long non-coding RNA (100411 nucleotides) under Physcomitrium patens. Its description in RNAcentral is "long non-coding RNA (PPAT_LNC014061)". Lineage: Eukaryota; Viridiplantae; Streptophyta; Bryopsida; Funariales; Funariaceae. The record is from RNAcentral.